AUGUUAACUAACCUCUUGUUUAAGUGUUGUAAAUGCCUCAAAUGUGAUAUAUUCGAGCAACUAAAUUUGAGAUAUGGGGCAAGCGUAACAAGACUCGAAUUAGAUUUUUUUUUUGAGUAUUUUAGGAUAAAAAUAUGUAACUAUGGAAAUGAGUGAAGGAGGCUUGGUAAGUCUUUUAUAUUGGUAUGGCUCGAAUUAUAUAAUUAAAAACAUGUUUUUAAAUUUUAAUUUAUAAAAUCUGAACAGAUGUAAAAUAUAAAAGAAUAAAAUAUAAAACGCAUAAGAAGGGCUGAAGGAUGAUAAAAGAAUCUCAUUUUAUAUUCAUAUCAAAAUUGGACUUGAAACCAUGGUCUUCUUGGAUUUAAACAUAUGGAACAAUAAUUCACUUUACAAGAGAGGUGAACACAUUAUUUCCUCUUUACAACUAAAUAAAAUGAUCAAUAAUGUCCCCGUGAAAUUAGUUCAGUUGGCAUAGACUAUAGACAUCAAAUAAUAUAUGCAAGGGGUCAAAGUUCAAAUCCAGGACAUCUCACAUAUUAACCUUAAAAAGAUGAAUUUCUAACCAUUAACAUACUUGAUAAAAAAAUUGGCCAAUAACGGUGAGCAAAAAGUCCAUGAAAAUUGUUUUUCUCACAUCAAAUUUUACUUAAAAAUACAUGAAAAAUACCAUUUUACCUUCAACUGCAGUUAACUGUUGUUCGAUCAUUCCAACGGUAAUUAACUACCGUUCCACAUGUACCGUGGAGCAUGAAAAUUGAGUCAAUCAGGCAUAAGUUAGUCAGGCAACAAUAGAAAUAUUGGGGAACAAAACAGGGUUUAGAAUUGGAAAAAUUUAAAAGAAAACCAAGACGAAAAAAAUUCAAUUUAAAACGUGACUCCAUGCUCAUAAUCCACUCUGCAGUGCUCCAAUUGUAUAUGUUCAUAAAAAUUAAUUUUCAUGCUCUGCGGUGCCGUUGGAGAUUUUUUUUUUUUUUUUUUGAGUUGUAUAAGUUAACUGUAAUUGGGAGUAAAAUGAUAUUUUUCUAGGUGUUUUUAACCAAAAUUUGAUGUGGAAAAAGCAAUUUUCAAUGUCCAGUAGCAAAAUCAUACGCUUCUUGGAUUUGAACAUAUGGAAGUCCAGUCUAUUCAGCAACAUAAAAUGUUGUAUCCAUCAUAAAGAUAGAUUUUUUAUUUUCAUACCCCCCUACAGAUCCUACUGACCCUAACUUUAUCAAAAUCCCCCUAUUUUAUUAUUCUUCACAAUUUUUAAUUCUUCGGAUUUAUAAGUUAGUAGUGUUGGAACAAAAUAUGUCUAAACAAUGUCUCUUAAGUUUUGAUGAUAAUAAGAUAUUAAAAGUUCAAUUGAAUAUGUUAAUAUUUGUUCAAGUGUGCAAGAUCAUAUACUAAAAUUUAUUAUGUGUUGAUCAAAGAAUUGGUUUUGAAAGAACAAAUUGAAGAGAAGGUGAUUUCAUGAGAAGUUGUUGUAAGUCAGACUCUGAAGAUCUCCUAGACUCUAAAGGUCAGGAUCUAGACUAGUUAAAGGACAAAGGAGCUGAAGCUUUAAAGAUCAAGCCUUAAUUAUUGUGAAGAUCAUGCACAAUGGUUCUGAAGAUAUCAGAAGGUCAAUGGAUGUCAUUUUCAAGUUAAGGUACAAGAAGGACAACAGUGUACGACCACUACUCACUACCUCCAACAUUCUGAUGCGCGUUGUACUAAGAUACAUAUGUGUCUCUAUUGAAAAAGAACGGUUAAUUCCUUUUCAAGGAAAGGAUUCAAAUACAUUCCUUCAUAAGACAUUAACCAAAUCAAACAACAAAUCAAUAUUGAACGAUCAAGCUUCUCAAAAGACUCUUUGAUGCGCUGACACUCUCCAACGUCUCUUUUCUACCUCUAUAUAAAGGAUUGAAGAUAUUACAAGACUCUGCAAUAUUUUACAAGUGCGAAAACUCUGUCAAAUUCAUUACGCAUCAAACACUUAGAAUUUCUUAUAAAUUUUCAUAUCUUAGAAAUUCUUAAGUCUAGAGUCUCAACUGAUUUGUAUUUGUGAACACCUCUGAUUGUAUAUCAAGUGUUCAACCAAACAAUUAUUUCUUUGUAAUCUUUGUUUGUUAGAAGUUUCUUGCUUGUGUGCUUGCGAAUAUGAAGUAUUUUGCUUGUGUGCUUGAACAAUUGUAAUCUUGUGUGAUUAUAGUGAAAAAUCUCAUUCUAAGUGAUAAGGAGACUGAACUACUUCCAGGUUGUGGAAUGAACCAGGAUAAUUGCUUGUGUCUCUUUCUUCUCUCUAUCUCUUAAUAAUUUGUUGUACGUAACUCUGAAAAUUGAUUCAGGUUCUGAAUUCUAUCAAAAGUUGAACUUUGGACUUGGUUAAAAAGAAGAAAAAGUUAACACAAUUCAACUCAUUUUCUUGAAAAAAUAAAUAAAUUUUUAAAAAUGAAAAUCUGAGUUCUUUGGAAGAGAAAAAAUUACCAAAGUUUUUCGGAAUUUUAAAACUCAAAUAAUUUCAAAUUUCUUACCAACAUUUUCUUUUUUAUUUAUAAAAAAUAAGGGGUUAAAAUCGUGAAUAGAAUUUGUUUUAAAUAAAUUAAUAUUUUUUUUGCAAAACUCACAUUAUUCAGUUUACUUUUACGAGAAACUUUAUUUUAAAAAGAAAAAAAAAACAUGGUUAUAACCGUAGCAAAAUUUCCUUUUACUUUAAAAAGAAUCUCUUUUACAAAGCACCCAAGUUUAGAAUAUUCUGAAAUUUUAUAAAACUCAAAUUUGAGUUCUUCAAAGAACAUAUUUCAAAUAGCUCAAAUUUGACUUAUGAAAUUUUGAAAAACUUCAAAUUUAAGUUUUCUAAUAUUUAUUACUUGACAAAGUUAAAUAUAUUUUUUUUUGUGUGGGCUAAGCAGGCUAGUUAUGUUUUUGAUAUUCAUAAGUGGUGGUCGAAUUUCCUCCUAUGUUUAGGUAUCAACUAGCACUGUUGUGUUGUUAUUUAACUGAUUGUUUGUACAUUUAGAAGUUUCUUUGAUACGCCUUGUGUUGAGGGGAUCGUUUUGGUAUUGUUAAUAUAAUUCUUUUUUGCUUAUAAAAAAAAUAUUUUUAUCGACUCUUUUAAAAAGCUUUUCUUUUAUCCUACUGAGACAUCAAAAUCCAACGUAAUUUUUUUUUUUUCACAGAUUUUUCUAGUAAUAUGAUCAAGUGUACAUUUAUUUAAAUAUAUAUUGGAGUACAUGGUUGGAUUGUAAUUGUAAAUACGUGGGUCUAUCUUCACCAGCACGAUUUAGUGAGCUUUCAACUUCUCUCUAAUCUUUCAAUAUAAAAAAAAGAAAAAAACAUUGCUUCCCUAAAUUGAUUAAAUGCAUGUUUGAAUGUUCAAUGAGUUUGAUAAAAUUACAGUCAACCAUAAUAAUUUUAAAAAGUUUAGUUUUUAUUGAAUAACUCUAAUUCAUCGUGAUUUUGAUAAAUUAUGUGUAAUUUCAAAAACACACACUUUAUACAGGUUUGAAAUUUCAUUGGGUUUGAACAAAUGAUAUUGCUUAUAAUAUUUUAUCAAAGCUUUAAAACUUUUUUUUUGUUAAUUACCUUUUUAAUUCCAUAACUUUAAAAUCGAUCCCUUUCCUUAUUUUAAAAUUUUAGUCUGGUAUUCAAAAUUUAAAAUCAAUUAAGUUAGUGUCGACACAAUUUGGCCCCCCAACCUGACCCUUAAUAGAUGGAUGUGAUAGUAUAUUUUAUAAAUUAUAAGACCAAGUUACGUUAACUUAGAUAAAUUUAAUUUAUCGUAAAAGAAAUUAGAUAAGUUAAACGAUGAAAUUAACCAACUUUAAAGCUAACAAAUUUAUUGUUGAUAAGGAUAGACUAUUACUUUUUCCACCCUAUGUCUUUCCUUGCGCGCCCUAUUUUUUUCUAAUUUUACCCCUCGUCCGGAUUUCGUUUUCCGGAUCGUAUUGUUAGAAUUUUGCAGAUGUUUCCGAGUUUGAAAAUCCGGAAUAAUGUUUUACCCGAAGUUUUGCAAUUUUAAUCUUCAAAAUUCGUAAAAUAAAAUGCAAAUAAAAUAAAAAAAAACAUAAAUAAAAAGACACAAACAUAAAAACAACUCAUUUUAUUAAUAUAUGAACAAUACAUUACAAUAAUUUUCAAGCUUUUUAAGCUUAUUACAUAAGAUCCUAAAUCUAUUUCUAAUCUCCUAUGAGCCUAAUUCUAAUCUCCUAAGAGCCUAACCACUGGUAUGUGAUGGGACAUACCAGUAGUUUGCCUAUUGGAGGAAAACCGGAUGAGGAGGGCGGGAAGAAGAAAACAAUGCCCCUGAGGGAGAUGGGGGGUGCUCAAACUUACGCACAGACAUAUCAUGCUAAGAAUCACACUGACCCACAUGACCCUCAAAUGAACCGCGCUUCGUUGCAGCGAGGUUCCAUCCUCAUUGACCGUUCAUACAAACCCUGAAAGUUUUCAACGAGGCCCACAUCUAUGAAAGGCCAACGGUGGAAAACCAUGGUUGUAGAAGGAAGAAGAGGAGGAGAGGAUGGUGUGAGAAAUGGUGGGGUUGGAAGACUAUUUAUAGGGAGGGGUGGGUCAAAACGGUUGGGAGGCCAUAAAUGCAGUCAAAAAACGCAUUUUACCACGUUUUUUUUACUUGACCACCGACAAAAACGUGUGGUGCAGACCACCGGCCAUGACUGAUGCAUUCCGGAAUAUAUAAUCUGGAAAGCACAUCUGUUUUCCGGAAUAUAUUUUCCGGAUUAAUGCGAUAAGGGUGGCAAACGAGGGAAAAGUUGGCACUUCCCAUAGGGCUAAGGACAUUCCGGAAAGAUUCAGAGCCAUUAAUGUGGGUUUGGAUGGUUACAACAACCACUAACACGUUUUCAUUGACUGUAUUAAUGACCUAGGACUUGUUUUAGGCUAUAAAUAGGCUUCCAUCUUCAACAAAGACCUUCAUUCUUCACUUCAUCUCUUUUCUUACAUUUUCUUCAAAUGUUUUUUAGUUUUUUAGCGGUGUCGAUGGUGUCAUGGUCAUUGUUGACCGUUCAUAAGAACCCUACAAUUGCAAUGCGUUGCAGCUUGUGUGGAGUUCAUAUAACGGUUAACAGAGACCCUUGACAUCAAAGAAUGACACAUAAAAUUACAUAACUUGUCCGAAUUUAUGUUUCCGAAAAUCACUGACAAUCUGAUCCGGAUUAUGUAAUCCGAACCAGGGGUAUUUUAGUAAAUUUUGUAGGAUGGGCGAGAAGGGAGCAUGGUGGAAAAAGUAAUAGUCAUAAGGAUAUUAGGGCUUUUAAAAUUGUUGGUGUAUUUGUUAUGAUUCGAAUUGGCCUUGUCUUUGCCUAAGUUAAUUUCUUACUCCCUCCAUUCCAUAAUAAGUGAGCAUUUUGUAAAAAAAUAUUAUCAUAAAAUAAUGACAUAUUUCACUUUUCAAUACAAUAUUAAUUACUUUUUUUCAAUUAUAAUUAUAAUUAAUAUUAUUUUCAUUAUUCUCAAUUCAAUAUAUUCCAAUUUAUAUUUAUGAUGAUAAAGAAUGCAUUAAUACUUGAUAAAAACACUUAAAACUAUUUUUUUCUCUUUUAUUUAUAUAUAUUUUUUAAUAUAUGUAAAAUGAGUAAAUAACUCACUUAAUCUAAGACAAGUGAAGUAUAUUUUAUGACUCAUCUGAACAAAGCUCGCACUACAACAAUUGUUUUAACUUCUCCUCUUGCAUGCUUUUUUUAUCAUGAUUGACAAUCUGUUUUGAAAGUUCCUUAAUGGUUUGUGAGAUAAGUUUAAUUUGAGCAAGGAUUGCAUCUCGGUGGCAUUUUAUAUGGGAAAGGUUAAUCCUUUCCUACCAUGGGAAAUUUGGAUUUAAUGAUUAGAUUAAGUGAAGAACAUAUUCUUAACAUGCUCUCUCAGCACUAGAAUUUUCUUCACACUAUCUUCCAACAAUUUAAAAAUUCAAAAAAUUAAUUUUUAGAAAUUAAAAAAAUAUAAAAAAAUUCAGAUAAUUUUUUUUUUAAAAUUCUGUAAGUCAUUUAUUGAAUGUUAGAUUUUUCUUUUUGAAAAAAUGAAAAAAAAAAUUGUUCAGAAUUUUCCAGAAUUUUAUUUCAAAAAAUUUUCAGAAACCUUAUUUUCCAGAAUUUUAUUUUCUUAGAAUAAUAAAAAACUUUAAUUUCAAAAUAUUUUUUUUAGGAUUUUUAUUUUAUUUUUCAGAAUAUCUUAUUUUAUUAUGAAAUUAAAAAAAUAUAUUCUUUUUAGAAAAAUAAAAACUUAUCUUAGUUUCCAAAAUUUAAAUUUUAUUGAAAUAAUUUUUUUUUUCAAAAAAACUGAUUUUUUUUCGAUUUUUUUAAUUUCUGAAAAUUAACUUUCAGAAUUUUUAAAUUAUUGGAAGAUAGUGUGAAGAAAAAUCUUGUGUUGAAAGAGCAUGUUAAGAAUAUAUUCUUCACUUAAUCAAAAUCAUUGAAUCCAACUUUCCCUUGUGAACACACACCUUGCAUCUCUUUGUCCAUAUCAUCAUUGUUCUUGUUGUUUAAAAUGUAUCUUGAAAAACAAGGUUUGAAAACUCAAUAGAUUGUACUGGAAAGAUACGGACCCACCUAUUAAUAACUCAACCAUGGUUUUUUGUUGUUGAUGUAUACUUGACCAUGGUUAAAUAUGUAUGAGUAUAAUUCAAUCAUGUUUUUUUUUUUUUGUUUUAAAGAUAAUUCAAUCAUGAUUGUCCUCGUAAAUAUAACUCAGUUGGUAGGAACAUGCAUUGUUAUAUGUUGGGAUCGGAGUUUCAAUCCGAACACCCCACUUAUUUUCUUGAAAAAGAUGAAUUUUAACGACUAGACUAACUGCCAAAAAAUUCAAUCAUGAUUGAAUCCUACUCCAUAUAUAUUUAAAUACUAAUUAAUAUUUUACGGACACUAGUUAAAAAAUUAAUAAAAAUAAAAGUAGUUUUUUUUUUUUUCUUUCAACCACACAAAUGAUAAUAACUUUGUUUUUCAUGGAAUGAAGUUUAAGGGAACUGGGAUUCAAAAAAUUAUCAUCAAAAUUUAGAGCACGCUCAUAAAAUAAUUUACAUAUUUGUCAAAAAAAUAAUUUACAUAUUAUAUAUUAACGAGAUGUUCUCCAAUUGUUCAAAAAAACGAGAUGUCCUAUAACAGUAGUUGGAUUUGAAUUUAUGUUCAAUUUUUUUAUAAGAUUUGAGUUGAAUCUUUACUGAUUAAAUCAAAGUACGUUAAUUGUGUCAAAAAAAAAUACAAUAAUUUAUACAUUAAUUGUGAGAAAUUAAAAAUUAUAUAUUAAUAAAAAAAUAUCAAAAAAAUAAUUUAUUUAAAUGAAUACUAGACACUUAAUAUAAAUUAAUACUUUAUUAAAAAAAAUUAAUACUUAAAUAUUUAUUUAGAUAAACUAUGGAGUGUAUGCGGAGGGCUGACAUCCUAGACCCCAAUAACAAUUUACAACACACAUGAUUUUAUGUACAAUUAAUGGCUGAGUUAGGAAAAAGUUUGGAUGGACCACAAAAAUAAACUAUAAUAUAUAUAGACAAAAUUUAUGAUUUAACAAGUAUUAAGUAUAAAGUUGACUAUCAAAAAGUUAAAUUACAUACUUUAAAAAUUCAAAAUAAUUAUCUAUGUAUUUCGAUUGACUUGAAAGUAUGAUAAUAAUGCAUACUGGGGUGAAGUGUAUGUUUGGAUUCACUUAUAGAGGGACCAGAAAUGAUUAUGGAGUCUAGAAUUGAUUAUAACCUCUUAGGUUGUUGUCGAGUAGAAUUGAUUCUACUUGAACCUAGGAUUUUUAAUUUUUGAUUCUAAAAUUGAUUUUCGCACACACGAAUUGAUGAGAUCAAGAGCUCAUUUCUAUGAACACGAUUCCUUAAUUCGCUUCCGAAGACUUUCUGAUUCUCAUCACAAAUACAUAAUUCAACACAUUUUUAUAUGAAAAGUAUACAGACACAAAUUAUUUUUAAUCAGAAUUACUUUUCACCAAAAUCAAUUAUAUCAUAAUCAACUGUCCCCACCGAACAACCAAGCAUAUGCAUAGAAGAGGGUGGAUCACAAUAUAAUUUUAUUUAAAAGUCAAAACCUCCCCUAUAAAAAAAUAAAUAAAUUGUUUUGAUGGGGUGCGGCGCGAUUCACCCGAGUCUUAGAGGGACUCCACUCCUAUGUCUAAUCAUAUUUGAUGUCAUGCGAUUAACGAGAAUUUGAAUCCUAAAACUAAAUUUAGUGCAUAUAAUUUAUGGACUAAUUUGAUAAUAAGCGAUAUGAUUUAAGAACUAACUUGAUAAUAAGUGAAAUAAUCCAAAAAUAAUUUGUUAGUAAGUGGUAUAAUUUAGAGACUAAUCAUUUUAGUAAAUUAGAUAGAACCUAACACAAAGAUUAAGUUGCUCAAAAAUAAUUCAAAAUUAGAAUAUCUAGUAUCUAUUUGUAGAUUUCAAGUUUUUAAAUCUCAUUCCUACAAUUUGAGAAAGUAAAUUGAUGAUUUACUUCUUCAAAUAUUGAAAAGAACAAACAAUACGUCAAGUGGUGGGGCCAAGUGUUAUUAUUGCUACAAUAUCUUACUAUAAACGAAGAGGUGCAAUUUGGGAACAUAUCGACCCUUCAAAGAAGAUAGGGUGUGUUUGACUACUCACCACGAGGCAGCAUGAGCAUAAUUGCUUUGUGGUGUCAUGUAGGUGAGGUAGUUUGGCAGAUUCAUUGCAAGUGGAAAGGAAGGACAAUCCAAGGCACCAAAGUGUACGUGUUGUUGUUCUUCAUAUGUGACACAUCGAAAACGAUGUAAGAAUUGGUUAAUCAAACAAUUGAAUUUAAAUGAUUAAUAAGUUUAAUCAAAUGACGAAUCAUUUAAGAAAAAAUAUAAAAGUUCGAUCAUUAGAUGGAACAGUUAUUGACUACACUUUAUUUAUUUUUCGACUAAACUUUAGAUUAUCAAUGUCUUCUUCCUCUAAAAAUCAAAAGGUUACCAAAAAACGAUACAUCAAAAACGAGGGGGUUGAGUAAUCAAGAAGGUGGAGUUAGUGGAGAGCAGCUGAGAAAUGUGUGGUGCUUGACUAGUAGUUGUGGGCAUGUGCUAAUUGCAUAUGCAUAUGCUAUUUCUUUUUUCUUUUAAAAAGUAAAGAUGCGACUAAAUAUAUCUCGCAAGUGUAGCCCAAAUGAUAAAAGAUUGCAAAAAUAUUUGAUAUGCUAAAGAAUAAAAUCGAAUCACGUUAUAGUUAUUCUUUAUUUUUAAUAUUUAUUGUGUAUGAGUUUCAACGAUAAAAAAUUUUAAACUAAAAGUAAAGGAUGUAAUUAAAUAUCAAUAUAGUGAGUGUAACAUAAUAGUUCAUAAAUAAUCAGAUAUAUUAAUUAUGUGAAUGUUGAAGAAAUCAUUAUUGCCGAACCCGAUGCUUACAUAGCAUUUGCAUGUAAAAGAGUAAUUGAACAAACGUUGAAUAUCGUAGUGUUCCAAGAUUCACAAUCGGCUGAAUUUUUAUUCGAAAAUGGCUUAUUUGAUUCAAUCGUACCACAUAAUUUUUUAAAAGAGGUUUUAAGAGAGUUAUUGCAUUUCCAUGGUUGCUUUCCUUUAACUCAAACUGAAAAAUAAUUCAGACUUUAAUUUCAUUUUUUUUUCUUUUUCAAUUUGGAACUUCAAAUAGAAUUAUAAUAAAUUAUUAUUAUACAAAAAUCAAAUCAGAACACACAAUAAUAAGAUAAGAAUAGAAAAAUAUUAAAAAUAAUAUAAUAAAAAGAGGUAUGCCACUUGUUUAGGUUUCUCAACAAAAAAAAAUAAAAUUAUGGGUGGUUCCUCAACAAUUGUUUAUAAGACAUUUGUUAGCAUGACCAUUAAACAAAUAUCCAUACAAAAAUAUACUCUUUCUAGUAUUAAAUAUUAAAAUGUAUUUGAAUCAAUUUGGUACUAAUGACCAUUUUAAACAAGAUUAUUCAAAGAAAUAUGAACUUAUAAUUUCAACUUUCACCGUUAAGCUAACAUUUUUUAAACAGAGAUAUAUAAGAUUCAAAACUUAAGAAUAAUAGAUUUAUUAUUAUAAGAAUAACACUAACAACAUACUUUUUAGCAUAUUUUUUUCAACACUCGCUCUUUACUUGAUUAAUAUACAAUGAGAUUCAUUAAAUUAUGUGGGACGAACAUACAUGAUUUUGUAAGAUUCAUUUAAAUCUUCAACAAAUUAGACAAUAUAUUUUCAUAAGAGUUUUUUUUUUUUUGAUGAAAAGUGUAUUAAAGAGUACAUUGUAUAACUAUUUUUUAAGAUUUUAAAUAUUAGUCAAAUUAACUUUUGAUUGAGAUUAAAUAUUAUCAUUAAAAAUUAUAGUAGACAAUAAUUAAUUAAUUUGACUUACAUUUAACUACAAAUUAAUACUUUUUUUUAACAAAUAUGUAUUUGUAUUUUUUAUUAAGUAGAAUUUUUAUUCUUUUCUUUUAAUCCCAAAUCUCAAGCAAAGCCACAAGAUGGUGGUUCGAGGCCCACUUAUAUUUUUAAAUUUUUGACAUUAUUAGGUCAAUUGACAACAACAACUAGUGCUUUGCUUGCUGCGUCCUCCCAUGCCUCUUCUAAUCAAAUAUGCAUUUUAAGAAUCAUAUUGUUGAAUAAAAUAAUAAAUAACCGUCUGUUUGAGCAUAACUUAGUUAGCAAAAACAUUGCAGGGAGUAAGAGUUCAAAUCUUAAAUUUCUUAUUUAUUCACUUUAAUCACAGAGGAAAAAAAAUUAAGUGAUUGAGAUUCAACAAGUGGAUGAAUUUCGAGCAACUAACACUUAAUCACACACAAAAAAAAAACAGUUAUUGAGAUAAAUUAAUAAUUUUUUUAAUUAUUUGGAACAUCCUAACUUUGAAUUUUAAUCAGAUUAAUAAUUAGUUACACUUUAUUUUUUUUAAGUUUUUUCAGGGGUAGUUAAAUGGUUGAAAUUUAGGGUUUAACUCAUCCUUACUUGAUUGGAUUAAUUAUUAGUUAAACUUUAUCUUUUAAAGUUUUCUUAGGAUAGCUAAACCGUUGAAAUUUUAGGUUUAACCCAUCCUUACAAAACCAACUUAUAAGGUGAGAGAUGCAUCCUUUUUAUAAACUAUUAUCCAGAGUUUUAUCUCCUUACAUCCCUUUUUACGCCAAUACUCUUUUUUGGACUUGGUGCGUGGAUUGACAUGUGACCUUUCAAUUCGACAAGUUCUGACACCAUGUAAGAAAUCGGGGUUGGUGUUAACACUAAAACAACCUCACAAACCGUUUUGUCAGGUGAGAAUUGUUCCCCUCCUCUUAUAAAAACUUUGUCAGGUCAUCUCUAAUUCGAUGUGUGAUUCUUUGACAUACCCUUUCACGCUCAUAACUGAACAUAUGAAGCAUGGAUAUAGGGUGGGUGACCCGAUAGUGGAAAUCAACGAAUCUUGAAUGAGACUCUGAUAUCAUCUUAAAAAUUUUGGUUGGGUAUAACACAACACAACCCAACAAAACCAAUUUGUGAGGUCAUGAUUAACCCCAUUUAUAAACAUAUUGUCAGAUCAUCUUUUGUAUGAUGUGAAACAUUUUUAACAUAAGCUUGAUAGUUACGACAAAAAAGUAUCCUAUUGACUUUAAAUGCAUUCAAAUAGGCAUAUUUAACAAUGACUAUUUCCAAAUCUUGCUUAACAUAUUGGAUUUUCACGUGGACCCCUCAAGUUCUGUCCUGUAACUCGAUCUUAUGGUAGCUUAAGUGCUGAACCACAACUAAAAUCUUAUUUAAACAAAUAAUGAAACAAAUGGCACCACUUGGACUUUUAAUCCUUGAUGUCCAAUGAUAUUAGUUUAAACUUUAAUAAUGAUAUAUUUGGUGUCAUUGAAGAGAAUGUUUAAUCUUAUAGGAGAAGUUUGUUGAUCUUGUCAUACUUUGGAUUGGACCCAUACAAAAAUGAUAUAUAAAAAUUUAAAAAGAAAUUAAAAUAAUGAAGUUUUAUUAUUGAUUCUUUUUUUUUCCACUCAUUGAUUGAUUAAUUCAACAAUAGACUUAUUCGGCAUAUAAGAUAGAAUAUAAAGGACAAAUUACGUGUCGUACAUAUAUUUAAGGGAUUUUUCCAAAAACAACGCUAGCUAUAUUUUUUAAAAGUUUUUUUUGACAAGAUUUUUUAAAAGUUAUUAUUAUAUUCAGUGUAUGUGAAAAAAGAUUAAAAGAUAAUAAAAAUAAACAAGAUGCAUAUUUUACGCCGCUUAAAAGUUACACCAAUUUUACACCGCUCAUAUCGUUUCACUCGAUGCAUAUUUUUUAAAUUUGACCGUUAGAUUGUAAGUUUAUAUCACAUAGAUCAUUCAAGUAAAUUUUUACGAAAAUCUAAACCUGUUUUAUAAGUUAUUGAGAUACAUCAAGAUUAACUUUUAUGCACUUUUAUAAACUUACAAUCCACACUCACCCCAAAACACUAAGGUGCAAGUUAGCAAACUACACCCACCUAAAAUUAUUAAAAUGCAAGUUAUCAACUUACAUCCACUUGAUUAUUUACACUCAUUUUUAUAACUUUUAACAAAUAAUUUGUACCCACCUCACUAAUUUACACCCACUUUCAUCAUUUAACAUAUUGUUUCUUAAAAGUUUGUCUCACCUUAUACUAAAAAACGUGUAAUUUUUGUUUUUGAGACAAAAGCUUCAAUUGAUUUUUUUUGCCACAAGUUUAUUAAAAAAAAAAAAAAAACUUCAGGCUUAUUCGAUAAAAAAAAAUUGAUAGUGUCUUAGAAUUAAUUUUUUUGUGAAGUACUUAAAAUGAGUACUUGUUUAUUUUGGUGAAAGUUUAAAUAAGAAAAUUAAUAAAGUCAAUUUUGCUUAAAAUGAGUACCUAUUCAACGUAAAAAAAAAAAACGUACUUAUUCUGUAGCAAAAUAAUAACAUUGCUUCGUAAUAAAAAUAAAUAAAUAAAUUGUACCAAAAAAUAAACAUGUUAAGCAACGUCCAGGCAUAACAAACAUCAAAUAACAAAACAAUUAACAAAGAGUUGAGAAAUGUAAGACAAAACAAACAUUAAACAAACAUGUUUCUAAUAUUUUAUUUCUAAAAUAAAAUAAAUUUACAAAUUUACAAGUUUAUACUUUGCUUAAAACAUUAUUUAAAUAGAUAAAAGUGGGUUUUUGGUAAAAAACAAGUGGAUGUAACUUGCUAAUUUGCACCUUAGUAUUUUUGGGUAGGUGUAAGUUAGCAAAUUAUAACAAAUGAAGACGUCAUAUGUUUAAAAAUAUCGGUUGAUGGUGGUUUCAUUGAGGGAGGUGUAUGCUCCUUUCUCACAUGAGAAGAGAGAAAGGAAAAUAGAAGGAAAAAAAAAAGAUACGAAAAAAGAUUUGAGAUUGAGAGAAGAUAAGAGGUAAAAACUAAGCAUUGUGUGUUUUGUUUAUGAAGGUAUAAGAAAUAGUGAGUUGUCGGAUAAAUUUGUGAGUUUAUUGAAGGAGUUAGAGAUUUUUUGGACAAUUAUUUUAUCAAAAAAAUUAAAUUCAAUUAAAAAAACACUAAAUAUUUUUAAAUAUCUAAUAAACAUGUAUUUAUCAACAGAGCACAACACAUUGACAAUUUUUCAUUAUCGUUUGCCACAAACGGUGUAAUACCCUAUUUAAUUAUUUGAUUAUUUUAUUGAGUUUAGAGUCUAUUUAUAUGAUUUAUGUGAUUUAAAUGAUUAUGUGGUGUGUUGUUGAUUUAUUAAGUGGCUUUAUUUUAUUUACUAUUUAAUAGAAUAAGAUUUGAAAAUAAAAUAAUAUUAAGUUGAGGGGGUUGUUUUGGAAUUUAGAAGAGUUUAUUGGAAUAAGUGGAAAUAAGAUAAAGAGGGUUGAGGAAAUAAAUAGGAGAAACUAAAGUCAAAAUAGUUUUCACGUGAAACCUGUUUUUGAAACCUGUUUUUGGAGAAAAUGGAAUAAACCAAGAGAAGAGGAGAACCAAAGAGGAGAAGCUUUCGAUCGAUUAACCUAAGGUAAGGGUGGGACUAACUUUCUCCAAUUCUAAGUGUUAUAAUUCUGAAAAUUGGAUUUGACAAGUUGUAGGUUGUAGUUUUGGGGAUUUGAGAAUUAGGUUUAAAAGUUGGAAAAUUGAUUAAUUAAGAGUAGGAAUAUGUUGAAUUGAUGUAGAAAUAGUGUCCAGACCUUAGAUCAUUCAUAGAACAAUGAUUAGUAUCAGUUUUAUGGUUAGAGUUGUGGAAUUAGGUGAGUUUUUGGUGAAAACUGCAUUCUGCCCGAGCUGACAUUCAUCGCUCGCCAUAGCGAGUAGCUGCUCUCGCCUCGCGAGUGAUGAUCCUCAUCGCUCGCCUUGCGAGUAAUUCCCCUCGCCCCGCGAGUGAACCCAGUUGCCGCUCGCCAUAGCGAGUUACCCAGUGAGAAAAACAUGAUUUUGUGAAUUAACAUUUUCGGUCGAGUUUUAGAUGGUUUUGAGUGCCUUAACAUGUUUAGAAAUGAUUAGGCAAGUUUUUAGAUUAAAUUUAGGCAUAGAGAAGUUAAAAAUGGGAUUUUUGAGUGAAAAAUGUCAAACUCCCGAGAGCCAUCAGUUUUAGCUCGCCACAGCGAGUAACUUACUCGCCAUAGCGAGUACUGUAACACCCCAUUUUCCCAACUUGAAAUUUUUUGCAUAAAUCAGAGUAAAACAAGUAAACAGGAUGUUACACUUCUUUCAAAUCUGAAUAUAGUAAAAUUACUAAUUAUCUCAAUCAUCAAAUUAAAUCUUAUUGCAGCAGAAAUUAUUUCAACGUUUAAAACAUCCUUGGCACAAAGGCCUCAAUGUAAAAUCUCAUAAAAUAAUUCCAAUAAGAUGUUCAUAAAACUUCAUAAAAUAAUACGUAAGAAACAGAAAGCAACAACAAAAUUCUCAUCCCGUUACGUAUCAGAGCACCUAAGACACAUGUGAGAGAAUCGACUCACUUCACAGUUAAUCUUGAUUACCUGCAAGUUACCCAAUUGUGAGGGCAACAUUUCCAAGUAGAAGGGUUGAGAUUGCACAUUCAAUAAUAAUAAGCAUAUAAUUCAUCAAAAGCAUUUAACAACUUAAACUUCAUCAAUUAAUAACAUUAACUCUUCUUAUAAUACUUUAUUAAUAACUCAACCAACUUCUAAUCAUCAUUAACUUUAGGGUUAAUGGUGUUUUAUCCCCAGUAAUAUAGGUCAUUUUUUUGUUUCCCUCCCUGUAAAAUAUUUUUUUUAAUUUACCACCUGUAAAUUUUUUUUUUUUUUGGAAUACCCCCUAUAGGUCAUAAAAAAACGAAAAAAUUCUGAAAAAAAAAAAUAAAGUCGUUUUUUUAUGACCUGUUAGGGGGUAUUCCAAAAAAUAUAUAUUUUACAGGGGGUAAAUCAAAAAAAAUAUUUUACAGGGGGGAAAACCAAAAAUGACCUAUAUUACAAGGGGGGUAAAGCACCAUUAACCCUUAACUUUAUAUUCAUCACAUUAUAUACAACAUCAUAUAGCACAUAAUAAUCAGAUCAUAAACAUCAUCAUAUAACGACAUAAUCUUCACAUCAUAAACAUCAUCUUAUAACAACAUAGACAACACAUCAUAAACAACAUAACAACAUCAUAAAAACUUCAUUAACGACACAUGGGUAAAUAACAACUUAACAACAACGACACUACUUCAACUCGACAAUGCAACUUAGACAUCUUACACAUCUUGAACCAUCUAGACAAAAUGCAACUACGACCUCUUAAUCAUGCAUGUGGUACCAACCAGAGCAUCAAGCCCCCAACGUAUUGAGCGUAAAUAGGCUCACAUGGCAUCAAUCCCUCAACUUACAGGGCAUCAAGCCCUCAACAUAAUAUGUAUAAAUGAGUAUGCAUGGACUCAACGUCUUACAACUUAAACAACUUAGACAUCUCAUAUGACUCCAAUAAUUUGGAUCAACAUCUUACAACUUAAACAUCUCAUAUGACUCCAAUAAUUUGGAUCAACAUCUUACAACUUUAACAACUUGACCAACAUAUGCAACUUAAUGAUUUAAUAAUCAAUACAGCAGAGACAACAACAUACAACAACUUCACAACAUAACAUCAUUAAUAAUAACAACUUAAAUGGUAUAACAACAUUAUUUUCUAUAUCAUACCUUUUUCACAUAAAUAUAUGUAACUCAAAUUAUUCAACAACAACAUUCACAUAAUAUAUGUAUUUCUAAUUAUCCUACAAAGAUAUUCACGUCAAACCAAAUUAGAUCUAUCACAACAUAGGUUAAAUACUCUUAAACACCCUAGUUGAACUCAGUACUUCUAGUUUUGAGGUUUGGAAUUAUUCCUUAAGUUUUGGAUUAACUUAGAAACGAUUAUGCUGAAUUUUCAUAAGAUUUCACUAAGACCUCCUUGGAGUAUUUUCAUCAUAUCUCAAGAAUCUAAUAUUAUUUUCACGUCAAACCAAAGCCACUGGAAAACUAACUCAAUUAUCUACAACUUUCAUGUUUACACCAAAUGCCAAUUCAAAACAGAAACGUGUGAAAUAGACGCAAGAACAUGAAACAGGAGAUGUUGUCACUGUGUAGCUCUCGGGAAAAACCCAUUUUUCACCCCAAAAUCUCAAUUUUAACUUCCCUAUGCCCAAAUUUGAUUUCAAAACUUGUCUAACCAUUUCUAUACAUGAUAAGGCACUCAAAACCAUAUAAAACUUGACCCAAAACAUUAUUUUAGAAAUUCACCAAUUAUCAACCAAAUUCAUCGGAUUAUCUACUCUUUCUACGAUCAAUUUUAGUUUCAAACCCUAAUUUUACAACAUCAAAACCUAUUAACAACUGCAAGGUUAAACCCUUUUUCAGAAUUACAUACUUAUGAUUAAAGAAGGUUAGUCCCACCCUUACCUUAGGUUAAUCGAUCGAACUCUACAAGAUUGCUCCUCUUCUCACAAGAUUCUUUUCUUCUCUGACUUCUCUCUUCUCUUGGUUUUCUCCCUUUUUCUCCAAAAUAGGUUUCACGAAAUCCUUAUUUUCUAAUUCUAACUCUCCCCUUUUAUAUAAAUCUUUAACCUACUUAUUUUCUCUUAUUUCCAAAUCUCCACAAAAUCUCCAUAUUUUAUUCUAAUAUAUAUAUAUAUAUAUAUAUAAUAUAAGAUAUUUCUAUAACAAUUAACAUAUAUUUUUACACCAAAUAACAUAUAUUUCUACAACAAAUAACAUAUAUUUCUACAACAAAUCAUAUAUAUUUCUGCAACAAAUAACAUAUAUUUCUACUACAAAUCAUAUAAUUUCUACAACAAAUAACAUAUAUUUCUACUACAAAUCAUAUAUAUUUCUACAACAAAUAACAUAUAUUUCUACAACAAAUAACAUAUAUAUUUCACUAAUAAAUAUCAACAUAUAACUUAACAAAAUAUCGAUCAUCUAAUUUCCAAAACAGCCCCCACAACUUUAAUCUUAUUUUAUUUUCAAAUCUUAUUCCAUUAAAUAAUAAAAUAAGCCACUUAAUAAAUCACAUAAUCAUAUAAAUAUAUUCUAAACCUAUUAAAAUAAUCAAAUAAAUCGAAUAAUUCAAAGAGGGCGUUACAAGUACCCCUUUUGUUGAACUCGCCAUAGCGAGUAGAGUGGCUCGCCUCACGAGUUACUCAGUGGCAGUUAGCCUCACUUGGUGUUCUUGCGAUCUUUGUCGCACGUGAUGUUCUGAGUUGGUCUUUGGGGUAGGAAUGAAGUUGUUUAUAAUUAUAUUGUGGUUCAGUGAGUCUGAAUUAAAAUGAUUAAUGUUGUUGGUUAAUUUGAAAUACAUAUAUUAUGUGGAAAAUGUUUGAUAUAGAAAAUAUUGUUGUUUAUAUCAUUCAAAUUGUUAUUAUUAAUGUUGCUAUGUUACAAGUUGUUUUAUGUUGCUGUCUCUGCUGUUGUUGAUUAUUAAUAUCAUUAAGUUGCAAGUGUUGGUCUAAGUUGCAAAGUUGUAAGUUGUUGUUCCAAGAUAUUGGAGUCAUAUAAGUUGUCUAAGUUAUAAGUUGCUGAGUCCAUGCAUACUCAUUUAAGUUGAGGGUUUGAUGCCCUGUGAGCCUAUUUGCUCUUUAAGUUGAGGGCUUGAUGCCCUGUGCGCCUAUUUGCUCUUUAAGUUGAGGGCUUGAUGCCCUGGUUGGUACCACAUGCAUGAUUUAAAUGUUGUAGUUGCAGUGUCGAGUUGAAGUCGUUGUUGUCGCAUUGUCGUUGUUAUUAAGUUGUCAUCUAUCAAUGAGUUGUUAAUGAAGUACUAUAUGAAGAAUUAUUAUUAUUAAUUGAUGAUGUCUAAGUUGUUAAAUGCAUUUGAUGAAUUAUAUGCUUAUUAUUAUUGAAUGUGAAAUCUCACCCCUUCUGUUUGAAUGUUGCCUCUACGUGGGUAACGUGCAGAUAACCAAGGAUAGGUGUUGAAGUGAGUGACUCUCUCACGCGUCGUCUUAGGGUCGCACUGAUACGUAACGGGAUGGGGACCUUACUUGUUUUCCAUGUGUUACGUAAUUGUUAUGAUUUUAUGUCAAAGAUUUGCCUAGACUGAAUUUUAAUAAGUUGUUUAAGUUGAGGCCGUUGUGUCAUUACGAUAUUUAAUUUAAUGUUUUCCGCUGCAAUGAGAUUUAAAUUGAUGACAGGAGAUGAUUGAAAUAAAUAGUAAUUUUACUAUAAUUACAUUUUAAAGAAGUGUAGCAUCCUGUUUUAGUUGUUUACUCUGAUUUUAUACUAAAAUUUUCAAGUUGCGAAAACGGUGUGUUACAAACGGCCGAAAGUAAAUAAAUUUGAAAUGACUGAGGUUGAAUGGAAAAAUUCACAAGAAAGAGAAUGACAUUCAAAAACUAAAAUUUAAGAUUGAAAAGUUAAAGACUUAAUUGCAGUUUUAGUCCCCUAUUUUCAUCAACUCAUGAACUGGUCUGUUCAUUUUAAAAGCACUCAGUUUUGAUCCCUUUAUACUAUUUUUAGACUCAAAAGCAAUGAUGUGACAUAUUUUAAAUGACCUUCUGUAUAGUCUGAUGAUGUAGAAUGGUCAAUUCCAAUGUAAUUACCUGAAAACUCCCUUAAAGUGUCAAUCUAAGUAUGACAUAUCACCAUUUUUAAGUUCAAAAAUCUGAAAGAGGGACCAAAACUGAGUAAUUUGAAAAUGGAAGGACAAUUUCAGUGAGUGAGUGAAAAUAGAAGGACCAGAACUACAAUUAAGCCAAAAUUAAACAAAUGACAUCCAAAACUAAAAAAAAUAGUUCAUCAUAUUGUUGUGAGUUUCAGGGAUUCUACAUUGAGUUUGAUCAUCACGUUAGAUUAAAAAAAAAAUCAAACAAGUGAUUUGACACCACAUCUUCACACUAAAUCUUAAUGUAUUAGGUAUAUGAAUCAUAUCACUUGUAUGUUGUUCAACAUCUACUCUUGCAUCCAAUGUGAAAUUUUAACUCACAAUUGACACAUUAACUACUUUUCCUAAAGUAUGCGACUAUAUGCAUUUAUGAUCUACCACGAUGAACUACUCAUGUUUCCCCGACAAAGUUGAACUGUGUUAUGAUAUUGUCGUUGGACUUUACAUGAUAGCCAACACCGAUGUUGAUCGACUCAGUGAACACAAAGCAACCACACAAAUGAGCAUUAUACCACGUAUUUACACAAUAUUUUGAAUUUGACAAAAUUAUAGCUCGUUCUUGAGACAUGUAUCCAUACCAGUUGAUUAAAUAAUUUAACAACAGACUUAUCGGGCAUAUAAGAUAGAAUAUAUAGGACAAAUUACGUAUUUGUACAUGUAUUUAAGGGAUUUUUUCGAAAAAAAGGAUAGCUAUAUUUUUUUUAAAGUUAUAUUCAGUGUAUGUAAAAAAAAAGAGAUUAAAAGAUAAUGAAAUAAACAAGAAUUGAUAUAUAUAUAUAUAUAUAUAUAUAUAUAUAUAUAUAUAUAUAUUUGUGUGUGUGUGUAUGUAUGUAUGUAUAAACUAAGAUUUGGGUUUAAACUAAGACUAGGGUUUAGAUUUGGUACCAUAUUCUAAUAUGUUGUCAAUUGUUCAUAUAUUAUUAAAUAAGGGAGAAAAUUACAUAAAAAUUGGGGGGACAUAAAACCUGACCCAGUCAACAACCCUAGCGGGCAAAACAUAAAAAAAGAUCUACCAAAUGGAUUUAAUCCUGAACAAUUCUAACAAACGAUUAUUAUCAAACUGGUCUAAAGUUUGACGAAUAAAUCAAUCGUCAACACGAAGUCGACUCACGUACCAUCAACUCUCUGCAAAAACGACAUCAAAUUUUAACGACUUUUUCAAAUUCAUAUAGUCCCAUGACAAUCAAUCUGUGAAGCCUGGAUACGAGAUACAAUACGAAUACGAUACUGCACCGAUACACCGAUACGUGAAAAUUUCAAAAAUCAAGAUACGAUACGGCUGGAAUACGUUAAUAAAAAAAAUUAUAUAAUUAAAUGUAUAAUAUAAUUAUAACCUUUUUUUUAAUAUGCAAAUAUAUUAACAAACACAAGAAACUAGACUCGUAGCACAUUAACAUAAAUAUAAGGCUUAAUACAUCCUUUGGUCCCUUAACUUAUUUUUGGUUUUCAAUUUGGUCCCCUAACUAUAAAGUGUUUCAAUUUGGUCCCAUAAGUCUUCUGCGGUUUACCAUUUUGGUCCUCUCCGUUAGUUUUUAACCUUAAAUGUCUAAUGUGAACCAACUUUAUAGACGGUCCACCAUAGAUUUUAUUAAAUCACAAAUUUUUAACCAUUUGAUAUUUUUUUUAAAAUGGAGACCGUUGGAUCAUGGAGAGAUCUAUUGUAGCUUAUAAUGAACCACAAACACCUAAUUUUUUCCUCCAUCUUCUUCCCUAUGUUCUUCUUCAUCCCCGGAUUCCAAUCUCAGCCCCAAUUUCAAUCCCCAAAUCCAAUCCAAUUUAAAUCUAAACAUCUAUCUCCAACAACAACAUCAACAAUUUCUUCAUGGCCAACAAUAACAAUAGCUGCAGCAACAACAACAAUAAGCAAAAUUCAAAAACUUGUGGAAUACCCAUUAAUCCACAAGCAAUUCACAAUAGACAACACUGAAAUCAACAACAUCAUUAAUCCACAUAUCCACAGCUCAAUUAUCAUACACGGAUACAUCAAUUCCACCAUCACAAUUUCACCGUUGUACAGAGGAAUUAGAACAAACCACUAUUUAUCACAAUCUGCAAUUGACAACACUAAAAUCAGCAACAACAUUAAGCAUAACUCCACAAAUCGCACAUCAAAAUUUUACAUAAAUAUGGUUCCAAUCCAAAACCAGAAUUGAACAAAACUCGCAACAACAUUGCCAGAUUAAAACCUCCUAGCAUACUCCUCAGCAACAAUCAUAACAGCAACACAUUUUCUCUGAAGAGCAUCACGCUUAGCUUUCAUGGAUGCAGAUUCAUCAACCACAUCACCAUAACCACCACCGCUAACAACAACAAUUUCAGGCGGCGGCGGCACCACUUUCGGCACCGCAACUUGAAUCGUUCCACCAUCUUCCUUCCGUGAAUCACCGAGGACGGAAGGGGUGUAGGGUUGACGGCAGCGAUGACUUCAAUUUGGGCUCCAGCGGCAGUGUUGUUUCCGUUUGGAAUGGAAUUCGUUUCCAUUGGGAGAAGGAAAAGAAUGGAAUCUCAAUUCUCACAUAUUUUGUUGUUACAUCUUUUUUUCCGUUAGGGUUUUAAAAAAAAAAAAGAUAACUCCUGUACACGUGUCACCUUGUCAUUGGCUCUGAGUUUUUUUCUUUUUUUUUUUACAAAAAAAAUUAUUUUUUUUUUUAAAAAAAUCCCAAAGCCAAUGACAAAGUGACACGUGUCCCAGAGUUAACACGUGUCACCUUGUCAUUGGUUCUGGAAAUUUUUUACAAAAAAAUAAAAAAUAUAUAUAUAUAUUUAAAAAAAAAUUAAUUAUUUUUUUUUAUAAAAAAAAUAUAAUUUUUUUUUUAUAAAAAAAAUAAAAAAAUCUCAGAGCUAAUGACAAGGUGACACGUGUCCACACUUAACGUUUUUUAUUAAAACUAACGGAAACCUAACAGAAGGGACCAAAACGAGACUAAAAAAAACUUAAAAUCCUCAAACAAUCUUUUUUUUAGUUAAGGGACCAAAGCGAUACCAAUUAAAUAGUUAAGGGACCAAAAGAGCAUUUAAGCCUUUCUUUUUUUUCAUGUACGAUCUUGGUGAUGGUUGUUCUACCUCGCUGAUUUUACUAUUUUUGUUAUGUUGUAAAUGAAUCUUUUAUUUGUUUGUUGUGUUGAAUGUGAAUUUUAUUUUUGGUUAAAUGUUAAUUUUUUCUGUUUUUUUCUUUCUUGGUAUAUUGUGUGAAGAAGUGGUGGAAGGAAGAAGAUGAAGAAAGAAAAAAAAAUUAGGUGCUGGUGGUUCAUUGUAGUAUAUAAUGGACCUGCAAUCAAAUGCUCACAAUAAUACAAAAAAUAUUAGACAUUAAAAAACAAACGGAUAGGACCAAAAUGGUAAACGGCAUAAGAUUUAUGGGACCAAAUUGAGACACUUUAUAGUUAAGGGACCAAAUUGAAAACAAAAAAUAAGUUAAAGGACCAAACCAUGUAUUAAGCCUAAAUAUAAAUAAUAUUGACGAUAAAGAGAGUGGGGAUUAGUCAUUUGCAUACGCAAAAUAUACCAAAAAUAGCACAAUCAGUGUUAUACAUCAAUGUUAUAUUAUAUCCAAAAGGAACAUUGUUAGUGCUAUACUAUAUCGAUCCAAAAAAGAAGCACUAUAUCCAAAGUGGAAGGCGACCAUUUUGGAAGAAAAAGUUGAAACCCUAAUUUUUUAGAAAGGGGAAGAUGAAAUUGUUUAUGUGGUGUGGUGUGGGUCGUACUGGCACCAAAGAAAGAUAAAGAAAAUGUGUAUAUAUAUAUAUAUAUAUAUAUAUAUAUAUAUAUAUAUUAUAGUAAUUUACUGUUUUUUUUCUUAUUUUUUACAAAAAAAAAGGCUUAAUUGCACUUUUGGACCCCUAUCUUUUCAAAAGUUGUGGUUAUGGACCCCUAAUUAAUUUAAAUACAAAACAGCCCCCUAUGUUUUGAUUCUUUGACAUUUUUGGACCCCCAAGGCAAAAAAAUAAAAAAAAAAAUUGACACGUGGCACCUCACUUAGAGUGCCACGUCAGCGUUGACCGAGUCAACAAUGGACUAGGGGUCCAAAACUACCAAAGAAUCAAAACAUAGGGGGUUGUUUUGUAUUUAAAUUAGUUAGGGGUUCAUAACCGCAACUUUUGGAAAGAUAGGGGUCCAAAAGUGCAAUUAAGUAAAAAAAAAACACAGAAAUCAAAUUAAUAUAAAAAACACGAGUAUUCGUGCGUAUCGGAAAGUAUCGGAAAAUUAUCUUCUUAAAAAAUAAAAUUUGAUAUUUAGACUCUCCCGAUACGUAUCGGGCAGGUAUCGAUGCAUGAUGCGUAGGGGAUACGAUACGUCAUCCAUUUUGAAGUAUCGGAACUUCAGAGCAAUCAAUAGGAUGACUGAAAUACAUAACUAUGAAAGCAUCACAUAACUCAAUCUAAAACCGAGCAUCAACCAUUUCUUCAAAGCAGGAAGUGGAAAUAUUAUUUAGACAAUCCAAAGUUGUCCGACAACCAAGUAGCUAUCCAUAUGAUUUUUUUUUUUUUUAUCAGGUAGCCUAAUAGUUAGAAUUCAUCUUAUAAGGUGAAUAAAUGGGAUGUCCGAAAUUCGAACUCCAAUCCCUACAUAUAAUAAUGCAUUGUCCUACCAACUGAGCUAUGCUCAAGUGAACUAUCCAUAUGGUUUAUCUACCUUCUCUUUAUCUUUUGGUUAAAAAAAAUCAUCUACUUUUUCUUUAUUUUAACAUUAUUUUCUUUCAAAAAAAAAAAAAAAUUUAUCAAUUUGGAUUUACGUGCCAAACUAAUAUUUGGAUAAACUCAUACGAUGUGCAUACACAACAACCGUUUUAGGUUGUCCGUCCAUAUAACAUAUAUAACUCUAACAAUAAAAUAAUAUAUUUUAAAAUAAGAGUAUCAAUUGUUUUUCUCAAAUAAUCUAGUAAUUAAAAUUUACUUUUUAAGAUGAAUAAAUGAGAUGUUAAAAGUUCAAACUUUGACCUCUAUACUAUACAAUUCAGUUUAAAAAAAAGAAAAAAUAAUACAUCAAUUUUUUGUGGGAAAUGAGACAUGAAGUAUAGUUGUAAAAGAGAAUCAAAUUUAUUUGUUUUUUUUUAAUGGACAAUGUGCGCUUGGGUAUUGUUAAGGCAACCAAAGUACUCCCUUCGGUCAUUUAUACAAGAGACAAUUUGAAAUAUUUUUUGGUCUUUUUUAUAAGAAAAUCUCUUUAAAUUUAAACUUUAUUAAAUAUGUAAUUUCAUUUAUACCCUUAUUAAGUUGGAGACAUGCAACCUAUUCCAAUGCAAAUGCAUUUAUUUUGAUACAUAUUCCCCAUGUUGAACUACUUUAGCCGUACACACAGGCCAACACGUAUUUCUUCUUGUAGAGGAAAAUUAUGGUUCAUGUUCUCUUCAACAUUAAGAAGAUAUGGGGGAUAAUUUAAAUUAAACUCAAAUUCUUGUGUUUCUACAUUUGAUGGUAUUGUUGUAUCAUUAUCAGAAAUUGAAUGUUCAUGUGUAAAAGUGAAAGGAACAUUCAAGUCUAUGUUAAGAGGCAUUUUUAAGUAUGGCUGAAAGUUCAUACAAAGCUCUCUUUAUAUAGAGAAUGACUGGAUGGUUAAACUUCAUUUCUACUCUAUUCAAAAUUUGAAAUUUCAAAAGUUUAUUUGCUCAAAAUUUUGGUCGAAAUUUUUUGGAAAAAAGUGGUGGGAGUUUGCCUACUUUUUUCAAUUUGAAAUCCAAAUGAGCUGUGAGAAUAUCAAUAGCCACAUUAAACCAUAAUAAAACCGAUGUAUUCUUGUGAAGAGGGAGAGGCGUGUUUGUGAGGCUUGAAUUGGUACUCAUACAAUAGCUUUAAUGAUAGAAUUACAUUAAUUGUAGGCGGUAAGGAAGGAGUAGUUUAGUCCAAGGAUAUUUUUGGAAUAUCAACUAGUAUUUUAAAAUUAUUAAUAGAAAAAAUACAUUUUCUUGGUCUGUGUGAUUUUCUCAAAUUGUCUCUUCUAUAAAGGACCAGAUGGAGUAAUAUUUUUUUAUAUAGAAACUUGUGUAUUUACUAGUUUUACUUAUGUUUUCAAGAUAAAAUUUCUUAUAAUGAAUUUAUUAAACAAUGCCUUUAGACCAUUUUUAAUUAUGAGGUCUUAAUCUUUUAAGACUCGGUAUCUAUUACAUACCGCAUUAGAUACCCCAUUGAGGAGAAACUUAAGACCUUAGUCUUAAGUGUAACCCCCCACCUUUUUAAUAUUAAAAAAAAAAUUGUGUUAUUUGAACAACCAUUUAUGUAACCAUUUUUUAGACAAUCCAUAAAUUUAGAAAGAAAAGUAGUUAUUGACACGGAAACCAAAAGAAUAAAAAAAGAAAGUAAAACAUAAUGUGGUAUGAGAUAUAAAGUUGUCAAAAAAAUUAUUAAAAAAAGGUUGUAAAAAUAUCAUUUCUCUUAAAAAAAAUGAUAUGUAACUAUGUAAGGAUCUAACGUUAUUUAUAGCUGACUAAUGAAUCCUUAUUUAAGAAAUUUGUGUGAAAUGCUGAGUUGAAAGAGUUGAGUGUUUAUUAUAUACUGCCAUUAAAUAAUUAUAAAUAAGUGAUGUAUAAACGUGAAACAUAUUAGAACAUCCACAAUGAAAAUAUCCAUUUUUGUGUACCAGUCUCGCGUGUAUACAUAAUUCAUUUAUAAUAUUUUAAUAGUAGUAUCUAAUAAGAACUCAAUCCCUUCAACCGAACAUCUUACACAAAUUUAUUAAAUGAGAUACAUUAAUCAACUAUUAAUAACUUUAUAUCAUUACAUAUAUAUAAAAAAAAAUAUUAAAAAGUCUUGAAUUUCACUUAAGAAUGUACUCCUAAUGAAAAUACUUGAUAGAUGAUACCGAGUCUUUUAGAUCCAUUCAUUGAGGAUUAAAUGAGUAUCUUCUCUUAGGAUGUUUUUAGGGGUAACAUUUGGGUGUCAUAGUUUUUUGAUGCUAUUGGUGUCAUAGAUAGUUUUGUGUCUAUCUCUCUUUUAACAACUUAUUCUCUCAUCUAAAUAAUUUAUUUUAAUCAUUCUCUUUCAUCUAAAAUGAACUUAUGUUACCAAUGGCAAUAAAAAAACUAUGGCACCCAAAUAUUUUUCUUUUUUUAGAGCACUUGUUGGUCUAACUUUUUAAAUUCUGUGUCGGCAAUCGGACAAAGACUUGAUGCAAAAGAGAACAGGUUCCCUAUUUUAUUCAAUUUUAACAUUGUGGGUCCCACUGAUUUUCCCAAAAUAGAGAUUUUAUACUGCAAACAUGUCAUACACCUAGUACCUUCUUCAUCAUUAUACAUGCAAUUUCAGGCCAAGUCAGUCAAGGGCGCAUGCGUAAUUUAAAAGACUGUGUCACUUUCCAAAUAUCUAUUCUAAAAUAUUUCAUUUUUAAAAAUAAACUCUCUUAUUGUAUAACAAGUACAAUUCAAAUUUUUAAAAAAAUAAAAAAUUCUUUAUUCAAUUGUUAUUAUAAAAACAAUUGUUUUGUAGAUUCAUCGAAUAACUUAGGUAAUUGAUGUAUAUUAUAGAUCAAUUACAUUGAUCUAUAUUAAAGACCAAUUACAUCGACUAUUCAACUAAUCUAAAGUUCAAAUUGUUUUUUAUAAUAACUAGUAACAAUUGUUUUAUAAUAAUGAUUGGAGAAAAUAAAUUUAAAUGAUAAAAAUUACAAAAACUUUUAAAUGUAUAACAAUGAGAUUUAAACUUGCAAUUCAAUACUUUUUAAGUAAUAUGUAACUUUUAAUCCACACUUCUUAUACAAAAAACUUUCUCUCAAACAUGCGUUCAUCAAUUCAUCUACGCUUCUUUUCAAACGAAAACUCUUUCAUUUGCAUUGAUCAGGAUUGAUUGUUGUGUGGUUCUAUACACAGUUUCACGCAGUAGUUAAUCUCGAUCGUAGAUUUGUGAUCCAGUUGUUCAUAUUUAUCCAAUGUUGAUUUGACCGUUUAACACAGUUUAUGAUCUUGACCCUUCAUUUUUAAUCGGACGGCCAACAACAGUUACUCAUCCACGCAGUAACUUUGACGCAGGAACUAUGAUUCAUUGAGCAUCACAUUAUAUCCAUGUGUCAACAAGCAUGAAAGAUCUUAAUGUCAUAUUACAAAUCUUUAAGCAUCCUCUUGUUGUCUUCAACUAAAAGAUACGUUGUGUAAUUGUUAACACAAUAAAAAUGUGUGUGUGUGUGUCUGUGUGUGUGAUGAAAUGAAAGGUGGUUAUAAAGAGAAAAAAUGAAGCUUGUGAUUGAGAUAUAUAGCUACAUCAUUCAUCACUAGAUUGGUGGAGAACGGAGAUCCAACCACGCCAAAAAACAGAAGUGUACGUACAAGAAUGUUUAUCAUCCUUUAAGUCAUGAUAAUUAAAGAAUUUCUUUCUUUAAUUUAAAAGUAUUUUAGUGAUUGACAUUUGUCUACAUCUAUUUUUUCAUAUGUAUCGUCGGUCAAGAAUUAAACUCUUGAUCAAAAUUAUUAAGGGUGUGUUUGGUUCAGCUUUAGAUAGAAUUGAUUCUGACAGAAUUGAUUAUGAUAGAAUUGAUUGCAUCAUAAUUGGUUUUGAGAUGAUUUAUUUAUGUUUGGAUACGAUAACGUAUAAUUGAUUAAACAGAAUAAAUGUUGUUUGGAUAGUUUUGAUCAAAAUUGCUUUUGAAUGUAUAAUUACUAAAAUGGACAUAGCUAAAUAAAAAUAAAUGGACAUAAUAGUUGAAUGUAUGUGCAGAUCAAUGUAAAUAUAUUAUUUAAUGUAAAUAAAUAAUUUUUCCUAUAUAUUAAUUUAAAAAAUAAUAAAUACGAUCAACUAUUAGUCAAUGAUGGAAUUAAAUUUUUUUGACAAAAUAUUUGUUCUAUGUAUUUUAUAUUUUAUGAUAAAAUAUAUUUAAGUUAAAUAAUAAUAGAGUUUUUUUUUUAAAAAAUAAAAAUAGAGAUGGUUGGCAAAAAUGAUAAAAUGUAGCGUAAAAAAAAAAUACAGCAAAUCUGAAAAUAAAUACAAAGAAAUAUAAAUUACUAAAUUAAGAUUAUUAAGUGCAAUAUAGUCCUAAAAUAUAAGUUAUUACAAUACUAACAGCAUGAAAAUAAAAAUUACAAAUAGAUAAUAGAAUUUAAAGUGCAAUAGAGUAUUAAAAUAUUAUUACCAAAACUAAUUUAAUGUGUAUCAUAGUACUAAAAUAUUGAUAUAAUAAUUUAAAGUACAAUACUAAUUAAGAUUUCAUGUAAAAAAAAUCGAUGUGGUUGGAGAAAGGGUUAGAGAAAUUGAUGAUAAUUAAGAGGGCAAUGAUGGAAUUGAUGACAAUUAAGAGGGCAGUGAUGGAAUUGAGGAUGUAGAAUUGAUUCUAGAAAAGCCAUAAGUUAGGAAUUGUAGCUAUAUGGAGAAUUGCUUUUGGAGGAUAGAAGCAAUUUUGAAAAGUCAAACCAAACAUAUUGGAAUGUUGUAGAAUUGCUUUUGAAAAGUUGUAGAAUUGCUUCUUGUACAAAAGCCAAACCAAACAGACACCAAGAAACAUAACGAUCUAUUAUUUCACUUGAACAUAAAGAAUGUUUUAUAGCGUAUUAGACAAAGUAAAAUAUUAUUUUUUUGUAAUGGUUGAAAGAUAAAAAGGUUAUCUUUGUAUUUAAUGAACAUUCGUGGUGGUCGAGUCAAUUGUCGUGUUUAGGUAUUGGCCAGCCACUUUUUAUAUCUCGUGUGAUCUGCUUGUUUUUUUUAGUAGUUUCUUCAGUACACCUCGUACUGACUGUUUAUAUCAGUCUUAAUAUAAUUCGGUCGAACAAAGUUAUUUAAACAUUAAAAAAAAUGGACAACCGUAUAAAUAUAUAUCAAUUAUAAUUACUUGUAUAAUAAAAAAAAAGGAAAAGGUAAUUCACAACAAAAUCAAAUAAUGCUUAUUCUAUAUUAGACAAACUUUUAAUUGUCAACUUAUCUUUCAAAAAAAAAAAAAAAAAAAACACUUAUCUUGUGUCACACCAUGUUGUUAGUUAUUUAUACAUUGGCAUUAUAAGUUUUUUUUUUCUUCAUGUCAAACCAAAUAAAUCCCUGAAAAAAAAAAAAAAUAUCUAGAAUAUCCCUUUGCCGUACUAAUUUUAAAAAUAUCUCAACAUCUAUUAUUAUUAUUUUUUUGAUAGAUAGAUAAAAUGACAAAGCCAUUAUAAACCUCACACACAUAAGUGAAGGUACCGGGGUUCGAACCCCGAUCAUGGCAUCCGGCCUAACAAUUUCGGCAUUUUACCAGUUGAGCUAAGAUUUCUGAAUAUCUAUUGUUUUAUUAAAUCAUAUUAAAAAAUUAUUCUUUCGAUCAUUAUAACCUAUUUUGAAUCUGAAUCUACCGACACUGCCUUCUUGAAUCAUUCGUCAUAAUUUUUUGAAGGUACGUUUUUGCUUUGCCUUCUUACAAAAAAUCAAAAGCACCUGUGUCUGCAUGUGACUAGCUAUGGAACCCUUUCUCUAGGUCAUCUGAUUAGUACAUAGUAUAUAUUACUAUAUUCUGAGAGAGUCUUCGUAUUCACGAUAACAAAAAUUAGAUUAAUAAUAUUUGUAUGAUUAUUUUAUUGUAAUUUUUGAAACAAUCUUUUUAUCUCUUUUUAUUAGUCAAAACCAAUUGAGAAAAAGAAGAAUAUAGAGUAAGAACACAAUAUCGUUAUGAGAGAGAAAUUUGUUUAACAAUUAUUUUAAAAUAGUUAUAUAAAUAUGAUUUCUCAAAAGUUAAUUUUGUAUGAAUUAAUUUUAUACUAUUGAUUUGAUUAAAACUUAGUUGAAUGUAAAGUGAUUUUAUUAAUAAAAAUGAGUAGAACAAUAUCAUAUGUAAAAGUCGUGUUUGAAGUUAAAAAUCACAAAUUAUAGGUUUAAGUUAGAAAUGGUACAACCCUCAUAAAAGUGAGUUGAUUAUUUAAAAUCUGAAUGGAAAAAUCAUGUUUGGAAUCAAUAGUUCCAGGUUAUCGCUUUCAAGUUAAAAUUAAUUUUGAAGGAAAAAUAAAUUUUAUUUGACCUCAGUGAAGUAUGUGAAAAUCAAUUUUAUAUCUCUAAAAUCAAAUUUGCUCUCAGCGUGAUAUUUAAAAACUUUACUUUCUUCUCAUUCAUCCGCCAAAGAGAGAUGAUUUAGGGUCAAUUUUUGACCAAAAGACCCCUCUAACUCGUUUUUCUCUUUCCUUUUAAUUGAAAUAAGUACUUUCACAUCUAUUUCGUUUUUUAUUUUGUGAUUUCGACGUCUUCGUGCGACAUUGGUUUCUUUGUCGUCUUUGUGCGACGUUGUUUGUUUUUCUUGUUUCUCUCAUGUAUUUGAUCAGUACAGAUUGUCAGAUCAGCUUCGAUCAAGUGCAGAUUCAAUCAUUGACUUCAGCGUCAUCCUCGUUGCAAAUACGGAGAUAUGGUUAUUCUGGAGAUUUAAAUAUAGUCAUAUGUGUAGGCAUUUGUACUUUGCCGUUUUAUGCUAUUAACAUGGAUGUUGUGAGCUUGUUCACAGAUUCAUCCUUUUUGUUUUUAGCGAAUUUGCAUUAUAUCGAUGUACUCUAUCAAUUUGAAUGAAUAAAUAUAUUUUAUUUUGUCAAAAAAAGAAACUUUACUUUGUAACUUGAGCCCAAUUGUACUACGUUUAUAUCAUUCCCACCGCAAAAACAAACACAUCAUAUAUAGGUUUUAUGAGUUAUUAAUUAUAUUUUAUCAUAACCAAACAUUUGAGCUCAUGAGCUUAGAUUGGGAGAAUCCGAAUUCAAUUUUUGAAUGAAACAAUUUUUAGUUAUAUUAUACUUACCUCGUAAUUGAACUCUGAAUUAUUAGAGUUCAUUUUCCCUAAAAACCAAAGAUUAACAACCAAAAUAAUUAUAUUUCAUCCUAAUUACACGAGUUAGGAAAGAAAAACAUUUCUUUUGUUUGGUUCAAUAAUAUUGUACCCUUAUGAUAACCAAUGGUUUUAUAUUGUUAUUUUCUGUAUUUGAAGAAAAGAAUAGUCUAAUAGUCUAUAAUAUACGCUUAAAAAACAAUUAAACAUUCAUGAAAUACACUCCCUUAAAAAAAAUCAUAAAAAACACACAAAAAUAACUUCUUAUAUUCAUUUGAUCACGUGGCAAUGCAUUAGAUGCACAUCUAAAAUGAUUUUAGACUAAUAAAAUAUAUAAAUUAAUUAAUAAAAUUGAAGGGAAAAACUGAAAUGACUACAUGGUGGGCAAAAGAUCUAAAUAUCAACAAUCAAAGACAGACACAUGGCAAGUAUGCAUCAGAAUCAUGGGUCUUUUUCAAAAAUAUUGGUAACUCCCUCUAAAAAAAAUUAUUGGUAACUCUAUUGAAACAACAAACACCAUUGAGACUUCUAUAUCUCUGAGAAAGUCUUGCAUAUGAUCACAAGCUUUUGGACAUAAUACUUAGACACACAUAUAAAAAUAAAUUUUAAUUUAUUAAUUAAAGAUUAAAUAUCAUUAUUUUAGUACCCAAUUCCUUGUGUCUAAAUAAGUAUUUUUCUCUGUUUGGAAGAUUCAACCAAUAAUGAAGUUUUUAGACAUUAUAUUAGAAGGAAUGAUAUUUGAAAAUACAUUUUGUGAUAAAUUUUUUUACAACUUUCUAUUUUAUAUUUAUAUUAUUUUUUUACUUUAUCUCUCUAUUGUUUUAAUUUUCGUGUAAAUAUCUAUUUUUUCUUUGUAAAUUAUGGUUGUCUCUUAAGUUGUCAAUCAAAUGAUUGUUCAAAUAACACCCCCCUUAUAUAUAUUAGAGUGUUAGUGACACUCCCCUUAUAUUAGAGUGUUAGUGAUAUGGUCACCAAAUUUUUCGGAGUAAUAUUCUUCGGCCAAUACAGAAAAUUAUUUUCACAUUUCUUUUCUGUAAAAAAAAAAAAAAGUCACCUCUUAACGUGAAUAAAUAGAAUAUUUGAAACUUGAACCCAUAUCAUGCAAUAUUUUUUCCGGUGAGUUAGUUUAGUUGAUAGGGUUAAUGCAAAAUACAUGUAAGAUCUGAGGUUCGAAUCGCGGACACCACGAAAAAAAAUAAUAUGCAAUGUUUAUAUCAAUCGAACAAAUCCAUUUUUCCUUCUCCGACUUCUCUCUAAAAAACCAACAAAUCCACUGCCUUUACCUUUCUUCCCUUUCAUCCAAAUUUAACGCAUCAAGAUCUGGUUUUUUUUGUAUCGUUUUUCUGUUUCUUUUAUCGUUUGCUGUGUUUCAGAUCAGAGAGUUCGGUGGUGGUAGAUUUGGCAUUUUUUGUGGUGGUUCGGUUUCGUAAACCCGAAAGGGUGGUUUCGUGAAAUCGGAUGGGUUGAUGUUUCUGUGCUUGACUCUCUGAUUCUCCAGCUCUGUUGAGAUCUGCAGGUCUCAAGUCUUCAGGGUCACCUCCUCUCCGAUACUGUCUUAUUAUCCAUCUCAGUAAAUAUGUCUGUUAUUGGAUUGUGCUCGAAAGAGCUAUUAUACCUGCUGCUUUAUUCAGGGGGGUUGCUGGUACGUGGAUUUGUUACCGUGUUGGCGGUCGAUCCAUUCGCCAAUUCUAUACCUUUUUUGAUUCUAUGGAUGUCCGCUUUUCACAUUUUUUUGUAAUCUGAUUUCGUACUCGUACGAGGGUGCGCUGGGUUGCGUUCGUGAGAAGUGUUCUGUCUCUUAGGAUUAAUCAGGGUUGAGCUACCUGGUCUGGAUUGUAUUGUUUUAUUUCCAUUUGGGUGGUACCUGGGUCAGGCCUAAUGUCCCACAGUCUCUGUAUCUUUUGUUUUUUAUUUAAUAUAUUUUUGUUUCUUGCCUAAAAAAAAAUUAAACUUAGAGGACUAGUUUUUCACUUUUAAAAACACUACAAAAUUCUUUAUUAUUAGACAAAAUUAAAAUUUUAAAUUUAUUUAAUAAACGGUGUAUCAAGUUUAUAUUAAAAACUAAAUAUAUCAUUUAUUCAAUGAACUUAAAAAUUAAAUAUACUUCGGUUGAUAGCUAUAUAAACAUUGAUAUAUAGAGGUUGACAUUUGAACAAUUGAUUUAUCAUUUCUCCAUGCUUCAUCUGUGUGGUUGCAACUACUUGACUAUUUAAUAAAACAAAUUAUAACGAAUAGUUUUUCAUUUUUAUCAAAUACGAUCUUUUUGAAUAAGUAAAUAGAUCUUUAAAAUAUUUACAAUGAAGAUACUCAAUUUUAAAUAUUUAAACGGAUCUCAUGUGUAGAACGUGACUUUGUUAUUGUUAACACGAUGAGUAAAUAAAGAUUGAUGGAUUCCUUUACGGCACGUGUAAGGAGGAGCUUUAUGAGUUGGCGCAUUUGCAUGAAUAGAAGCUAAAGACACCGACUCCUGUUAAAAGCCGUAACUUACGGUAUCGGUUCCUUUUGUUUUUCUUUUUAAUUUUCCAGCACCUCUUGCUCAUAUUAUGAAACUACCAAUUCAAACCAAUGAUGUUGUGUACACAGUACACGUUAGUGUCAAAAAUAUUAUAAUAAUCAUUAUGAGUAAAAAAUAUAUAAGAUAUCAGCAGAAUAGUUUGAUGACUGGUUUGAAAUGUAUAUUAAGUUCAAAUGUUAGUGUUAAGUCUUACAUUGUUAUGAUUAACUAAAUGUUGCACAUAUAAGAUAAUGAUUUGUAUAGCCAGUAUGUAACUCAUUUAGAUUAGUUUGGUGAUGUUGAGUUUACUCACGUUAGCCAAUGAAAGAAAUAUAUAGAAAGAGACUUUUUUUCAAUUACACAGUAUAUAUCAUAAGGAAAAUGCUAACAAGUGUUAUGAAGAUAUUUGAUCUUAAAAAUAUUGCCAGUGGUCAUCAUCGAGAAACCUCUCCAAUCACAUGAUUAUGACAUACAACCCCGAUUUUAAAUAUUUGCAAAAGUAAAAAUGAAUUUGGUCUUAAUUUGGACUAAAUAUGUUUUGUCUUUCGUUUAUAUUUAAAAUCGGAUAGAGUAGUUUGACUUUAUAAUAUUAUAGUCCGUCUGGAGCCUUGUGUUUGGAUAACUUAUAACUUUUUUGAAAAGAAAAGAUAUUUCACUACCUACAAACCCGUGAUCUUAUAACCUCGGGCGGGUUUGACCACCGACAUGUUUACAUUUUGAAAAUCAAACCCUACCAUAUUUCAAUGAAAUAUUUUUUUCAACCGAAGACACAAAAACCCAUAUAACACAUGCUUGAUGCACCAAAUUUUAUCAUGUUUUAUAUGAAUUUGACCAAUUCAAAUGUUUUUAUUCACCUUUAUUUCUUGGUUUGACCAACCUUUAUUCAACUAUCUAGGCAUCGAUCCUUUGAAUUCGACGGCUUACCAUUUUCAACUACAUUUCAUAUUAUUUUAAAGGGUAAACUUAGUCAUUAUUAAAACUUGGGUCAUGCAAACUUGCGUCAUAAAGACACAAGCUAAGAAGUUUAAAAGAAAAUGAAAGAUAAAAUCGAAGGAAGUAGCUUAAAGGUAGACGUUAGCUUUCCUCUAAAAACUUUUAUAUUUAAAACCCGAGGAAGUAGUUUGAUUUUGCAACAUUAUAUUCUAUCUUGAGUCUUGUGGUUGAAUAACUUGUAUCUUUUUCGAAAGAAAUGAUGUUUCCCUACCUAAGAUAUGAUAGACCAAACUCGUGGUCUUACAACAUUGUCAGGUUUGAUCAUUGACAUGUUUAAAUUUCCAAAAUCAAACUCUACCAUGUUUCAAUGGAGUAACUUUCCAACUGAAAAUACGAAAACCUGUAUUAAUAUGUCAAAUGCACCAAAUUUUAUCAUGUUUAACAUGAGUUGAUCAAUUCAAAUGUUUUUAUUCACUUCUAAUUGAUUCUUAAUUUUACCAACCAUUAUUCGACUAUUUAGGCAUCGAUCGAUUUAAAUUUGACUACUUAUCAUUUUCAACUACAAUUCAUACUUUUCUUAAGGAUAAACUUUGUCAUUAUAAAACUUUUAUAUUUAAAAUUGGAAGAAGUGGUUUGACUUUGCAACAUUAUAGUCCAUCUUGAGCCUUGUGUUUAAAUAACUUAUAUCUUUUUUUUUUUUUUUAAAACGAUGUUUCACUACUUAAGAUAUGAUAGAACAAACUCAUGAUCUUACAACCUCAACCGGAUUUGACCACCGACAUGUUAAAGUUUCCAAAACUAAACUCUACCAUGUUUCAAUGAAGUCUAUUUCUAACUAAAGACACGAGAAUUCAUAUAAACAUGUUGGAUGCACCAAAUUUUAUCAUGUUUAAUAUGAGUUUGAUCAAUUCAAAUGUUUUUAUUCACCUAUAAUCGUUAAUUUGACCAACCUAUAUUCGACUAUCAAGGCAUGGAUUAUUUGAAUUCGAUUGUUUAUCAUUUUCAACCACAAUUCAUAUUAUUUUUAAGGGUAGACUUUGUAAUUAGAAAACUUUUAUACUUAAAUAGGGAGUAGUUUGACUAUGCAACAUUAUAGUCCAUCCUGAGUCUUGUGGUUGGAUAACUUAUAUCUUUUUUUGAAAGAAACGACGUUUCACUAUCUGAGAUAUGAUAGACCAAACUCGUGAUCUUAUAACCUUAGUCGGGUUUGAUCACCGACAUGUUUAAAUUUCCAAAAUCAAACUCUACCAUGUUUCAAUAGAGUAUUUUUUUUUUCUUCAAUUGAAGACACAAAAACCCAUAUAAAUAUGUCGGAUAUACCAAAUUUUAUCAUGUUUAAUAUGAGUUGAUUAAUUCAAAUGUUUUAAUUCAUCUCAAAUCCUUAAUUUGGACAACCUUUAUUUGACUAUUUUGGUAUCGAUCGAUUUAAAUUCAACUUCUUAUCAUUUUCAACUACAAUUCAUGUUAUUUUUACGGUAAACUUUGUCACUAAAACGUUAUUAACAAACUAGUGCUUAAACAUCAUUUGAAGGUAGUUCCAUUAUUGAUGCUCUGAAAAGAGACGGCAAUGAAUAGCAUAGCAGAGACGUACUGAUACUAUAGUACAUUUUGGUGCCCCACUAUUGAAGGACAUUUAUAUAAUUUUACUCCUAUAUUAUAUAUCUUAUCUAUCUAAUUGGGACCUUUUGUCAAAAAAAGAAAAAAAAAUUGGGACCUAACUUUUUUAUUUUUAGAAUCUUCAACUAGUUGAAGGUGAGAACGACAAGGGAAAGAACGUGUUACUUCUGCCUUGCAUUGAAAACAUACAAUUUAGAUCGGGUUUUCUGUAAUUUUCUUAGCUGAACUAAAAGUGGUUUCCUUCAAAAAAAAAAAAAAAAUGGUUUUUAUGGUUGAAAAAUCGUUUUAAACAUUAAAUUCAACGUGUAAAAUUGAUUUUGAUUAACAUUGAGUUGCAUAUAAAAUAGGAAAAUAAUGGGAAAUGUUAACUAAGGAAUUGCAAAAGGAUAUAUUGUAUUGAAAACGGUGUAUUCUAAAAGUUAAAGAAAAUAAUAUUUUCAAUAAAAAAAACUUAACUUUUCUUUCCACUUUGAGUUCUUUAACGAGUGCCUUGGGGUACUGGUUAACUAGAAUCUAAAAUAAUUUUAAAUUAUAUUUUUUGUUCCUUAACUGAUUAUAUAGAAUCGUUUUGGUCUCUUAAUUAAAAUUCUAUUUAUUUUAAUCUCUUAACUUCUCUCCGUUACUUAUUUUGGACCUUUCCAUUAGUUUUAAUUCAAAAACGUUAUGUUUUCUUCAUUUUUUUCUCAUCUUUUUCAUCUUCAUAUCAUCUCUAUCAACCUUCAACAAUAAGAAUCCCAGAAAAAUUCGAGAAGAAAAUGAAGAAAACCUAAAUUAAUUUAUGCAGAAUGUUUCUUUCAAUGUCAAUAAUUUUUUUUUAGAUUUAUUAAAUAAAUAAUAUAUGGAGUAUAUAAUAUAGAUCAAAUACAUUUGUUAUUCGAUGAAUUUAAAAAGAAGCAAAUCUAUAAAAUAAUUUUAUACCUUUAGAAUCAAUUUGAAGUUCUCAAAAAUAGAACUAAACAUAACUUUUUUUUUUUUUUUUUUACGUUAACAUACACUUGUGUGAUUGUUUGAUUGACAUACUUCAAAUAAACAACAAUCGUUGAUCACUUAUAGACAUAAAUGAAAAAAAAUAAGAUUUUGAUUCUAAUCACAACGUUUGAUCUAAUAAUUUCGAUUUUUUAAUCGAUCAAAUUAUAUAUGGAUUUAUCUUUAAUAAAGAAAAUUUAUCAAAAAGAUAAAAGAGCCAUUGAUAUGAUAUGAAUAUAAUAUGAAGAGGCGAGUUUUUUUAUGCUACUUUUAGUCUUUUAAAAAAAUAAAAAGAGUUUAGAUAACAUAAAGAAAGAAAAAAGCUGCAAAUGGGGGGUUAUGUGAAUGUGAUGGGUUAGGGGGAUAUCAGUAAAGAUCAAUAUUGUGUCUCACUCUCAUUUCAUCAUCUAUCUUACUUUUUCCAAUGCCACGACCAUACGACAUCAGGUAGCCACGUCGAUAUACAGUACAAUAAUCACUUUAUUCUUUAUAAUGUUAUAUAGUCUUUCACAAUUUUAUAUUGAUUUUUUAACAAGCCCAAAUAUAAUAUAUUAAAAAUCUUUGAUGGCUCAACUCGUACAAGACGUACUGAACUGCUUUUUUUUUUUAUCCAUCUCACAUUAAUAACUCGGCCUCUACCACCUAUAGGUAGUUUUAGACAAGUUUCCUUUGAGGUCGAUGCCUAAAUCCCAAGUAUAGCUCGUAAUAAUCUAUCUUCCGGAGCAUAUGAGGAUUCUUUCGCCAUUUGAGGCGUUAAUUUACCCACUAAAAUAUCCCCUGUUUCUACCCAAGAUCCCAGAAUCACAAUUCCAUUUUUGUCUAAAUUUCGGAGUAAAUGGGCUUCUAGAUGUGGAAUUUUAUUGGUGAUUCUUUAAGGAUCAUGGCUUGUCACAUGAGUCUGAAUUUUAUAUUUCCGUAUGUGAAAAGAAGUAUAAAUAUUUUCAUAGACCAGACGUUCACUAAUGAGUACAGCAUCUUCAGAAUUGUAACCUUUUCAUGACAUAUAAGCUACUAAUACGUUUUUUCCCAAAGCGAGUUCACCGCCAACAGUAGCAGCACCAUCUGCUAAAAUUUGCCCCUUUUUUACGCAUUUACCACCAACAAAGAUGCAAUAUCAAGUUACAGGUGCAUAAACAACGCACUUCAAAUGAAAAAGCAAAAACAAAAAGAUUACAUCAUAACACCAUACAACAUCUCUAAAAAAAGCAAAACCAUACAAUACAAAGAGUGGUUUUACCGGUCAUGAUAUUGAUUCAAUUUAGUUUUGUAUAAAAAGGUAAAUUGAAAUUAAUCUCUACUAUUUUUACUUUAGAUACAGUUGAUCUUUUUUUUACAAAUAGAUCAUAGAUUACUUUUUUUUGAAAGGUCAUAGAUUAAUUUAUCAUUUCGUAUGAUUAUUUUUUUGUUAAAGACUAUUUUGAACCAUAUACCAUAAAAUUAUAAGACUAAACUUUUAUCACGAAAUUAACAUCAUAAAGGUUCAAACUCCUACUCCUGCAUAUAACAUGUAAUAUUUCUACCAACUGUGCUAAGCUCAUGAGGAUACACUGUUGGAAAUUUAGGUCUUAAUAAAAAAACAGAUUUCAUAAAACAUGUUCAACAAUUAUGAAUCAACAACGGAAGCAAAUAAAACAUUGAACAUGAUUAUAAUCGGAUCUACGACAUGUUUGAAUUAUCAAGGAUAUUAAGAAUUAGGGUAUUAUGAAUAUCUGGAUAGAGCUUUCAUGACAGCCCUCUCAACAGCAACCAUACACAGAGAGAGGAGGUGAUGAUCUGAAACACACAAUAUAGGGUUAGCGGCGGCUGAUUUGGUUCUUCCUCAACAGGUACCUUUAUACCUCAAGUUCUCUUCAGAUGGGGAGAAGAGAGAGUUUGUCGUGUUUGAUAUAUUGGGGACCAUAGCCUCUUUUAUAUUGGAUGGCCAUUAGGGUUUCCCAUUAUUCCUUAAUGGGUCAUCCGGACAUCCACUCAUUGAGUCCAUAUCAACUAAUUAAUUAUUUAAUUAAUUAUCCAAUUAGAAAUCUAAUAGCCUUAUUACUUAAUUUGAUCACUAAUCAACUAAGACCCACAAUUGAUAAAUAUAAUUAUUGUUACAAUAUUUAUCCACAUAAUAAUAUUGAAAUAUAAUAAAUAAUAAAAUAUUCGAACAUACACCACAAAUAUUUUUUUAAUCUAUAUUAUAUCAAAUAGAGUCAUUCAUUUUAAGAAACAGAGAAGAUCUCAAUCCUAAUAUAUUGAGAGAGUCAAGGAGCAAUCACAUAAAUGGAUUGUACACCACAUUUUUUUCUCUCUAAUUUUUUUUAAAUAAUUUGGGGCAAUUUUCUACUUUUUUAAUGAAAAUAAAUUUAUCUAAAAUAACCCUCAAUGUGAAAUUGGUGGCAUGAAUGGAUCAUGUCUACGGAAAGAAUCAUAUCUUAGACUACAUCAUGAUAGAAUAGACCAUACUUUAUUAAAAUAAUGAUAAAUAAUACUAAUAUUUUUUUUAAAAAAGUUUAUCUAGCUCUAAAUGUCAUACUAGAUGUCACAAAAAAGUUUUAAAGCCAAAUAACAUUUUUUUAGGGAACUUAUUAACAUACUUAUUCAAGUAAAUAGGAAUAAUAGUACUACAAUUAUUAUGUUAAAUUUUCUACUUUGCAUUAAAAAAUUUAAUGACUUUACUCAAAAAAAAUUUAAUGACUUAAAAAUAUUUUCCUACAUUAUGGUUUUUGUAUAUUUAAAUAUGUUAUUAUAAACUAUAAUUGAAUAUAUUAUAAUAAUUAUAUCUUUUAAAAUAUCAUGUUAAAUAUGAAAAUAAAACAUAAUUUCAUAAAUUUAUUAGUUUGUAAGUCUAUUCUAAGAUAAGCCAAAUAAUUUACUUAAAACAAUUUUUCCCCUUCAAAAACACUAAGUAGGAGUGCACCAAUUAACGAAUUCUUAAUAACGAAAUAAGAUAAACUUUUUUUUUGAAAUAAUAUAUGUUUAACAAUUCACACCUUAAAAUAAAUAAUUGAAAAAUUCGAUGUUCGAACUCUGACAUUUUAUAUUUCAGUGUCUAUACCAAUUGCGAUAUUCUCACAAAUAACAUAAAAUAAACCUUUUAAGUAGCUAACAUGUCAUGCUACUCUGUUGAAAAAAGUAAUAUUCAUUCUUAAAAUUAGGCAUAUGUCAAAUAACAAUAGAAGAAAUCUAGACGGCCAAAUUAGACUAAGAUCUUAGAAAGCCUAGUUAGAUCCGAUACAUUGUCACCUCUAAUUAAAGUAUAAAACGAGUGGAGGGGAAAAAGAUUAGUAGAAAAUAAAGUGUCCGAUCCCAACAAUGUCAAAAGUAAAAGUAAAUUGAAUUAUGGGAACUGAUAAAACCGUCCAAAUAGUGAUACAUAGCUUCAUUGAAAAAAGCCAAACAGUUGGUGGUGGUUUCGUUUCUACAAGCAUCCAUCCAACAACGAUGUGUUGUUUGACAACUUGGAACCUUCUUUACUUGUGUUUUGAUUGAUUGAUUAUAAAUUAAGCAAAGAUUUGUCAAACAAAACCUUAUUUAAUUCUAAUAUAUGUCUAAAAAUAAUAUGCUUAAACAACCAUCUUAGUCUCUUGAUAUGUGAUAAGUUUUGUUGAUAAUGUAUUAAAAUUGUAAUCACAUAAUAUUUUUAUUUAUUUUAAUCAUCAAAUAUGUUUUUGUUGGUUAUUUUAUUCUUCUUUUGUUUUUUGUUAGUAAAUUAGCUUUUAAUCUAUCAUGAAAGAGUUAUGUUUUCUAUCAAAAAUAAAAUGAAAGAGUUAUGUUGAUGAUCUCGUCAUAGACCUCAUGAAUAUAAUAUUUUCGGUUGUAGAACCCUAUUACAUAAAUGGUUAGAUCAUCAACAAAACUCCUUUCCUGUUAGGUUCAAACAUUAGACGAUCUUUUUUUUUUUUUUUAAGGAAAAGAUUAGCCAAUCUUUUGAUAAAUAGAAAAAGUGAGAGGAUCCAAUUUGUCUAUCAAAAUGCAAACAUAUAUUUGAUGAUGUAUUGCAAUUUUGAUACACUAAAAAAUUAUAAGGACAAUGUACGACACAAGGAUCAUAUUUAGUGUUUAAAAUAAAUGUUAUUUGAACAAAAAAUUUGUAUAUGUUUUGAAAUAUCAAUGAAGAUUCUUUUUACAUAUUUAUUGAAUGACUAAUAUAUUUUAUUGAUAUUAUAGAUCAGUUAUGUAAAUUACAAAAUAAAUUUGAAAAAAAUAUUAUAUUUCAGAUCAGAUGAUGUAUCUCAAAACUUAUACGAUAUCGAAAUACGAUAUCAACUUUUUGAUUGACUUAAGUGGUAAAAGACUCCAUUUUGUUUUUCUUCUCUCUUUGAAGGAACUUGAAAGCUUCAAAUAAGUGAAAAAUUUGAUAAAUGACUCUUCCUUAUGAAGUUGUAAAGAAAAACACUUAUCCAAAAAAUUCGAUUGAAAGAAUAAAACUAUUUGUGUAUUCUUCACAUAUUUCUUUAAUCACGGUUAAAUGACGAUGAAAUUUUUUGUAUCAAUAACAUCUUUAUAAAAAAAAUUGGUUAAAUAUGUUUUUGGUCUUUAUAAAUAUACAAACUUUUCGUUUUCGUCUUCUUAAAAUUUUGUUAAACUUUUUGCCCUUCAAAAGUUUUUCAUCACUACUUUUAAUCUUUUCUCUUAGUCAACUUAUGUAUAGCCUUCUUAUUUUUUAAUGAAAUUGUCUAGAAAUAGGUAGUAUAUCAUGACAAUCUCUCUCCUUUAAAACUUGUAGUUCAUUAAAAAUUCAAUUAAUGAUGUAUGCGGUUCAUAUUAUGGACCACAUACAUCAUUAAUUGAAUGAACUUAAAAAGUCAAUUUUGCUUAUAUUUAGAAACGGAUGGAGUAACAACAAAUUGUGACAAAAAAGAUAAAAGAUAAAAAAGUUUUUUAAAAUUAAGUUAAAAGACAAAUUGUAUAAUUUUGCCAAAAAAUAUAUUAAAUAGUUCAAUUUCCAACUUAUUGAAUGCAUCAAUUUCUAUAAAAACUUAUUUAAAGAUUGUCAAAGAGUGUCUUAAAUGUAUUCGUUAGCAUUUCCUAUAAAAAAAUGGUUGAAAGAACAAAACUUAUCGCUUAUUCUCCAUAAAUUUCUUUAAUUACAAUUAAACGACGAUAAAAAUUUCACAUCAAUAAAGAAAACUUAAAGAGAUUUAAAAAAAAAGUAGAUAGAAAAACAAAACAAAACCAAUCCAAUUCCAAACCAUAAAAAAAGUUAAAUAGUUCAAUUUUCAAUGCAUUAAAUGUAUCAAUUUCUAUAAAAACCUUCUUAAAGAUUGUCGUUGUUUUAAAGGUACAAAAUUUGAUCACUAUUAUAUGUAAAAAUCAACAUUUUAGAUUUAUUCAAUUAAUGAUAUAUAUAUAUAUAUAUAUAUAUAUAUAUAUAUAUAUAUAAUCUUUAUUAUAUACCACAUACAUCAUUUAAUGAAUUUUAAUGAAUAAAUCUAAAAUAUUGAUUUUUGCUUAUAAUUGUGCACGGAUGUGUACUCGUUAACAUUUUUCAUAGAAACAGUUAAAAGAACAAUUGUAAUCAUUUAUUCUCGAUAAGUUUUUUUAAUAGUAGUGUUAUUUGAACAUCCAUUUGUUUGACAACCAAAUAAACAACCACGUUUAUACAAAAAAAUGUAUAUAUUGACAUAAAAACCAAAGUAAUACAAAGAAAAUAAAAAUAUAAUUCAAGUAUGAGACAAAAAAUAUCACAAAAAUUAUUAUAAAUAAUUGUAUAAAUGACAUUUCUCUUUUUUAAUCACGAUUAAACGAUGAAAAUUUCCCAUCAAUAACAUCUUAACAAAGAAAAUUUAAGAAGAAAAACAUUUUAAAAAAUAGACAGAAAAACAAAAACCAAGCCAAGAAUCUACCUUCACCACCAUAUGUGGUGUGACCUAACCACUACUGACCCACUCACGUCUCUCAAAUUUUCCAAAGUACCAAAUCUCUUAAAACUUUUUUUAUUUUUUGACGCAACUAAAUCUAAAACUUUAAAAAUACAAAAGUUGAAUAAAGAACACAUGAUGUUUCCUAGGCAUGUGGGCCCUACCACCGGACUUCAAAUUUUAAUUGAAUUUAGUUUAUUGUCAGAAAAGAAAAAUCAUCUGUCUGCAGUAAUGGCCAACGGAUCUUACACGCAAAAAAAGGAAAAUGCAGAAUGGCAGACACACCAUGAAUUCUUAACUUUCAAAACUCUAUUUAUCCCCUUUAUUAGUUUUUAAUUAUCCUUUUUUUUCACGUAACUUUGUGGCUAAAAUAAGGGGGUCUUUGGAGUUCGAACCCUAACUCCUGUAUAAAAUAAUGCAUUAUCACUACCAACUGAGUUAUACUCACGGAGACUUUAAUUAUCCAUUUUAUUAUCUUAAAUUAAGAUAAAUCUUGAGAGCAAAACUUAAUUAAUAGCUACAAAGAUAAUAUAUAUACAUGUGUCGCUUUGAACAUAAGAUAUACACUCUUUAGUCAUUAUUAUAAGAAAAAUUAAUAUUUUAGAUUUAAUAAUUAAAUAAUGUAUGUAUUAUGUAAUAAAGAUUAUAUACAUCAUUGUCCCGUAAGCAUAGUUCAAAAGGUAGGAUCAAUACAUUUUUAUAUGCAGGGGCAGGGGUUCGAAUCCCAGACACCCUACUUAUUCACCUUAUAAGGUGAAUUCUAAUCACUAAGCUACCUGAAGAAAAAAAAUAUAUACAUCAUUAAUUAAAUACAUCUAAAAUGUAAACUUUUAUUUAUAAUGAUGACCGAAAAAUAUACUACCACUUCUUCACAUUUAAAAUGUAUGAGUAUAUCCACCAACCUAUUUGAUGACAAAAUAAAUAAACUAAGAUAAUGUAUAUGGACAAUUUUUUUAAGGAAUGCAUAUGGACAUAUUUAAUACUUGCUUUUUAAAUAAAAGGGAGGGAUCUAGAAAUAUGUUAGAUGGGAAAAAUUAAUUCUAAGUAAUUUAUAUUUAAAUAAAUACUUUAAAAUGAAUAGAAAAUCAUAUUCCAUGUCCUUUUUAUUUGCAUCUUUUGUCACUCUCACAUGUAUCAAGGAAAUACACUAAAGUUAACAUGUCCAUAUUGUCUAGUUCAAACUUUUCAUUUACUUUUGCCUAAAAAAAGUUUUCAUCUCUACAAGUAAACUAACAAAAUCAAUAAAAGUAUAUUUAAAGAAAACUAAAUAAUUUGGUAAUUUAUAUUUAAAAACAAAUUUUAAAGAAUAUUUGUAAUUAAGGAUAUAUAAAAAUUAAUUUUGUCUUAUAAGUGAAAAAGUAAAGUUUCUCAAAAAAAGUGUCGCUAUCAAUUUUCAUCAUUGUUUUAAUUGAUUUUGAUCUAAUUGUACCGUGUUAUUAUGUUUUAGUGGUUAACGAGUUUCUUGUAAAAUGAAUUGUUUGUAGGAAUAAGAGAUAAAUUUUUGAUUAUAUUUUAGUUAUCUUUCGAUCGAAAUUUAAAAUUUUAGGAUCCUACUAUUAUUUUUCAGUGUGUAGUUUGCAUUUGUGAUGAUAAAAAGUACAUGAAUAACAUCUCUAAAAUAUAACAGACAAUAUUAAUAUUAUUUUAUUGCUCUACUUCAUUCAAAUCUAAAUUUAAGUUUACGAUGUUUUGACCAAAACAAAAUAAAAGAAAUUAAAUUUACGAUGUUAUAGUUGUAUAUAAAUUUUAGAUGAUGUUUAUCACUUUAUCUACGAAUAAAGUAUAAUAAAACAAGAUAGUCAAUCAAUUAGCUUAUGUGUGCAUCAUUCACACACGUUUAAAUAAAGCAACUGUUUUUGAAUAGUAAAAGUAGAAAAUGUCCAAAAUUAUGGUUUUUACACACACGCAACUAUUUUAGGUAUUUGGUCAGAAAAGGAAAAAGAAAUUAAAAAACAACGAGACAUCCGUGAAAGAACUUUGUUUUAUUAUUUACCCGAUUUGCACGCGCCUAUCACAAUCUUAAAUUAAUUAAAUUAAAAAUAAUUAAUUAUUUAUGACAAAAAUUAAAUUAAAUAAACCUUAUCCCACUUUUCCAACUAUUAUAUAAACCCUUUCACCCUUUCUCUCUCUCUUCAUCACUCUUUACUUUCUCUCACUUCAUUUCAUUUCCACCCUUUAUUUUCUUUCUCUUCAUUUUCUUUCUCUCCAAAAUAUGGAGAAUUCCACCGACAAGAGAAAGAGAGUUGAUGAUGAGUUUGAUGAAACUCAAACUCACUGUGUUGACUCAGUUCAUGCUAAGAUUCGUAAGAUUAACUCCUUUUCUGAUUCUGAUGAUGUUAACUUAACUGAAACAAAGACUGAAACUCAGCUUACCCGAGUCGACUCGAGUGAGUCGAGUCAGGUUUUUGAUUCGGAUGAGAUUUUUAAUAUACUUGAUGAUGAAAACAAUGCUCAUGAACGUGAUUCUGAGCCUGACUCAGUGAUGGGUCUUGACUCAGUUAUCAAAAGCUUUGAAGAAGAGAUUUUUGCACCUGGGACUGAACCAGGUCUGACUGAACCGGAACCGGUUCAGGUCGACCUGGUUCAAAUGACCGGUUCAGGUGAGAUGGAGAUGAACUUAGGUUACUUGUUUGAGGCUUCUGAUGAUGAACUUGGGUUGCCACCAACUGUGACUGAACCGGGUUUAAAUGAACCGGGUUCGGAUGAACCGGACAAGGUGGACUUGACCGGUUUUGUUGGGUUUGAUGAUGAUUUUACCGGUUUUGAUGGGUUUGGUUAUGGAACUGGGUUGUUGUCGGAGAGUGACGGUGGUGCUGAAGAUUUUGUGACUGGGGAUGGGUUGUUUGAAUAUGGUGAACCGGCGGCGGCGGAUGUUUUGUGGCGGUCGGAGUCUUUACAAGCUAUGUAAGAAGGUGGCGUUGAGAUUUUGGGGUGGAAAAUGUAAAUCUGAGAAAAUGUUGGGGUAAUUUUAGAAGGAUGAAAAAAUGGAAGAUUAGAAAUGUAGGUGAUAGAUGUGAAAAGGAAAAGUUUGUAGGAUUAAGAUUUGUUAAUGGUUCUUUUGUUGAAAUUUAAUUUAAUGAGAAACAAAUUGGUCCCAAAUUAUGACAUUGUUUUGUUUUUUGCAUACUUAAUUAUCUUUUCUGGUUUAGACGAGGGUUCUUGCAAAAAAAUUACCUUGAAAAAUACAAAACUAAAAUAGUUUUUUAUUUUGGAUGUGGAAUCUUAAAUACUUUAGUUUUACACCAAAUGGGAUUCUUUUUACUAAAAUAUUUGUUCAACUGAAUUGAUGAAAUAUAUUGAAAGAAACACAAUCGAACAUAAUGCAUAAAUAAAAUUACCACAUCUAUUUUUCUUGCUAGAUAAUCGAAAUGGUAAAGUCAUCUUAGGCUCACACACAUAAAAUAAAAGGUGGUGGGAUUCGAACUCCGUCGGAAUAUAUAACUUAAUAAUUUUGACAUUUUUAUCCAUUAAGUUAAGAUUUAUUGGAUAGUUAUCGCAUCUAUUUUAUUAAGGAAUUGUAUUAUUUGAAAACUUUUGCGAGAAUUCAAUUUUUUUUUUGGUCUAGUAAAUCACUAAAAUUAAACUCACAUAUAAAUAUCAUUCAAUAUCAUUCAUCUUUUUUUUUAAGAGAAAAUAAAAGAUCUAAAAAUAUUUUAAAUUGCGGUUGUUGGUGAUCGAGUUAAAGAUUUUGCGAUUUAGAUUGUAUUGUACGAUGUGUUAUAAAUUUCGGUUGUUGCACUGCUGAACUAAUCACAGACGGAUGUCACGCUGGUUUUAAAACAUUUAAUAAUUUUUAUUUCAAUUUUGUGGAAGACAUGAUUCCUCCAAGUGUUUCUUCUCAAUUAUUCCUUUAAAUGUGGAUUGUUUUUUGUAUGGUUCUUAACUAAAUUCACCAUUAUUUUCUCAAAUUCAUAAUUUUCUCAAAGUUUGUUGUAUCCAAAAAAUAUGUAUCUUUAGUUAAGAACUAUACGAAAAGUAUCUAAGAAAUUGUACCUAAGUUUUUUAUUUUAUUUUUUAUCUAGUAGUCUAGUGGAGAUGUCCGAGGUUUCAACCCUGACCUCUGCAUAAAUUAUGCAAUAUCCCAAUCAACUGAGCUAAUCUGAACAACAUAAAUCACUUUUAAUCAGAACUAUUUUUAACCAAAAUCAAUUCUCCAAAAUAAAUUCUAUCACAAUUCAUUCUUUCCACCUAACAAUCAAACACACGCUAAGAAUGAUAUCCCUUAUCACUUCAACUCACUUUUCUUCUCUGAUUCUAAUUUUUUCUAUAAGGUUUUGUAAUUUACGAUCAAAUUUAUACAAAAAAUGUGAUUUUUAUCCAUCUCAUUUGAAAAAAAAUAGAAUCCUUGACGUAAUAAUGAUUUGUCGCGAUAAUUAUUAUGAUUUUUUUCACUUCGUUCAACGAGUAAAGUGUUAACAACCAUUGUCAAAGUCGUUUUGUCGCCACCGUUUUCUCGAUAUUAAAAUCCUUUUUUCCUAGACUUAUAUAUUGACACCUAAGUCAAAGUUAGUGUAUAAUGAAUCAAAACAAGAUAAUUAACAAAUUGUAAAACUAAAUAUCGUAGUUAAUAGGCAUACAAAAUAAAGAAGAACAUGCAUCAAAUAAAUUUGUGAUAAAAAUAAGAUAAUUAAUAAAUUGUCGAACUAAACAUCGUACUUAAUAGCAAAAUAAGGAAAAUCUACCAACAUAAAAAAAUCUACACCAUAAAACAAAUCAUAAAAUAAAUCCAACAACCAAAAGGAUAAAAUAAGUCUAAAAAAAGAAAGAAAAACGGUGUAAGCGGGUCGACCAGUCCCAUUUUUACAACGAGUUAAGCGGAACGAACCAACUAUAAUAAACGAGUUCAAAAUUUUGACUUAACCCAAAAAAUAACCGGUUAAACGGACCGCCUCGACAGAUUUGACCCCGUUUUACCACCCUUAUUAAUAAGGAAGUUACAAAAAUGGAUUCAUAUGUUUGAUAGAAAGAUAAAAAAUUAAUUUCCAAAUAUACAACAUUUCCAAAAAUAAAAUAAUUUCCACUUUCCCAUGUUUUUACUUCCCAAGAAAGUUUAAAUAACCAUCCAACUACCAGUCAUACACCUCAUGUUUACAAAUAAAUCAUAAACAUGCUAUCAAUCAAUUAUAAUACUUGGAUCAUUAAAAAUAUUUGAUUUUAAUCAUGUUUAAUUUAUAGAGCCUAGCAAAAAAUGUUACAUGUGAUAAGCUAAAAUUUAAAAUGUUGGGUCUUGCUGAUAAGUGUUCUUAUGAUAUUAGUUAAGUAACAAGUGCCCUUAUAACAUAAGUUAAGGUAAUCAAAAUUAGUAGUUUUACAUUGAAAACAAUAAUUCGUAAACUUUUUACAAGUUGAUUUGACCAUUUUUUAUUACUCUCCAACACAGAAUUUCUAUUUUUAUUCCCUUAUCCAAUACCCCACCCCAGAGCACUAUUUAGCAUUUCCCUAAAAUGUUUCACAAACAACAAAUUUAAUUUCUUUAAAAGAGUAUUAAUUGAUAUAAAAAUAUCACAAAACAUCUCUAUUUUAUUUUCGUGAGCUGUCGUGUUAUCGCAUAUGAUAUAUGAUGAACGUUGAUUCUCUAAGCAACUAAGAUCAUUUCUGAUGACGAGGUCUUUACCUUUUAAGACAUGAUACUUACUAUAUAUCGUUAUUGGAUUUUUUUUUUUUUUUGGAUCUUCUAAGACUCAGGAUCGCACUUAAGACCCUUAUUUUUAAUUGGACUUCUCAAUACUAUUAAAACGAUCAUUGUAUUGUAGGAAUGUAAAUGAUGAAGAGUCAGUGGUGGAAUCGAUUUAGACCUUUUGUCAUAGGAUCUUCAGAGCAUCCACAAUGGUAGUCCACUAACAUGGACUCCUUAAAUGUAUCUCAUGCGUACACAUCACUUAUUUAUAGUUUAUUUUUAUUUUUAUUUAUUUUAUAAUGAAAGUACCUAUUAAGGACUCAAAUGACAAUACACUAAUAAGACUCCAAUAAAGAGUACUUAAAUAGAUCCCACUAACUUUACAUUAUUAUACAAAAAUUAUUUAUAACUUAUUUUGUAAGUGAGACUAACCCGUACAUAUUUUAUUACUUCUUUUACACAUGGAACCCGUUGGUUUCCCAUGAGAGAGAAUCCUUAUAUAGUUGUUUGUUGCUUAAUUGGACUCAUUUUUUCUUUCUUUAAUGAGGUCCUUAACAGGGAGUGGUCCUUAUCAAGUAAGGAACCUGCAUUAAAGAUGUUCUUAGAUACCGUAAUUAAAAGAUUAUAAAAAAUGAUGUAUACACAUAAAAUUUGUUUAAGAACUUUAAAUGAAGGUCUCCAUUGUGGAGCCUCUAAUACAAUUAUUUAUUCCCUCUAAAAAAAAUGAGUUUAUUAUUCAUAAAACAUUUAAACAAAAAUGAAAAAAAUGAGAAAAAUAAAGCAUGUACGGUACUUAGCUAUGAAGUUUGUCCUUUUGCUAGACACCAACCACUUCUGUAAUUGUACUACUCACUCGCUAUAUGCUGCAGAGAGUAAUGGAGAAUCCAAAGAAAAGCAUCCACCUCGUUAUCAACGAAGUGGUUGAUGAUAUUUGUUUGUUCGGUUACACAUGUCUUUCAUGCAGAAGUGUAAUGCAUAGACAUACUUUAGAUUCAGUGAGUAGGCUUGUCUAGGUUAAGAUCUUCUUUUUAAAUGAAAUUAUACAUAAGAAUAUAUUGAAAAUUACUUUUCUCCUUUUUGAAAUUAUUUAUUAUUUUGAUUUAGUGGAAGUUAACUUACAUAAGACAUUUUUUUAUUGGGAGUUAACUCACGUCGGUAUUUUAAAAAUACCUCUUGAGAAGUUAGCUUUUGAAGCACCCUUUUGUCAAGUAGAUAAAUUAGAAUCGACAACUUAUUUUUUAAGAAAUAGAUAAAUUUUCGAAAACAACUUUAUGUAAAAGAUAAAUUUGAAUAAAUUUUUAUAUUUUCAAAACAAAUGUAAAUUAGCUUAAGUUUGAAGAUAUAUGUUUAAAUCUAAGAAAUUGUUUUUUAAACUUUUAAAAUUACUCUCACGCAUUUGAGAAUUAUUUUAAUACUCUAACAACAAUUAACAGAUGUUCGCUCUAAGUUAAAUAUUAUAGAGUGAACGAUAUUUAACUGCCAUUGACGAUAUUGAAAGCAAUUUCAAAUGCAUGAGAGUAAUUUCAUAAGCUUGAAAAGCAAUUUCCUUAAAACUAAACUAAAAAGAAUAAAAGGCCUACUAGAAAAUGUGAAAGGCCCAUCUAACUAAGGCCCACACAAAACUAAGAGAGAAUAAAUACAAACCAAUAAAAAAAAAUACACCUUUAUAUUAUGGAAAUGUUAAUUUGCGCCCUUAGAGCACAUGUUAAGAAUUCCAUAAAUAGAAAUUAUGCAUUGAAAAUUGUGUUAAUUUAUUGGUAAAAAUGUUUAAUAUUAAUUUUUUCAUUAAAUUUUUACUAUUAUUAGAAUGAAAUUAAUGCUGCUCUAAAGACACAAGUUAACAUGACCCUUAUACUUAUCCCGUCUCUAAAUUAUAAUCGUUUAAGGUUUUUACACACAAAUUAAGAAAGACAAUAAAUUAGUCAACAUACAUACUAAUUUUACCAAACUAACCUCACUAUUUAAUUAUUUUAUUAUUUAAAGUUAAAUUAUUUAAAAGAUUAAAAGUCACAUUAAGACAUUAAUUACAAAGGUGGUAUAAAUACAGCCGAGCCAAUUAAAUGACAUGAUUUCACACAUGGCUCAAGAUGGCUGUUUUCAAGAAAGAAACAUGCAAUUACAGAUAGACAGAGGAGUAAAAGGCAUGAAGGGCAAAGUUGGAAAAAGUAAUUUAAUUCCACAUAGAAAUCACAAAGCGACUAUAAUUUUGCUACCUUUUUAUUUUUUUAAAACGUCAAACAUUAAGAGACGGUGGGAGUAUUAUUUAUGGGUUAAGGAAGCAAAAAAUAACAUGUUUACAUUGAUUUCAACAACAUUUUGAAGAACUCUCUCUUCAAUUUUUUUUUUUUUAAGGAACUCUCUCUUCAAUUUAGUUGAUGAACUAUAGAAAAAUACUCCCUAAGACUUAUUAAUCUAUCAAGAUUAUCUCGGAGCCAUCUCUCUUAAGAAAAUGAGGACUAACUUGAUGGAUUUAUGAUAGUUUAAGGACUACUUAAUAUAUUUUUUAUAAUUCAAGGAUCAAAUUGAAAAGAAAAUAAUAAUUCAAAAACCAAAUCGAUGGUUUAUUCCUAAAACUAAUUGAGAAUUGUUGUUCCCACAUUUGAUAAGGCUGUGUAACACGAGUAAUUUACUUUUUUGCCCCCUCGGCAGUUAACUGCCGAGGAAUUAAAAAUCCGGCUGCAGUUAAUUGCCGAGGAAAACCUCGGUAGUUAACUGCCGAGGAAAUCUGAACAUAAUCAUACACAGAACCAGAACAAAUCCAUUUUCAUAAAUUGCAAGCAAAUAGAUUGCACAUUAUCACAAGUAAGUUGUGUCAAUCAUUUUAAUGAUAAUGUUAAUUUGUUUAGGUUGAUUUUUUUUUUAAAAAUUAGAGUAGUUUGCAUGUGGUUAGGGUUGAUUUUAAAAUCGACAAUUUGAUGAUUGCUUGCAUGUGUGGUUUAGGAAUUGACAAAUGAAUGUAGUUGUUGCUUAUGUUGUUUAAAUCAUAAUGUGGUUUUGAAUGGUGGCAAAAGAACACAAUUUGAAUAUGUUUUAUACUUUGCACACAAAGUGUUUGAUAAAAUGUCUCAAUGACAAAUUUAUUGAUUAUUUAGUUAGUUUAGGUUAUGGAAAUGAUAGAAAUGAUGUUAAUUAUAGUUUGGUUAAGUGUAUAUUGAUUUUUUAGUUAGUUUAGGUUACGAGAAUUAUGAUGGACACAAAUGAUUUAGUUGUAUAGAAAUGAUUAAGUGUAUGUUAAUUAUUGAAUGAUAUUUAUGUUAUUAUGGAAAUGAUGGAAAUAAAUUUUAUUAUAAUGAUGAUUAUAUUGAAUGAUUUUAGGUUAUGAAAAUGAUGUUCAUUGUUGUAAUUUUAAUGAGUUUGAUUAUGUUUAUGUUUAGUUUAGGUUUAAUGUGUUUGAUUAGGUUAUGGAAAUGAUGUUAAUUAUUAUAUCCACUUUUAUAUGUGUUUUUUUUUUAAAAUCUUUUCUUUAUGUUUAAUUAUUUUCUUUAUAUUCCUUCAAAAAUUAUUUUCUUUAUAUGUGUGUUUGUUUAAUUAUUAUAUCUACUUUUAUAUAUGUUUUUUUUUAAUUCUUUUCUUUAUGUUUAAUUAUUUUCUUUAUAUGUGUGUUUGUUUAAACUAUGUUUAUUUUUCUAUUAUUUCAGGUUCGUAAGCUCCGUGUGGUAAAACCGAUUAAUCAUGGGGCUAAGAUCUUGAGUCUCAGACGCCCAAACGAGAAUCAUGAUUGGUUUUGAGAUCCGCUUAGGGAGAGCGGGUUACAUGACUUGGUAUAUCUGGGCUACGCCACUGUGCCUCAUGCCAUGCUGAUGACUCUGCGAGAGGUGGCAUCCCGAGACCAACACCUUUCACAUGCCCUUGUGGGAGAUGACUGUGACCUUGGAUGAUGUCGCAUGUCUCACGCAUCUUCAGAUUGAGGGGCGGAUGUUGAGCCAUGGGAAGAAGAUGUCGAGACAUGAGGGAGCGACACUACUUAUGAGGCACUUGGGUGUGUCGCAGCAGGAGGCAGACAAAAUUUGUGGGCAGGAGUACAGUGGGUACAUUAGCUACCCUAGGCUGAGGGACUUAUAUACGAGGUACCUUGGUAGGGCCAACGUAUUGGCUGAUACGGAGGAUCCAGAGGAUCUGGAGGAGCGGGAGAGGGUUAGGACUUAUUGCGUGAGGUGUUACCUUCUCUACUUGGUUGGAUGCUUGUUGUUUGGCGAUAGAAGCAACAAACGCAUCGAUUUGGUCUAUCCGACGACCAUGGAGGACGGCUACGCAGGGAUGCGUAAUUAUUCCUAGGGAGGGAUGACACUCGCAUACCUAUACGGCGAGUUAGCUGAGGCGUGUAGGCCUGGAGACAAAGCUCUUGGGGGGAGCGUGACACUGAUGACUGUAAGAAACUUAUAAAUGUGAACCUUAACUUUUAUUUUUUUGUUAUAUUUUUUCGUGCGUAAUAAUUUAUAAAUGUGAUUUGUUUGGUUUGUGCAUGCAUGAUUUUUGGCGCAUUUUCCUGGCUUUUACAGUGUUGAUCCCAACACUGACUACAUGGAAAACUAUCCGGUUGCAGCGAGGUGGAAGCUUCAGAAGGGUCACGGAGAGGGGGUUACGUAUAGGUCACUACUUGAUCGUAUGCAGUUUGAUGACGUAUGCUAGAGGCCGUACGAGGAGCACAGAGAGAUCCAUGAUUUUGAGGAGGUUUUAUGGUAUUCUGGCUGGAUUAUGUGCGGUGUUCGUAGGGUGUACCGUCACUUGCCUGAGAGGGUUUUGAGGCAGUACGGAUACGUCCAGACCGUCCCCAGACAUCCGACGGAUGUUGUAGAGCUGCCACCGCCUCACAUUGUGUAGGCGUUCGUCGACUUCCGCACUCACACGCUUAAGGCGGCCGAUUGGGGUGAGCAGGCAGGAGAGCAGACAUGGCGGAUGGCUAUGUGCUAUGGUACACUAGGGUGUCUCACCCUCAGAUCUUGCCACCUCUUUCAGGAGAUCUUCCGAGGCCAGCAAAUGAAGAGCAGAUCAUUGCACAGCAGUGGGAGCAGUAUGAGGUGAGAAACUCGCUUGACACCUAUGACAUGGUUUGUGGCGUUGUUGCCUACGCUGAUGCGCAGUUAGGCCAGGAGCAUGACCCCUCAGCAGUGGUUUCAGGCCAUGAGCCAUAUUAGGGAGCAGAUCACGCCGAUUUUGACCAGGAGGCGAGGCCAGAGGCCGAGGAGGAGGCAACAUCAGCAGGACCAGGAACAAUAGUAAUAUUUUGUUUUUUAGGACUUGUUUUUUAGUUUUGGUGUUUUCAUGACAUUGAUUUGUAUAUUUGUACUUUGAUGACAUUACUUUUAAUUCCAUGAGAUUUUUUACUUUGUUUAAUGUAUAAAAAUGUUGGUUUAAUUAAGUUGUGCAUUUGCGCCAAUAUUUUUUUGUGAUUUGAACCGUUAUGAUGAAUUUCAAACGUUUGUGUAAUUUGAACCAAAUGUCGGUUUAAUUUAAUUAUGAACAAUUGUAAAAAAUAUUGUAUUUUUCUUGUUUAUGUCCGAGUUUCAAUGUUGUAUGAAUUAUUUUGCCUUUCGAAAUGAUCUACUUUAAUUAAAGGUAAAAAAUGGCUGAAAAAAUGGCUUGGAAAUGUUUUAGAAUCAUGAAGAGUUCAUUGUCUGCAUAAUUUAUUUUCCUCGGCAAUUAACUACCGAGAUUUUCCUCGGCAGUUAACUGCAGCCGGAUUUCUAAUUUCUUCUACCGAGAGGGCAAAAAAGUAAAUUACUCGUGUGCCACAGCCUUAUCAAAUAUGGGAUCAACAAUUCUCAAACUAAUUAGGUUAACUAAUAAUGUGUUUUUGGUUGUUCUUCCCUUUGGGUCCCUAUAUUGUCGCAUAAAAGUAUAAAAAAUACAGGCUAUCCUUUCCAUUUCUUUGGCUGGACUCCUUUUCUUUGCGUGUUCAUUUUUCAUUUUUCUUUACUCAUUUGUUUAUUCUUAAAGCCUAAAUGAGUGUUUUUUUUUUCUUUUUUUCUUUCUUUCUAAAGAAGCCUAAAUGAGUUGCUGACAACUUUAAUUAAAUACAUUUGUAAAAAGAAACUUUAAUUAAAUAUAGAAUGUUCAUUAAUGUUAGCCCGUAAACAUUUACAAGUUGACACUACUAGUGAACUUAAGUAUAUUUGGUUUCAUUUUGGAUAGGAUAGAGUUGAUUAAGUUCGACAUUUCAAGUGUUUUCGAAUAAAACUUAUUUUAUCUCUAAAGUUGAUCCUUACUUGAACUUAAAAUUACUAUAUUAUAUUAUAAUUGAAUUUUAGUUUCAAACAUAUUAUUCAACUCAUUGUUACGAUCGGCCCAACUGCGUCACCAAACUCCAACUGGGUUGCUCCGCGUUGUCUGUUGCUGACGGCAAUGCUUCAUUGUCGUUGAGUGUGUUUUGUGCUCCGGUUGUUUCUAAAUAGAUUUGUGCUCACCGUUACAGAUCGCGUAGGUGCUCUGAAUGUCUCAUUCAAUAACAACGUUGGCCGCGGUUGUUUUGGGUGAGUGAAGGAGUUGAAAAUCACAACUUUGUUAUUGUGAUUUGUGUUUAUGUGUUGUUGGGUUUAUUCAGGUCAGAUCUGUUGAAAGUCUGGCGUUGAUUGGGUUUUGAUUCAAACUUUGAAGUGGUGUUGUUAUGCUGGCACGAAUAGGUCUUUGUUGUGUUGAUGCAUCGCCUCUUAAUUUGGUGUCGUACAAAUGCACGAGUGCGGUAGACCGUUGUGUAUAUUGAUUUUCUUUGGAUAGAGAUUUGUGCUUUUGAAGCGCAUUGUGUUGUUUUAUUUUAUAUUUACUACUUUUAGUAAAAUACCUUAUUACUAAUUCUUGUUUGUCUUCACCCUUCUAUUCGUAGAAAAACGAGUUUUGAUAACCCACGUUCAAUUGUAAGUAACUCGACCAAGAUUAUUCUAAUAAGAAUUCAAAUUCUUUGUAGUUAAUUGGAGAGUCAACUACUCCCUUGAAGCAAUGAGAUUAAGCUAUUUGGAGGGGAGGGAAAGAGAAGAGAGGGUUUUGGAAGAGGGGAGGGAAAGAGAAGAUAGGGUUUUGGAGGGUGAUAUAUAUAUAUAUAUAUAGAAAUUGAGAAAUCUUUUAAAUUAAAAAAAAAAUAGAUUUUUUUUAAAUAAUGAUAAACUAAUCUAUAUGAUUAGUAUAUUUUUAAUUUUAAGAAUAUUAUAUCAAUAUAGAUUGAAUUUAGAAAAUACAUAUAAAUUGAAAAUCUUCCAAAACUCUCAUCCAAUAAUACAAUUUCUAAGUUCCCCUAAAUGAGAUGGAUUUUCUAUUAUUAUGAAUAAAAAUUAACCCCCAAAGUCUUUUUUUUUUUUUUUUUUUUUUUUUUCUAGUUAUUUCUUCAUUUUUUCUAAAACUUAUCCCUUCCCUAUCCUCCGAACUCUCAAACAAAACCUUAGUGUUCAUUUAAGAUAUAAACGAGUAUAUAAGAAACAUUUUAACCAACAAUGUCGAUAUAGUUAAAUCGACAUCUUCACCCAAAUUAAAACCGAAAUUUUUUCAUUAUAUGCGUAUGCGUUUCAUUUCGUUUAAAAAAAAUUCUCUCAAAAAAAAAAUUUCGUUUAAAAAAUUGUCAAAAGAUUAAUAAAGAAAAACAUGAAAGAUUAAUUAAUUAUUUGUAUAAUCUUAUCCAAUAAAUAAAAUAUUCUUAUUAAAAAUCGAAACAUGCAAUCUAAACCUCAAACAUAGUUAUUGUUUGUCUCUUAUCCAUACAAAGGUUGCCACUUCCUACUUCCAACAACAUCAUCACUUUCUCUCUACUCUUUACACCCUCUAAUGGCAUUCACCGUAGCUACAUACGGUGGUGCAGGAAUCCUCUACAACAAGACCACCACAACAACACCCUACACCCUCCUACCAUCUUCUUCAAGAAGAACACUUCACAUAGUUUCAGCUAAGAAGAUUUCUUCACGUUCAAGAAGGAACCAACCAACAGAAACUGUUGAUGAGAAAAUAGAACCAAGGAAUGAGGUUGAAAUACCGUUUUACUCUGAUGAAGAUUGGCCUUUUGAAUGGAGACCUCCUGGUACUUACAAAGAUCCUGAUUUCUUUGAAGGUUCUCAGUGGAAUACUGUUGGGUUUGUUGGAGAAUGGUUGUGGAUUCUUGGUGUUCUUUUUGCGGUAUAAUUCAACUUCUAUCUUGUUUUUCUUUUGUUUCUUUCAAAUUUAUGAAUUCAAGUUUUUUACUUUUUUUUGUUGCUUGAGUGGUUGUUUGUGCAUCUUAUAGGAUAAGUGUUUAUUAUAUAAGCUAUUAUGAAUAAGCUACAAGAUAAAAUAAAGUUUAAAUCUUUCGAGAUAAGGUAUAGGUUGUUUCAUUAGUAUCUUGAAGGGUUUUGAAAAUAAGUUGAGAAUGAACAUAUCAUAAGUUUUUUUUUUUUCAUGAGCUCUUCCAAACAGUCUCAUAAGUGCUUAUGCCGGUAGAUAAACUCAAAUAAGAUAAUUCAUACAGGCCCCUAAUAUAGUAUCCAUUCAAGGCCACAAACCAUUUAUAUCUACGCACCAAGCCUGAUAGUAUUGGACAUGUAUUGGGAAUGAGUUAAGCUUGAUUUAAAAACCUAAUAGUAUGUGUGUGUAUUUUGGUUGAGUGGUUUUUUUGAGUAUGAGAGGAAUUUUGGAUGAGGAUAGAGUUUACUUUUGAGCUUAUUUAGUGACAUAAUCUCUUAUCUAGGAACAUGUUUGGAUUGGCGGUGAGUUUGAACUUUAACGAAAGCAUGGUAACAUCGUAAUUUUAUUGAAACUCUGAAGGGUUGUUUCUUGCCAAAAUCACACUGGGUCAUUUGAUUAUGUCAAAAUCACGGUCAAUUUAAAAUUUGCACUAUAGUGAAAAUGAAGGUAGUGAGAAAAAUUGGUUUGGAUUGUGAUGUUAAGGUUUUUGAAGAGUCUACGACCACAUCAAGAUCCUAAUUGUUGCCACAUGAUGCCAUAUUUGAAUUCACUAGGACUAUAUAUGGAUUCUUAGUGGCGUUUUCGCAGUAUGAUUCAACUACCAUCUUGUUUCUUGUUUCACUAAUUUAUACUGUGAAUUUGUAUAACAGAAAGAUGUUACUUUUACGCUUGAUUGUGUUGCAACAGAACAGAACAGAACAGAGUCCAAUGUGAUUCAUGUCGAUUUUGGUGCAUUGUAUUGUUCUAUUACUAAAUUUAAAACUACUACCGCUAGUUUCAAUUUAUUUUUAGAAUUUUGAAUGGCAUAAUUCCUCCUUACGUUAUGUGUACUUUGAAAUACUUUUUCGACAAUUGACUAUAGUGGCGUAGUCGCCUUACCAACGUGCUAACUCUUGAAAUUGCAAGUUUUUGGGAAGUUGUUUUGUGAGAAUGAUAGUUAGUUACCAUUGUUUUUACCUAAUAUAAUACUUGACCAUUUUAACAAGCUAUUUCUCAAGGUUUUCCUUAAAAAUUGUUAGACUAGUUUCUAUGUUCUAACAAUUUUCUGCAUACAUACUUCUGAUGUUCUUAUUCGCUCGUUCUCUUUGAUGCUGAGGAAUGUCUUGUCUGGAGAGUCUGACUUUUUAAUCUAGUCGUAUUAUUUAGGCAUGUAUGUUCUGUUUUUAGUUCUUUAUAAGUUCAUCGUGAUCGCAGGUAUUCGGUGGUGGGUAUGCAGCCAUAAACUACAAUCUAGGCGCAUCAGAUUUUAAGGAAACUCCUGCAUACAAGGAAUCUCAGUCUCAAGAACUUUUAGAACAACCCGAAACAUCUGAAUCGGACAUAUUCGACUCCAAUCCUACAGAGGUAGCUCCUAGUUUGAACUAGUCCAUCCAUAGAUACAAGCAAACAUACCUUGUUUUAGCAUAUAUGAAUCCAGUUGAAUGAAAAUUUCAAACUCCAUUGCACUCAAUUUGUAAGGCACUGCUUCUGCAAAUACACUGAAGUGUAUCAAUUCUGAGGCAAAAUUGUCAUGUUGGUGCCUGUGUUGUAUAUUUUUUUUUUCAAUUAUUAGAAGCUGCAACUUAUAUAGAUAAAAAACCAUUGAAAUUUAGAGUUGAUAUUUGGAUUCGAUGUUGCACAUGGAUAGUGGUUUGUAUGGCUUAUAUGUGUGUUUUGAUCUGCUUUGUUUGGUUUAGUAUUUUGUUACAAAUGUUGCCAAAAUGAUGUUAUGAUUCACUUAAGUUAUGUUUGGAUUGACUUAUUUGAGCUUAUCUACUGAUAUAUACACUUGUGACCUUGUUUUUGGAGAACUUAUUAAAACAACUUAUGACAUGCUCAUAUAAGCUGUUUUCGGCGUAUUUCCAUUAGCUCUCCAUUAUAGCUUAUGAAAACAACUUAUUAAUUAUACAAAAACAAUUUGACUUUAUUUUAUUUGUGUUAUAGAAAUAGCUCAUUCACAAGCGUUGAACACUUAUACUUUAAGCUGCAAAAUAAGUUGUUUAUUCAAACAGGGAGUUGUUUGUUCAAUUCAAAGACAAAUUACGAAAUUGGCUUAAUCCUUAAACAGUUGAGAGAACAGAAUGUUUUAUAAUUAUCUAAAUAUUACAAAAACAACUUCAAUUAAAGGAACAACUUUUUAACAGUACAUAAACAGACAUAGACAAACAAACAAUUCACUCUCAAACUCUAAAAGGAAAUAACACAACCAAUCUAAUAUAAUUUCUAAGAGGGAAAUAUCACUAAAACUAUAAAGUUGUAGAUAUGGUAUUAAGGCACUCAUAUGAACAUGAAUAUUGUUAUAGCCAUGAUAACAAUUAUUCCAUUCUUUGCAUUCAAGUUAAUAGCUUCACUUCUUCCUAAUCCAAAUCCAAUGAUGCUUGGUCUUGGUGGCACUGAAAAUAGUGGAGAAGCUACAAAAUCAAUAGAGAAAGAGGAUCAGUGAAACCAUGAUUAGUUCAAUUUCCAGGACCAAAAAAAAAGAAUUAAGAAAAUUACAAAUAUAUGUAACAUAGGAAGCUAACUUAUCUUUCUAAAGAUUCACAUUUCCUAUUCAUUUUGUAUCUUAGAUUUCUUAAAAUGAUAUAGAAGAUUAAUGAAUAAUUUAAUAAGAAUAUGGAAAAUGGUUUGUAUACCAGCAACAGUAGAGUUGUUCCUUGUCUGAAAAGAAACUUGAGAAUCUGGUGAAGAUGAAGGAGGCACAUGCAUUUUCACACCUGACAAAAAUAGAGGAAAAUCAGUUUUUUGUGUGAAAGAAUCACUUUUUCAAAAAAUAAUCAGUUUUACAUUUUUAUACAUGUCCUAAGUAUGCUAAUAAUAAAAUUGAAUAUAAGAAUUAAAAACUGAUAGCAUUAGAAGUAAGAGUUAGAAACAAGCCUAGGACUCAUGGUUUGAAUGUAAUAAUAUAUUGCAACUAAAUUAUAUAUAAUCUUUAGUUAUAUCUGAAGGUUAAAUGUGAUUGAUUAUGUGACCUGGACAAACUGAAUUAUCAACAUGAAGGUUACAAAAAGUUGGGAUCUGUAGAGCAAGUGUCCUAUUGAUGGGGAAAGAGGUAAAAGUAGUGUUGUUAAACAAGAAGCAAAGACAGUGUGGCUCUUGGCUAUAGAGUUGCUCAAGGUUGCUACAACAGCCGGUGGCCGGAGUGCUAACCGCGCCUUGCACGAACGGCAUGCAGGGAAAGAGAGGAAGGAGGCUUGAUGUGCAUGGAGCUAUUGUAGGGCUUGAGGAGGUUGGUUGCUGGGAAAGUAUGUUGGGUGGAUAAGAAAUUAUCAACAAGAGAAAAAUGUGACAGAAGAGAGAAACUAGAUUGCUAUGAAUAAGAGAAGCCAUUGUGUUGAGUGAUAGUGUGUGAAGAGAGAAAUGUUUAGCAAUGUGUCUAAAUAGCAAAUUUAGAAGUUUUUUGAGAGAUUUUACAUGCACUAUAUGUGAGUUUUAUCUUGUGGAAAAAAAGUGUGAGUUUUAUCAAUCACACACUUUUUGUUUUUUUAACUAAACCAAGGUUUGCAAAAGUAUAUCAAAAGGAAAAUCAUGUAUUGUUUGUUCAUGUAAUACAUGAACUAACAAGUGGUUGGACUCAAAUGUUUGAUGACUUUCGGUUAAAGACGAUUUUUUUUAAAAGAAUUUGGAUUUGAAUCAUGACUGAAAUGAUAAUUAACUAGACUUUACUUAUGUUCAGAUGAAUUCUUGAUUAUUAGAAUUCCUUCUCCAAUAAACCGGAGGGUUAAGACAAAAACAGAUUAUAAUGUUUUAAAUUAGAUUAAAGUGUGUAAGAUCCAUACUUUCCCUUACUCUCACUCAUAUUGCAAAUUAGAAGUUAAGAUUCCACAACCUAAACUCUUUCAUAUGGUCUCUCCAUGAACACUUGCAAACUUAUGAAAACUUGUUACAUUGCCUAGAAACUUAUAUAUAACAGUUCUAAAGUUCCUUUGCGCUAGAUUAUAAUUCAACCUAGUCUUACAUUAAGAUGCACACAAAAAUCUUUUCUACAAGUUAGGAUCAAAUCCUUACCUCAAUUGCAAAGCUCUCAAUCCAAUCCUACAAGUGAUCAAUAUGUGCAUGAGCACCCACAAACACAUAGAUUUUAGUUUCUACAUUUCUUUAGUAGUUAAGGCUGACAAAUUGAGAGGUUUUGGAAAAAAAUGUUUCUUCUCCAAAACCUCUACUAUGGUAAACAACAAGCUUAAGAUAUGUUAAAGUCUAACAUGAAAAAAUGCUAGGUUGAAUUUGUGGGAUGUCACAUUUGACUGAGGGUCUUAACCACUGGAAAUUGUGUGAAAUAGCAUAAUUUACAGAAUUAUGCUCUUCUCUCAUCAAGUUUCACUUCCAUCCAACCAAACUGACCAAAAUACCCCUGCGCUAGUUAACUAACGCAUGUGUAAAUCAAACGUGACUUAAUUUUACACAUGCGUGACUUAAGUCACGCCGCAUGAGUUAACUCACGCUCCAAAGUCAAAGUGCAGAUGUUGAUUAUUAUUAGGUUGAAUACAUAUAGCAGGUUAAUGAUCCUUAAAGAUAAACGGCAAGUCAGUCAACUCAAAGACAUUGAUCUCCCAUACCUUUCGUCUGUGGAGAAUUUCAAAUUCAUCAUUAAUUUAGUUAUUGAGCAUAUUCUACAUAAUUUGUUCAAUUUUAAAAUCAAGAAAAUGAGUUAGUCCAACAAAUUAAGAAAACUAAAUAUUUGUUCUACUUUCCAGUAAUAUUUGUUCUCCAAAACAUUCACCACAUUUCUGUUAAAAAAUGCAUCAUUACUUUCCAACCAAUAUAUUCUUAGCCAAAUUGAACCAUGCUAAGGUAAACACUCUAGAUGAAUUUAAGAAGAGUCAAGUCACCCCAAUAAUGGUUUUAUGAUGCAUAACAAAGUGAGUGUGAGUGUUAAUUAAAAGAACAAUCACAUGGGGAUGAAACUUUAAUGCAAAUAACUUCACUUUGGCUCCCAUGUGCCUUGCUUGGCUGCUUCUGUGUAUGUUUCAAUUCAAUUCACUUGACUUUGGAAUAUAAUAAAUUAGCGUGAGUUAACUCCCGCGGGGUGUAACACAUGUGUGAGAUAACUCAUGCGGCGUGACUCACGCAUGUGUAAAAUUAAAUCAUGUUUAAUUUACACAUGCGUUAUAUUUUGGUCAGUUUGGUUGGGUGGGAGCGAAACUUGCUAGGAGAAGAGCAGAAUUCUAAUUUACAAUCCUUUUGAGUUGGUGAGGCCCAAUGCGUAACCAUUAUGGUUGAAUCAAGAGCUUGCAAUGCAAUUGAUGAAUCACGAAGAGACAAAACCCUAGGCACCAAUUUAAGCUUUGAUAAAUUAAGGGUCUCACUAACGAAUGUCAUAAUGGCACUCUUUAAGGAUUCCUAAGUAAGAAAAUGUCUACUAAAAAAGUUAAUUAGUUAAAUUUCCAAUGCACAAAAUUCAUCAGUUUUUAUAAAAUCUUAAUAUUUAAGGUUGUUAAAGAGUGCCAUUAGAACAUUUGUUAACAUUUCUCUUAAUUAAAACAAAUAUAUUUUUAUACCAAAAAAAAAAAAACAAAUCAUUUUAUGAUUUGUGUCCUUAUUGCUAUGAACAAACUACUCCUUCGACCCAAUUAACAUUUACAAAAAAAUUGUUGCCCGUAAGACUCGCUACAAAUUACUAAAUAAUAUUAAAUGCAUUUAUAUGCUCUCUCCGUCCCUAUAUGUAAGCACCAUUUGUAUUUUUCAUAUUUCUUAAUAAAAGUUGAUAAUGCAAUUAAUGUGUCUAUUUUGUAUGUUGAUAUUACUAAAUUGUCCUUUGUUUGUUUGUGUAUUAAAUUUCACUUUUUCAUUUUUCAAGACAAGUUAAUAGUAUUAAUAAGGGGUAUGUUUAGGAAUAAUAAUAAUAAAUCUAUCUAGUAAUUUGAAAUGGAGUUUAUAUUUAGAGACAAAUUUUUAGUCAAAAUGAUGCUUAGAUAUAGGAACGAAGGGAGUAAAAAAGACAAUUUAUUACUCUAACAACUUUUCUUAUUACCUGUAUUAUUAUUAUUUUUUUGGUAAAAUAUUCUUAUAAAAAAGGACAGAGGGAGUAAUAAAUAUAAUAAAGAGAGCAAAUUAACUUCUUAUUCACCCCCUCUCCUAAAUUGAUGCGGUUGAUGAACAUCAACUUGCUAACAAGAAACUGAUGACGUGGUCGUGGAACAAACUUGGUAAAAAUAUCAACAACUUUCAAUUGAUUGCUCACAGGAGGAAGAGAUAUUAGUCGAUCAUCAUAGGCAUCACUGGUUGAAUGAUAAUCAACUUCAAUAUGCUUCUCAUAAAAAAGAAACUUCAAUAUGCUCAGUGUGUUCAUGAAAAACGAGAUUUUCAACUAUAUGGAUGACACUUGUAUUAUCGGCAUAAAGGGAGGUUAGCUCUAUUUCAGGAAAAUUCAAGUUCAACCAAAAGACCACGAAACCAAAUUAUUUCUGAACAAGCUAAGCAACAUACAUGACACGACACUCAAAUUUAUUAGAAGAUUUAAAGACUCUCGCAUGUUUCUUACUUUUUCAUGAGAUAAAGGAAUAUCCAAAAAACAUGCACCAACCAGUGACAGAUCGCCGAGUAUCAUGACACCCUUCCUAUUGGACAUCACUAUAAGAACUCAAUUUGGGAGCAAUUCCAAAUCGGAAAGAAUAGACCACAAUGAGAUUUUUUCGAACUAUAAGUGUGUACGAUAUAACUUAUCUUGAUAUGUAUUAGCAACACAUCCUCUUUUCAUCCCUCAUUUCAUAAUUUGAUGAAAUUCAUAUAGGUUCCACCACUUUUGAAAUAGGUCUCACUAAUUAGGUAAGGAGGUCCCCUGAAUUAGUGAGACCCAAGUGCAGCUAACUCAACCAUAAUUUUAGAGGGAUACUGUAAGAGACAAAGAGAGUCUCCUGCUAAGUGUUCUCAACUCAUUUUUUGUUGACAUAUAAGAAUAAUUUUGUACGAACAAGACAUUAAAAAUGAUUUUUUUUUGCACAGUAUUUAAAAUAUUCAUAUAGUUGAUAAUAUUAUAUGCUACCUUCUUUUAAAUUUUAGAAUGUUUAGUAUAUAAGUUUAAGUUAUUUUGCUUUUUCAAAUGUACUUAAUUAUAGUAUCUAAUCAUCUUUGAGUGAAAGUGCAAUUUUAUGUUUUGUUUCCUAGUUUUAUUUUAUAAGAAAAUGUUAUAAGAUGAGAACUAGUUUUUAAACACACUCAAAACACAAAAAAAAAAUGAUUCUCUUAAAAGUUAUAUGAAAAAGAGAUGCAUCGCAAAAUCACUUCAAAAAAAUAUUAUCCACUUAAUAAAUGUAUUUUCUUAGGUCAUUGAAUCUUUGUUUAUGAUUUGAAAUCAUCUAUAACAUAUGUUGUUGUGAAGCAUGAUCAAUUAAUUGCCAAUUAACAACAUAAAUCAAAAACUUAUUUAAGCAUAGAUGAUCUUUUAUACAAUUUUUUUUUUCAUGUACUGAAUUUAAUAAUUAUUGUAUCUUAUUGAAAUUCAUAAGUAGAGAGUUAUUACUUGCAAGCUUUCAUCUUUUUCUUAUGAUUACCGUUAACAGUUAUAAUAUAGUGUUUGCCUUAUAUAGCGCAACUAGAAUUGAAAACAUCUACAAAAUUACUUGGAAUCUCAUACAGCUGACACCUAUAAUUCUAACCGCUGGACUUAACAAUGUAUAGAGUCCUAACGGUUGGACUUAACAAUGUACUCUAUUAUAUCUUCUACCAUAAAUCAUAGACUUUGUAAACCUAAAAUAUGUUAUAUGAUACAUGUAUUUGUCAUGUAGCAAGAUUUAAUAAUUUCCAUAUAGAUGAUCCUUUUUAUGAAAUUCUGCUGUGUAGUGCGAUUGAAUAAUUUUGAUAUAGAUGAUCUGUCAUAUGAUAUUUGCAUCUGUCGUGUAGCAGAGUUCAAUAAUUUCCAUAAUGAAGAUCUGAUAUAUGAUGUGUAUAUGUUGUUUAGCGAGAUUCACCAAUUGCCAUAAUCUACAACAUAAAUUGAAGGUUUAAAUAAAUAUAGAUAAUCUGUUAUAUGAUAUCUAUUACUAUUUCAAAUGAUAUGUACUUUUGUUUAUUAAAUGUUUAUUUUUGGAGGGAACAAUUACAUGUUAUUAUUGUGUAACAAAUACCUCAUUUGCGAUUCUUUUAAAGCGAUUCUUUCACAAAAAAUGUUGUAAAAAGUGUUAUUUUUGUAAUGUGGGAAAAUUGAGUUAUCGAGAUGAAGGUUACAAAGAGGUGGGAUAUGCAAAGCAAAUGUCCUAUUGACGGGGAAAGAGGUAAAAACAGUGUCAUUAAACAAGAAACAAUGAAAGUUUGAUUUUAGGUAGGGUGAUCUUAAACAUUUUGUGGGCCCUUCGUAGGGCCGUAAUCUAGCCGUAGUUGAAUUGUGGCAAAAAUUUGUGCCUAGUGUGACAACCUAGCUUGCACAGGCUAUGGUCCGACCCUCACUCUAGGCUAUAGAGCUGCUUGAGGUUUCUAAAGAAUCGGUGAUCGAAAUGCUAACUAUACCUUGCAUAAAUGGUGUGCAUGAAAAGAGAGGAAGGAGGCUUGAUGUGUAUGAAACUAUUGUUUGGUUUCAGGAGCUUGGGUUCUCUAAAAUUAUAUUCGGUUGAUAGGAAAUUAUCAACAAGGGAGUAAUGUGAAAGGAAACAAAAACUAGAGUGCAGCGAAUAAGAGAAAUCAGUAUGUUGUGUGUAAUGGUGUAUGAAGAGAGAAAUGUUUAGCCAUGUGUCUAAAUAGAGAAAUUAGAAAUAUUUUGUAUGAGUUUUUACAUGCAUCAGGUGUGAGUUUUAUCAACCAUACACUUUGUUUGUUCAUGUAAUACAUGAACUAAACAAAUGGUUGAACUCAAAUGCUUAAUAAACUUCGAUUAAAGGAGAAUCCUUUAAAAAAAACUCAAAUGGAAAAAAAAAACUUAGCGUUUUAUUUAUUUAUGAGAAAAAAUUUAAAACUAAACAUAGUGAGAUUUACUAUCACUACCCUUAAUUACAACCACAGGUUGGUUCUAAUUAGGGAAAAGGAAAAUUUAACUUAUUUUAAAUAACAAACAUACACUAAAUUUUCCUUUUCCCUAAUUUAUUUUUUUAUAAAGUUUUUCUUCUGUAUUCAUUCAAGAGGAGAUACUAAACUUUAUCAUAAUAAAGAGAUUAUACUUCUGUUGUGAAAUAUCCAUGACUAAAAUUGAGAAAUGAUAUUUGUAUAACCUGUUUAUGACAACUUUUGGAUAGGGAUGACAAUUGGAUCCAGAUCCAAUGGGUACUCGCAAAAAUACCCACAAUUAGUAGGGUAAAACCCCGCUUUUAUGGGUCUGGGCAUGGGUACGGGUAAUACCCACAAAAUUAAAUGGGUAUGGGCACGGGUAAGGGUACUAUACUGCCAGACCCGCAACAUAAAUUAUUUAUUUAUUUGUUUAUGUAUAAUUAAUUAAUUUAUUUAAAUGUUUAAGCCUAAACCUAAACUUAAACCAAACAACUGCUUAAUACAAUAACAACUCCAUCAUGCCGGUGUAUAAUUUUUUUAGGGAUAUUUUGGAUGUUUUCUAUUUGACUAAAUACCACGAUUCAUAUUAUUUUAUGAGUUAAUUUUAAAAAAUUGAGAUCGUAGUUUUAUUUCAUUUGUGAUGUUUUUUUUUUGUUUUUUCAUAGUUAAAGUGCGGGUAUGAGCACUUAGGUACCCAUAGGGUAUGGGGAAGGGGACUAAAGUUGUUGCGUACGAGGGUACGGGCACGUGUACGUGUAUUUUUUAUAAAUGCGGGUAUGAGGACGGGCAUUGUAGUACCCUACCCAUCGAGUACCCAUUGACAUCCCUACUUUUGGACAACCUCUUUCUCAUACUUAUAUAGUCAGGUCACGUUCUUACUCUCUCAAUUGUUUUUGACCAAUAGAAAAAGAGAAAAAUAAAAUUAUCACAAAAUGAUUGUUCAAAUAUAAUUCCUCAUUAAAAUUUUCACAUGGAACAUACACAACACCUGCACACACUAUUAAAUUAAAGUAUUUACAAGAAUCAGACCACAAUUCAUUCUUGCACUAUGUUAAGAACUUUUCAACACAAAAAAGUAUGUUCGUUCUUUGUUUAUCUAGUGGCAGGCACAAACUAGGAACAAAGAAGCCAAGAAUAAUUUGAGGAACAACGCUACAUUGCAUAACAUGUUUCUAAUAGAAUAAGAUUCUACAAUUCAAAUGAGAAUCAUUUUUAUCAAAUGGAAAUGCUAACCAGCACAUAAUAAACUUUUUUACCUAUUAAAGUUUUAAGGUCCACUUUUAAUCUUUUGCUAGCUCAUUCAUAUUAUUUUGGAUUUGAACACUCUAUCCCUCUCACUCUCUUCAAUUCCUCUCUGAUUUCAUGACAGUGAAGGCAAGCUCUCUAAUUCAUAACUAUGUUUGGUCUCUUUCUCAAGCUUUUCAUAAGUACCAUAUUCUAAAUAAUUUUUCUUUUGUUGUGUAGCAGUAUUUUUGUAUGGUGAUGAGGAUCAAUAUUGACUGCAAUGGUUGUUAUAGAAAAGUGAAGAGAACCCUUCUUGAAAUGCCAGGUAAAUAAAUAAAUUUUAAGUUCAAGAUUGAAAAAUGAAAUUACUCUUUAAUUUUAUUAAUUAGAAAUAAAAUUUCAUUUUUUAUCUUUAGCUUUUUUUCUAUUAUAAUUUCCAAUAAGAUCAUAUUUUCUAUGCAUGUCUUUUUCAAUUAGAAACAAAUUAUUUUUUCUUUAAUUUUUCUUCAUGAUAUUUGUUCCGACACUCAAGUCUACGGCGUGCUUUUUCUGAAGUAUAUAGCCCGCGUAAAUCUUUAUAAGUUUUUACGGUUCAGUCAUAUGUAAAAAGCACCUCAGUGGUUAGAGGAGUGUCGGUGUUAUUUAUAAACUGAAAUACUAUUGACCUUGAUUUCCAAACAAUGAAAUUAAAACUUUUGGUGUACCAAAAAAGUAGCCCCACGUGAAGACUAAGGGGCUAAUUGGUCGAUCAACCUCGGGUGUGGCGUAUGUUUGACUCCUAUUUCUUAAGUAUUGUCCAUUUUCGAUCAUCAGUAAAGCCAUCGCAAUUUUGUCAUUUACACAAGCAUGCAUGUGGAAAGAUGAAUAUGAGUGUUGUUUAUAAAUUAAUUUUAACCUCUAUUUCCUUAAAAAUGAUCUUUAGUGUGCUCAAAGAAUAUAUAUUUUUUUCUAGUAUCAUUUUCUUAAUACUGAUCAAGUAAUCAUAUCCAUAAAUUGUUUUGAAAUUAAUAAGUAUGAAUAAUAUAGGGUUGGAUAACUCAACUAGUUUAAACUAAGAGAUAAGAAGUUGGAGAUCCAGAGUACGAAUCUAAACAAAGGAGAAAAACUAAUUUAAAAACUAAUUAUAGCGUAUAGUUCAAAAGAUCAUGCAUAACAAUAAUUUAUCUGCUAGGUUAUGGAUAUUAUGUUUACGAGAAUUGAUAUUACCCGCCUGACUUCCAUUCAAGUGCAAUUAUCCCCAAGAUGAAUCAUGUUAUUACUAACAUUUUUUGUUAAAUAAAAAUAUUAAUGUACAAUAUAGUCUAAUUUUUUUUCAUUGAUUUUAAUUGCUUCUAGAGUUGGAGAGCCAUUUCUUAGAGAAGAAGCAAACCAGGGUAAUUGUGUGUGGCAGUUUCAUCCCUCAAGAUGUUGCAAUCAAGAUAAAAAAGAAAACAAAUCGAAGAGUUGAGAUAUUGGACAUACAAGAUUUGAGUGAAAACAAUGCUGAAAAUAUAGAAGAACAGAAACCAAGCACUAGCCCCCAAAAGCCAAUUGAAAGAAAUAUGUUUGGAUUGAUAGAAACAAAGAGAGAAAUGCCUGCCCUCAAUCAUAGAGUUCAAUACACAACAAAUUGCCACUUUUAAAUCAUUAGAAUAACACUAAAUUUUGUAAUUUUGAUCAUUCUAGUGAUAAUUUUUCAUAAUUUAUACUCAUAUUUUUGUAAGUGGGUUUAAUAUACUUGAAAAGAUAGAUCUUAUUUACUUUUGUUCAUGCCAUGAAGUUUAUAAUAUACAUGUUAAUUCUCUGAUGAUACCGGACCUCAAAACUGAAGAGAGAAACUCUAAACCAAUCAAAUGACUUCUAGAAAAAUAUGCCUAUGUUAUGUUCAGUUCAAAAAAUUGAUCUACAUAUUUUUCUUAUUCUUAAUAUAUUAUAAAAAGAAUUUUAAAUUGACAGAAGAAUGAGUAAUAAUAUAUGAGAAAUUUGUUAUAUCAAUUCCUUGAUACUAUACUAAAUAAAAAAAUAAAAAUAAAAAGUAACCAAAAAAAAAUACUAUUUACAUUUUACACUACACUUUGGUGAAGUACUUCAAAUAUGUAUAACUUUUAUUACUUUUUAAUGAAAGAAACUUCUAUUACACCACUCAAAGUAACUUUACACAUGCCCCUCCACUAAUACAACAUACAUAUUUUAUUCAUCUAUGUAUCCAUCAUUAUACACCUCAUAUAUAGAUACAUGAGGUGAUAAGAUAUGUUACAUACGAACCAACUCACUCAAAAACAAAAGUUUAAAAUACAUCAAUACACACACACAUUUAUUCUACUGAUUGAUCAUAUCAUAUCAUAUCAUAUGCAUGCAUACAUCCAUAUAUAUCAUGGUCUAGUGUCCUUGUCCAUGUCCAGUACAUGAUCCGGUACCAGGAAGCUUCUCCUUAAUCUUCUCCAUGAUCCCUUUCUUCUCACCAUGGUGUUGCUCAUCACCAUAGCCAGUUGUUCCAUGACCUGUUCCAGUGCUUCCAUAGCCAGUUGUUCCAUGACCUGUUCCAGUGCCUGUCCCAUAAGUAUUUUGUUCAGUACCAGGAAUCUUCUCCUUAAUCUUGUCCAUAACCCCUUUCUCUCCAUGUUGUUGAUGACCUACACCACUAGCACCAUAACCAGUUGUUCCAUAUCCUGUUCCUGUUCCUGUCCCUGUCCCAUGAGUAUAUUGAUUUUGAUCAGUACCAGGAAUUUUCUCCUUAAUCUUGUCCAUAACCCCUCUGUUAUCUCCUCCAUGUUGUUGAUGACCAAUACCAGUUGUUCCAUAUCCUGUUCCUGUCCCAUAAGUACUAGCAUUUUGAUCAGUACCAGGAAUUUUCUCCUUAAUCUUGUCCAUUACCCCUCUAUUAUCAUGUCCAGUUCCGCCAUAUCCUACUCCAGUUCCGCCACCGGUAGCUCCAUAGCCGGUUGUUCCAGUUCCUGUCCCUGUUCCAUACCCGGUUCCACCAAUGUCAGUGUUUCCAUAACCACUUCCAGUGUUGGUACUUCCAUAUUCAGUGGUUGUUCCAUAACCACCUACACCACCUGCAUUAGAUAUAAUUAUUAGUUAUAUUAGUUAAUUACAACACAUUUCCCUCGUCAACACCGAUAAUUAUUUGAAUUUCAAAAAAAUAAAGUAACAUGUAGCGACGUCCUGUCUGAUUUGAAUUUGAAACAAAAUGACAUAAUUAAAUGUAAUGAAAUGCGAGGGGCGGUAGCCCAGGGCACCGCUUUUUUGGAUGUCAAAAUUAUUAUUUGUACUUAAUAGUUAGUAUUAAGUAGAUAUAUUUAUUUUUAAUUCGCUUUGAUUAAUUCUAUUGAAAAUAUAUUUGUAGAUAACUUUAAUUAUAAAUGAAUAUUUUGCAACUAAAAAUGCAAGAAAAAAUAUUGAAAUAAUUAAAAAGGUACAAUUUAUUGUUUCGUCCAGGACACCAAAAAAGACCUACGCUGACUAUUGACACAUCUUCAAUAAAAAAUAUUACUCCUACGAUAAAUUACACAAGCCAGCGAGUUAGAUUAGUUUCAUUCGGUGACAUGUAACAAUGUUAUGUGUUGGACACAAAAAUAUCAAAAGAUAUGCCCCAUAAUCCUAACUUAACCAAUAAAAAUAUCAAAAUUAUUAGACUACGUUAUGACCGGAGUUCAAACCCUGACACCUCCAUUUUAUAUCUGAAUUACGAUGAUUUUGCUAUUUCGUCUAUAUAAAAAAUGUAAAUAGUUAGAUAGAAAGACUAAUUAGUUACCUGUGUGGGUCCCUCCACUACCAGUGUGGGUUCCAUAUCCUGUGCCAGUACCUGUGUUGCUCCCAAAACCUGUGGUUUGAUCAACUCCAACUCCAUGAUGUUGUUGAUGAUGUCCAUGACCAUGACCAGUAGCACCGGUCAUCCCACCACCACUAAUGGGAUUGCCAUAUUGAUCAACUUGGCCUUGACUAGUCAAUGGGUUUCCAUAUUCAUCAACCCUACGUGUUUGAUCACCAUAACCUUGUUGAUAUUGAGACAUUGUUAUAAUUCUUCUUCACAAACAAAAAAUAACGUGAAGUGUUUUUGUAGUAAUGUAGUGUAUAAAAAGAUUGAGAUUGUAUUGGAUUGGAUUGCUUUGAUGUGGUUGAGGUGGUGGAACAUGUUGUGUUUUUAUAGGCAAAUCAAAGUAUGUGACAUGAAAAAAAAAUCUUAUGAUAGGGUCGGUGAAAUUGAUUUGGAUUUUGCAAAUAUCUGACACGUGCUAACGUUGAAUCGCCACGUACAAGGAUACGUGUUGGUGUGUUUUAUGAAAAAGGAAAGUGAUGUUGUCGUUUUGUGAUUUAUAAGAUGACACGUGCUUUGUGCGAGUAUGAGAGGGUGUUUAUGUAAAGAAGAACUUGUGAUUGUGAAAGUGUAAAAUGGAUAAGGCUUCAUUUAGUUACACUUGCUUUUUUAGGAGUAAAGCUGACCAUAUUAUGACUAUAUAAAACAAUCAGAAAUAACUGUGAUCUUAGAGAGUCAAGAGGUAUACGUAGUGUCAAUCAGAUUAAAAAAUGUAAGAUGUUGCCAAACUAAGUUAUCCUUAUUUAUUAGGUAUUUUCAUAAAAAAUAAAAGAUUUAAGCACACAUACAUAAAUGAAUAAAAUUUAUAAUUUUUUUUUUUGAAAUAAAGUAAAAUUUAUAGAUAAAAGUAAAAAAAAGAUUUAAGCACACAUACAUAGAUGAAUGAGUUAAUUAAUCCCUUAGAUAUUUUACACAGAUUAAAAAAUGAUGGAUGCUGCCAAACUAAAUUAACCUUCUUAGUAUUUGUAAUGUAUACUUUCGACCAUCAUAAAUCUAAGUUAAGAAAUCAUAAUAGAACGAUUUUUUUAAUGAGAGAAAUAUAAUAGAUACUCGCUCGGGAAAAAAACAAACAUCCAAUGGAGGGUUCGAAAACUAAUUGCAUUACAAAGAAGAACCCCUUAAUUUUUUAACAAUUUUAUCAAAUAGUCUAAUGGUUAAAGUUCACACAAUUUAAUUAUGGAAAAAUAAAGUGUCCAGAUUCGAACUCCGGCUCCUGCAUAUAAUAUGCAAUAUCCCUACCAUUAUAUCCAUAAACCAUUUUUAAAAGGUGAUUUUGAUGACUUCUACAAUCUCUUCCAGCUCCCACAUUCUAGAAAAAAAUCCUCAUUUCGAGCUGUCCAAAUUUUCCAAAUCCUUGCAUACCAAAUGAGUGUAAGCCCCUUUCGAUAUUUUUUAGUCAAAGCAGAUGAAAAAAAUAUAGUCAAGGAUAUUAUUGGGUAAAACACCCUGGUCUAAUCCAUUUAAAAAUUGCAUACCAAAAUCAUUCCAACAAAGCUACUACAUCUACAAAACAAGUGAUCAUUCGCCUCUUGAAUAUCCGAACCCCACACACAAUCCGAAGUCACACCAACUGGCAAAGCUCCUCUUCAAGAUAAGUUUGAGCGAGUCGGAAGUCUACCAAAAGUUAAUUGUCAUGAGAAAAUUUGGACUUUUUGGGGAGUCAAACUAGUCCAAAUUGUCCUUAGCCCUCUUCUAGACGCCACACUUAAAUCCGGUGGAGGAAGAAUUUUACCUCUUAAAAGAGUCAUAUAAGGAUUUCACUAUGAAGACGUUUGUAGAUUCAAGGACCCAAAUCCAUUUAUCUUUCUACUUUUUGACUCAAAUAGUAUAGAGAAUAUUCAAAAGUUCACCCAACAAAUGCUCCUCCCUUCCAAAAGAUCCCUUCUCCACUCAAAGUCAUAACACCACUCUUCAUCAACUCAUCGUCCCAUUUGGCUAACCUUAUUAUUCUUUUGAGUGGAUAACGAAAAAAGUCUAGGAAAAUUGGAUUAUAGAGAUUUCCCUCCUAUCCAAAUAUGAUGCCAAAAGAUCGUUGCUUCUCUAUUACCUCUAUUUUUUUUUUUUCACAAACUCCCAAGGCUAAUCUUGGAUGUUUCCUAACCCCUUUCCUAAAGCACAUAAAUCUUUUCACCAAAAGAACAAAUUUUGAUCUUAUCUCUAGUGAGAAGAUUUAAUGUAUAAUCACAAUUUCCGACAUAUUUCGCAUUCAAUACAUCUUUUCACAAAACCAUUCUAAUCUAUUCUUCACUUGUGUUUUCAGAGGUUGUAUGAAAAGGUGCAAUUCAAUGAAGUAACAUGAACAUUAAUAUACUAUAGAGUAUAAUUCAAUGAAAAGGUGUAACUCAGUAUAUAAUUUGAAAGGAAUAAAUGUAAGAAUAUUUCAGCACAUUGAUCAAUCUGUUCAAAAUAUCUUAACCAACUCAAAAACUGAUAGGACUCAUGGUUUGAAUGUGAAUUAAAAGAUUCAUAUUAAAUGAAAAAAAAUAGUAGAUAUUUUGAGCUACUAACUUCCAUUCCGUUAUACCUUUAUAUUAAGAGUUUUUUCUAUCAUAUGCAAAUUUGCACAUAUUAAGAAAUUUAAAAUGGCAAGUUUGUCUUGAAACUUAUGUAUUCUAUAUUAAAUAGGAAACGUUUUAAUAAUAAUUAGUGUUUUUCAAUAAAAAGUUACUACAUUUAGUUUCCUUUAACAUGUGCAAUAUUGCACAUGUUAGACAAACCCUUAUAUAUAUUAAUCCAAUGUGAUAAUUUUCUUGUGUUUUAAACUUCUCCGAAUGUCCCAGCAUCUUUUACCAAAGAUUACAAUUUACGAUCACAAGGUGAUAACAUAUAUAACAUUGAUUCUUGUCCUUUUAAAAACAUAAUCAUUUUUUGUCAAAAGUAAGGAUAAACAUAAAUACUGAUUGCACUAGAUCAUCAUAACACAUCACAUAUAAUAUAUCCCACCCUUAAAAAAUAUAGCAUACAUCCCUUCAAAACAAGGGAAUAAAUGUGGGAAACAAAACUAUGAUAAGGGUGGCCUAACGAAAUAUCACUCUCUAGAAAUGAAAAUUGUUGUUGACAUAUGUGGUUUGACUGAGAAACACCAAUAAUUUAUUUAAAUACCCCUCGACAAUUAACUGCCAAAAAAUUUAAAAACUGAUUGCAAAACUACCGAGUAAAACUUCGGCAGUUAACUACCGAAAAAAAUGAAAACCUAGAAUUUUCAUCAUCAUCUUCUUCGUUGCAUAUAAACAUGUUCUAUAAAUUUGACCCCUUCUAAAUAUUAUUACUUGAAUAUAUUAUGAAGUUUAAUUGGUUUGUUCACGUAAGAAUUCUUGCGAGAUGUAAAACGGUGAUAAUUGCUGUAGUAAAUAAAGCUUAUGUAGAACAAGAUGUAAAGGGUGAUGCCAUUACCAUGUUUGAUCUAUUUUUAAGCAGCUUUUGGCUUGGAGAAGGAACCCGGUCUUUGAUUGAUAACCUUCUCAUUGUAGCCAUUGAUCGAACGGCGAUGCCAAUUUUUGAGAUUGAAUAGCUAUAAAUUGGAGACAUAAGGUGUUGAUUUUGGAGGUGAACAAACCAAUUAAACUUCAUAAUAUAUUCAAGUAAUAAUAUUUAGAAGGGGUCAAAUUUAUAGAACAUGUUUAUAUGCAACGAAGAAGAUGACGGUGAUGAAAAUUCUGAGUUUUUAUUUUUCUCGAUAGUUAACUGCCGAGGUUUUUUCGGUAAUUAAUUGCAGUCGAUUUUCUACUUUUUCGACAGUUAACUGUAGAGGAAUAAUUGGAUAAAUUACUUAUAUUUCUCAACAACAAUUUUCCUAGAAAAUUAAUAACAACAUGAGAGCCACUCCACCAUAAUCUAAAAGAUACGCCAAAGCCAGCUAGGACAAUAGAGCAUCUACCCAAAUAGUCACUAUGAUUAUUCCGCACGAAGCAAGUAAACUGUAUUGGAGAUACACGUUUAUAGUAGCGUAUUAGUCCUAGUAGAUAGUAGUAUAAAUAUAUAUCUUGUAACCACCUUAUUUAAUCUCUGUAAAUUUUUUUUGUUUGGUUUUAGUCUUUGCUCUUUGUAAAAACAUUGCUUUUGGAUCCCCGCUGUUAGUUGAACACUAAAUAAAACCAGAAGUUUACCAUAUUACCACAUGGCAUAGAAUUAUUGGACCAUGUGGCACUAUAAAAAUGUUUUUUUUUUAUCGAACACCACUAAUUUUAUCAAACACUACAAAAUCAAUCCGCUAACUUAUUAUCCGUCAUCAAUUAGUUUCCCCGUUAUCCAUUAUAAGCUCAUCACGACUAUUAACCAACUCGACAAUUCUCCACUACUUUUUAUCAAACAAAACCUAAAAAUAUUUUAUUUAAAGUUUUAAUUUGUCUUUUUUUUUAUUUAAUUAAAUAAUUUAAUUUUAUCUUAAUUUUAACUUUGAUCUAAUCCUAAUUUCAAUUUUAAACCAACCAUUUUAAAAAAUCAAAUACAAUCUAAUGAAAUAAAAAAAAAAACUAUAACAAAAGUUUUCACCUUUCGUUGAUGAUUCUUGUUUCUUAAUUAGUGCCGCAGAAAAAACUUUGGCGUGUCCAUUAUUUUACCUGAUGAAAGUUUUGGCUGGAUUAGGUUUCAUUGUUUUUACUCUAACUUCAAAAAAUGCUGUCCAUACUCAAAUUUUAGGUGUCAUAGUUUUUCUUUGUUUUCUUUCUAUUAUACACAGGAAAUGUCACUAAGGUUUAAAUAUUGAAUUCUUAUGGGAACCUGAAAUUCAUAAACAGAAAUUAAGUAUAAUCCGUUAAAUUCUACAUAAAAGAUUUUUGCAACUAAUCCACUGGGUUUUACUCAUCACUUAACGGUAUAAACACACACACAAACACACACGAGCUCACACACACAGACACACUCAAUUACAAGUAUAUCAUAGCAAAUCAUAAAUUUAUUAAAAUAAGAUCUCUUAAGUUUCAAUUAAUUAAACUCUUGUUUGUCAAUUAAAACAAUAAUACUCCACUCAGAAUAAUAUAAUAAAAACAAUCAUCUCAACCACACUUAUAUAUUGUUAUUUCUAAAACAAAUAUUAUUUUAUUAUACAACCAUAGAAAAGUUGAAAAUCACAAAUUCAAAUCUGCAUUCUAACAUAUCAUAUCUUCACGUAACAUAACAUGAUGCAUACAUUUGAAAGCAAAUUUUAAAAUGCACUUAUUUAUUUAUUAUAUUGAUAUCAUGUGCAUGUAUAUCCUUAUUCCUUUAUUUAUUUAUUUAUUAUAUAGAUUUUAUAUGCAUGCAUCCAUAUUAAAGCUUAUAGAUCUCAUGGUACAUAUUCUUGUUGAUGAGUGCUUCCUGCUUUAGUAACAUCACUACGUCCAAAACGAGUUGUAGCAGCAACACCACUACCUCCACGACCAGGACGACGACCUAUACCAGCACUAACUCCGAUAUCAAUACCACUAUCUCCCGCAAUACCAUUUGUUUUAGCAACACCACUAUCUACCGAACGAGUUAUUCCAUACCUAAUCCUCGUCUCUGGUCCAACCCCAAUUAACCCAAUCUGGCUUGCUGGAGCUUCAUCAGUUAUUCCAAUUUGGCUCGUCGGAGCUUCAUUGGUCAGUCCAUUUUGAUUAGUUGGGGCUUCACUGGAUAGACCAGCUUGGACAGCUGGGGCUUGUUGAUAUUGAGACAUUAUUAUCAUUAGUAUCACUAAUAUCAUCAUCUUCAUAGACUAAAAAUUAAAAUGUUGAUUUUUGUGUUGAUGUAGUAAUGCAAGAUUAAGAUUGUAGUUUGUUUUAUGAGUGAUGAAAUGAAACAUCGUGUUUUUAUAGGCGAAUCAAGGUAUUGAAUAUGAGAAAAUGUAUACAAGGUCGGUACAUUUGAUUUUGAUUUUUCAAACAUGUGAUGUGACAUGUGCCAUUGUAGAUACGCCACAUAAAUGGUACAUUGGACCUAAUACAGUCUUUUUUUAAAGAUAAUUCUGUAAAAUAUUUAAAGAUAUUAAAUAAAAAUUAUCAGUAUUAAUGUAAAAAAAUUAUUUAAUAUAUUUUACUCUUUUUUGUGUAAAAAUCCGUUAAAUAUUUGUAUUGCAGCCAUUGUAGAUUUUAUUUGCUUAUAUAUGCGUAAGAAAAAUUUUAUUUGCCGAUAUGAGAAAGUCGAUAUGAUAAAAUUUUGAAAGCACAUGAUUAUUUUAAAAAUAUUAACAUUAUUGUACCAAUUCUAUUAAACAUUUAUUUUAUUUUAUUUUAUGCAAAACACCAUUAAAUAUUUACAUUGCGUCCAUUGCAGAUUUUAUGUGCUUAUAUCUACAGAAGGAAAGCAAAUUUUUAGGCACCAAUAUUUUUUUUUUUUGAACAAAUCAAAAUGGAAUAUAUUACUCAAAAACAGAGUAAUUCACCCCGCACAAAGUGUGCUAAAGUGAUGUACCAAUAUGAUAAAAACUUGAGGAUUCAUGACUAUAUUCAAAAUAUCGACAUUAAUGUAGUGUUUCAAUUAAUUUUUUAUUUUAUUUUAUAUGGAAAACAACGUUAACUAUUUGCAUGCACUCAUUCUGGAUUUUAAGUGCUUAUAUAUGCAUAAACAAAUUUUUAUGUACUUAUAUAUGAGAAAGUCGAUAUGAUAUAUUUUAAAAACUCGUGACUAUUUUCAAUAUAUCAACAUUAAUGUAGUGCUUUUAUUAAAUAUUUUUUAUUUUAUAUGUAAAACACCGUUAAAUAUUAGAACCGCACUCGUUGAUACUAGAUAACCGUUUGAAAAACGAUUUUGGAGAAAAAUAUGUCUUGUUCAGUUGUUGAUAUUGUUUGAGUUGUCUCAUUUUUUAUUUGAAAAAAAUUUGGUUAGUCGUUCAAAUUGACUUUGUAAUAUACGCGAAGUUUGGAAAAUGACCUAAUAAAAAAAACAUAGAUUCUACCCAUGAAGUUUGAGACUCUUCCUUUUGUUUCCCUCUUAUUUUUCCCUAUAGACAAAGUCCAAAAAGAUUAUCUAGGGGUUGAAUUUUUUCAUGAUUUUUUGCAGACAUGUAAAGUGAACCAUUUUGUUUACUUUGUUGUACUUGUCUUAUGUUCCAUACCAUUUAACACCUAUGUUUUGCAUAUUAUUUUUAUGAUUAAAUACGUAUUAUUUGGAUCCUAUAAAUAUACUAAAUUUUUGUUUUAGUCUCUUUAAAAUUUUCGUUAGACCCUAUAAAAUUUUCAAUAACAACUUUUGGUCCAUAAUUUUAAGGCAACUCAUAUAUUUUUUGAUGAAAUUGUGCAAAAUGUGUAGAAUAUUGUAAAAAAACUCUAUUUUUUUUUUUUUAUAAAACAUUAAUUAAAUAUGAAUUUUUAACCACCAAAAUAUAAAAAAUCGUAUUUAAUUCAUGUUUUGUUAAAAAAAUAUAAUUUUUUUGGGAGUGUUUCUUAUAAUAUCAUAAACUUUUCUGCCAAAAUUUAUUAAAAAAAAUGAAUUUUACAUAUGAGUUUACUUAAAAAGAUAGACCAAAAGUGAAGAUGGAAAACUUUUUGGAACAAGAAAUCGAAGAAUUUUUUUGGAAAAACUAAAAUGAAAAGUUAGUUUAUUUAUAGGGAUCGAAAACAUAAUUAACCCUUAUUUUUAUUUUACCGUGCAUGAGACGCCAAACUAUGAAGGAGUGUGACGGAUGGAUACAAGUCAUCCAUAGAACAGCAGCCCAAGGAAGGAUGGGAGCAAUCGGCCUUACAAAAGAAAAAGCAGUCUUUGCGGAAAGUUUGCCAUCGGGAGAGUGUAACCAAACUAGCAAAUCCGAAAGAUGACUAUUGGGCAACACCAUGGUACCAAUGCGUGCUGCCACUUGGGGAACAUCGAGUAGCUCUUGAGGAAUGUUCCAUUUUCCGUGCAAAACAUAAGCAACUAUGUCAUCAAAACUAUCAUGGAAAUGAGGCGCUACUUGCAACAAAUCAAGCAACGGCUCACCUAGCCAAUUGUCCGACCAAAAAAGAAUAUUUUCUCCCGUUUCGACAACCUAAAGGGAAUUGGCAGCAACCGUACCAAUAUGCUCCUUUAUACCACACCACACCACACCGACGAUUUAACAUAGUGUUGAAUAGGUUUGCCAUUAGAUAAAUACCUCUUUUGAAGCAACUGUGACCACAGAGAGUUUUCCGACAUGAGCUUCCAAGCUAAUUGUAACAUGAGAGACUCAUUUAUAAUGCGUGUAGACUUAAGAUCAAGACCACCUACUGCCCAAGAUCGACACAUAUUAGUGGUUAGAUUCACACAUAUUACGUGUGAACGGGGAAUCCGAAAUUCAAACAUCAAUCCCUAUAUAAGAUAUCCAUGGUACAACUUUCGUAUAAAUAUUAGUGGCUAGAUUCGCACAUAUUAUAUAUGAAGGGGGAAUCCGAAAUUCAAACUUUAAUCCUUAUAUAAUUGUUUUUGUCGAGUUAAGUGACUAAUUAUAACGGUAUAACUUGAUGGAUAGAGCAAUUAGAUUGAAGUUAGACAUUUUUCCGAAGCUUUUGGUGUUCGUAAAUUUGGGAUCCCAAUUUUAGGAACACUUAAAAUUUUUGGAUCCAAAUAAUGAUUUACUCAUUAAUUUUACAUGCACUAUAAUGUAAAGUUAUUUUACACAACUUCUAAGUUUUAAUAAUGUGUUAUACAUAAAAAAAAAAUAAAAAAAAUUCAAAUAAUGUGUUGUCACGUCUCAUAUAAUAUGGUUGAAAAUAUUUAACUUGUCAUAUUCAUUUUUCCAUUUAUAGGACUAAACGUGCUAUGGGUGUGCGUAUGUUGGAGAGAAAACAUGAAGGGCUAAAAUGGAUAAGGCUUAAAUUACAUGGACUUUUAGGUUAUGUUUGAUUUGGAGAAGAAAGUUAAAGGAAAUAAAGAUAAAUGAUAUAUAGUAAAAGGAAAGAUAAAUAGAAGAAAGUGAGAUAAUUUUUUUUCAUUAUUUGGUAUAAAAGAAAGUGAAUAAAUUGUAAGAGGAAAGAAAGAUAUGUAUAUUUGCAAAAUGACAAUUAUAACCUUAAAAGAUUUUCGAUAAAUAUGUUUAUUUUAAAUUAAUUACGUUACCUACACAUUUAAAUAUAUUUUAUUAAUAAAUUUUAAUUUACUUAACAUUUGUCAAAUUUUUUGUUAAUGAUUUUUUUUCCUUCAAAAUAUCACGCGGAGAGAAAAAAUUGCGGAACAUGUGUCGAAAACAGAAUUUUUCUUACGGAUGAUGCUUGUUCAACAUGGUAAUUAAUAAUUAUCGAAAGGGUAUUUAUGACUUUUAUCAAAAAGUUGAUGUUUCUUUAUGUUUCCGUCCAAAGCAGCGAGGAAAGGUUUUGAGCGUGGGUCCCACCUCAAACUUUCUUUCCUCUUCCGUUUUGAAGUGAUGCCAAAGGGCGGAAAGCUAAUUUUUCCACGCACAAUCUUUCUGCUUCUUUCUUUCCUUUAUCUUUCUCCGGAUCCAAACACAACAUUAAUGUUUGCAUGCUAGCUAGACCAUGACUUCAUGUGAAUUCAAGGAUGGUUAGUGUUGAUGUGAAUUGGGUAGAAACGUAUUAAAUCGGAAAUAGGGAAAAUAGGCUGGUUAUUUACAUUAGCUCAAAAGACACUUUCUAACACAAAAUUGUAUGUGAGCCAUUAUCCACCUAAUUUAUAAAAAAUUGGUGCGAAAUAUUAAAUAAAAUAUUUUUUUUGAAGGAUAUUUUUUUAAUAAGAAUAAAUUUAUUGCAUUUUAUUCAUAAUAAUAGCAGAGAUACAAGAUGAAAUCCUAAUAUAGAUAUGAAAACUAGAAUGAUGUGAAGCCGUCAUAGCAAAUUUAUGAGUAACUUCGUUAGCUUGUCUUCAAAUAAACCUAACAUCAGAGGUUACUAGAUCAAAAGCUAACAUAUGUCUACAGUCUUGAAUCACUGCACUAAAAUUAGAGAUGUCACAUUUACCACCAUAAAGACUAUCCACUACAGUUUUUAAAUCAAACUCAAAGUUCACAACACUCAGAUGUAGAUCAUGAACCCAAAACACUGCAGAUAAUAAACAUAAAGUCUCACUCAAAUUACAUCAAGGAACAAACUCUUUCAUUAAAAUAUUACAAAAACUGAUGCAAAUUAAACUGAGAUUUUAAAUGAAGUUUUUCUUUUCGUCUUAAAAAUAUAAUAAAACGGACAUGUUACACCGAUAUUGACCAUAAUUCAUUGAAUAUAAAGAAACUAUAAUUUAUGAGAAUUUUUAUUAUGAUAAGUUUUUAAAUUUUAUAAAAUGUGAAUUACAUUGAACCAAACCAAACAACAUAAACAACCAUAUUUUUCAUCGGUUUAAUUUAGUUCAAUUUCCGUACGAAAAUAUUUCAAAAAUAAAAUAAAACUAAAUUGCAUAUUACAAGAAAUUGAAUUUUGACGUGGACUAUGAGAAAUUUGAAACAUACAACAACAAUUACGAAAAUGUGAGAUAUCACGAAAGCAGGGUCUAUUUGGUGCAAUAAGAUAUAAUCAAAUAAAAAAUUGAAUAAGGAUAUGUCAUGAUUGUUGAAGUAUAAUUCAUAUUCUAAUAUUAGUAAUUGUGGAUAAAUUCAACUAUGUUUGUUGGUUAGUUAGUUAUUUAGUAACUAACUAGUUAGUUUGUUUGUUAGUGGCUUGUAGUGCAAGUUACUCAAUUUAGUCUUAGGGUGUGUUUGGAUUGAGGGUUUAGGAGGAUAAGAGAGGAGAUGACUCGCUUUUAUUUUUUAAAUUACGAGCAAUGUAAAAUGUUUUUUUUUUUUAAUAAAAAAAAUGUUUUUGAAGUAUUAUAUGAUCAUUUAUCAUGUUGUUAAUUCAAUUUUUAAAAAAUUAUUUUAUAAUAUCCGUAAUUUAAAAAAGAAAAGUAAACUCUCCCCUGACCCUCCCUUUCCCUCUUAAACUCUUCAUCCAAACACACCCUAAAAUACUUAGUGUUUGUAUUCCGUUUAUAUCUCAUAUCUCUAAUAUCAUUAUAUCUCUCACAUUCAACAAUAAAGAGUAUUAUUGUUCAAUUGUAGUUUCCUCUCUAAAGUGUGAUUGUGCGGAGAUCAUUCUAAUCUCAGUACAGUACAGAACGUUCUAAAGUAUCCCGAACAUUCUAAUUUUUCUCUCAACUUUGUAUGUUCAUGUUCUAUCAAUGCUAAGGAUAGGAUAGACACUUAUCAUAUCAUAUGUUUUAUGCACAUAUGAUAAGAAAUAUGAUAGUAUUAUUUUAUCAAGAUUAUAAGAAAUAUGAUUACAUGAUAAUAGUAGUUUUAAUUUUACAAGAUUGCACAAUUACUUUCAAAAACUAUCCGGUAGGUAAUUGACUAAUUCACUUAAAUAAAUCAAACACAAUUAUAUCGAAUAGAGACAAAGAAAUUGAAAUUGAGAGACAGGAUUGAAAAAUCCAUUGAAUAUAAUCAGUGUGAUGGAGAUUUAUUUUUAAUCAAUAGUUUUUUUCCCUAUCAAAAUCCUUAAUUGGGUGUAAUUAGGUUUCAUCUUUAGUUUAAUCGAUGACUUUUUUUAUUGAAUAGUUUUUUCUUCUUCUUUCAAUUGAAGCCUUAAUUGAGAUUGUAUACAUUUUUGAAUAACCAUGUGGUUUUUUUCAAUCAAUAGUUUAAUAUGGAGAUGAAGCAUGAGACACGAGAGAGAAGAGAUUUUUAGGAGAGGUAUACACGAUGAAGAUAAGAAGUUGUCAAUAAUCCACCAAAAGUUAAGAAUUAGAAAAAUAAAAGCGUGAGACAGGAUUAGAAAUAGUUUAAUUUAUUAUUUUUUAUUGAUGCAUCAAAUAACAAAUUGAAUUAAGAUAAUAUAAUUUUAUCACAUCUUAUCUUCUUAUAUUGUGCAUCAAACGGACUCUAGAGGCUUUAGGGUGGAUAAAUUUGACAUAUUUAAUUCACCAUAUGUGGAGAUUGAGGUAAAUAAAGAAUUGAUUCCCCUACUUUAAAGUUAGUGUUUGGUUUGAAAGUUCCUUGUCAAAGAGACAUUAAAUAUUGAUUCAAUAAAGAUUUUGAAAAGUUAAAUAAGAAAGAAAGUAGCGGUGGGACGUUCAAUUGUGGUCCUAUUGAAAACGAGUUUAGCUUUUCUCCAUUUAUUUUCUACAUUUAAUAUCCAUUUACGAUUACGAGAGAAAUAGAUACAUGUGUAGAUUAGUGAUUAAGUAGAACUCACCAGUGGAUCCACAAAGAUAGACACUAAAUCGAAGAAAGUAAAUGGAGAAAUGUCAAAUCAUUGAAAACAAUUGGUAUGUAGACAUAAUGACAUAUGUGAUGUACGAAACUAAUAAUCAACUAAUUCUUAGUGAUUAUUAUGUUAAAAGGAAAUUAAUAAUAAGACAUAGAUAUUUUUUUUAAUGAAUUAAAUUGUUUUAUGAUGAACAAAAUAACAAGUGUAUUAUAUCGUCAUCAAGUAGUAAAAUUUAUAAAGUUUGUAUCAACAUAGAUUACAUUAUUUCAACUAAACUAAGGGGGGUUGCACAUGGCAAACUGAUUGAUAAUUUCCUUAAGAAAGAAAGAGAAAAGUAAUUACGUCGUGUUAGAUUCUCUUUCCUGAAAUAUUAAUGUAACUGCAAACUAUGACUAUACUGUCGACUGAUUGCUAGAUUUUAAGACUUUUGAUCAAGUUAGUUAGGCGAAGGUCAUGGUUUCUCAUUAUCUUCAAUGAUCACUAUUCCCUAGUGUCUUAGGUGAACACGUAACAAUUGAAGGUUUAAGUAUGUCAAAAUAAGUACACAAUUAUCAAGUUACGUGAUUCAAUAAUCAAAGAAAGUUCCUCUUUCAUGACCUGAUCUAGAGAGGUUUAGCUACUCAUGAUGUCUAAACAUAUAUUAAUACAUAUGAAUAAAAAAAUGUAAGAAAAGAAAUACCAGUUGAUGAAGCAAAAUUCAUUGAUUGAAUUUGCACUUGAUCAAAACUAAUCUUUAAACUCGAAGCAAAUAAACACCGCUUUAAGACGAUAAAUAAAAAACACACCGCCCAAAUACGAAAAAUCAAAAUAAAUAAAGUCGUGCUAGACGACGAAAUCACAACAACAAACAAAAGAAAACUGAAAAUAUGUGAAAUAUUUCUAGUCAAAUUGAGAGAGAGAGAGAGAGAGAGAGAGAGAGAGAGAGAAGAGAGAGAGAGAGAGAGAGAGAGAGAGAGAUGUAACUGAACUAGGCAACCAGUUAAACUUAUGAAAAAAAUGAGUAAACUUGAGGAAGUUUGUAAGUUUAAUUUGAUUGCACAUAAGUGAUGAGUUCGUGGGAAUUUUACGUCCCUCUAACUAUCAAGUUGCACUUGCUGAUCACACUAAGGUUUUACGUCCCUCUUAAAUCUAAAAGGGUAUGUAUGCCUACGUAAGGUUGUUAGAGUCGGGUCUCACUCUUUAAGAAGUAAUUGAAAUAUAAAAGAAUGAGUAUUCCUAAAUUAUCAUCAAAAGGCUUCAAUUUCGUUUAUGAAUCUUAGAAGUACGUCAUAUAAACGUAGUGAACAACUAAGUAAAUUUAUAUUUAUUAUGUCACCUUAAUGACAAGAGGUUGUUUCAUUUUCGUAGUGAUAUACACCUGAAAAAUCUGUAUCUAAUAGCAAACAAGUCCUCUCCCAUCAGAGCCAGUUAUGUAACCAAGCUCGUCAUGCUCGAACUGGUUGAGUUGGCCUUUUGACAACUCUACACACUCUUUGUGGCUUUAGAGGGUGUUGACUGUAAGUUGAUUGAAUAAAAAUAUCAAACUAAUAAAAUAAAAAAAUUGCACAAAAUUUAAUUUUGUUGAAUAUAUAUAUUAAAUAGUAAAUGUUAGGAUGUUAAUUGUUAUUCCUUCAAUAAAAAAAAAGUAUGUUAUCCCCGUGAGCUUAACUCAGUUGGUAGGGAUAUUGCAUAUUAUAUGCAGGAGCCGGGGUUCGAACCCCGGACACUCCACUUCUCCACAAUUAAAUUGUGUGAGCUCUAGCCACUAGACUACUUGACCAAAAAAAAAAAAAAGUAUGUUAAUUGUUAUGUUAAUAUUCCUUUUUUUGAUAUGAUUCGAUCAAUGAAUCUUUAACUCUUUUAAUCCCUUAACUCAAUAAAGAGAUAUGUCCAUCUACCCAAUUUAUUGAAUCUAUUGAGAUAUUAUUUAGUAAAAAAUGUUCGACACAUGUCAUAUAUUAAACCAAAAUGAAUAUUAAAUAUAAAUAAUUAUUUAUCAAUAUUAUCAUUGAUAUGAAAAACUAUCUUGUGUGAGUAAUUUUACAAUAUUAAGAAUGUAUUCACAAAUGAAGUAUUUUAAAUAACAUUAUACGAUAUUAAAAAUGUAAUUAUCUUUUCGUAUAAUUGAAAAAUUAUUUUGAUCAAUAUAUACAAUUUCGACCACCAAUUUCCCACGAACUCUAAAAUGGACAAACACUCACCAGUCACCAACAAAGUUAGGUAUUGAUACGGAAUAGGGACUUUACAAGUGAUGAACUACUGGUCAAAAAAAGAAAAGAACUACAACCCUAUUUUAGGUGGAAGUAGAACCCAACUAGGGUUGGGAAUAGACCAGACCGGUCUAUAGGGGCCUAUGGCCUGAUCUGUUUAAGUCUGGCCUGACCUAACCUGUUUAUUAAAAAGGCUAAGUUUAGGCUUUUUAAAAAGUCUAUUUAAGUAAAUAGGUCAGACUUAAGCUAUCAAAAAAGCUUAUGAAGCCUAAUAGGCCGGCCUGUUUAUAUAUGUUAGGCUUCAUAGUGGACUUUUUAAAUAUGCUUUAAAGCUUUAGAGUGAAAUAAGCUUUUAAGGCCUAAUAGUAGUGAUAGACAAGUCUUACACUGAAAUAGGCUUUGAGGCCUAUUAAUCCUAUUUAAAAGUAUAUAAAAUGGAAUGUUUAGUGACUUUAAUAGUAAGUAGGCCUGUAAAUAGGCUUUCAGGCCAGGUUAGGCUUUUAAAUAGGCCAGACAAGACCAAAAAAAUAGGCCUAUGAAAGGCCAUAGGCCAGGCUCAGACCUGCAAAUUUUUUCGUAGGUCAGGCUCAAGUCUAUCAAAGCCUGACCUGGUCUGACCUAUUCCCAACCUUAAACCCAACCCAACUACAUACACCUCAAAUAAGAUUUCAUGCAACAAUAGAAUGACAAAAUAUAUGCAUAUGCACUCGGGUGCUAAAAUAAUUACACAAAAGGCAAAUCAAAUCCUCUAGUAAUCUUGUUAAAAAAAAAAAUCUUUGUAGCCCAUAUAUAAAUAAGCAACAAAAAUAAAAAUUUCUCUUUAAUAUAGUUAUAAAUGAGUGAGUCGUAGGGACAUUAUGUAUUAUAUGCAUAUGUCGGGGUUCAAAUUUUGGACAUUCUAUUUAUUCAUCUUUAAAUGAUAAUUUUUUUUUUGGUCAAGUAGUCUAGUGGCUAGAGCUCACACAAUUUAAUUGUGGAGAAGUGAGGUGUCCAGGGUUCGAAUCCCGGCCCCUACAUAUAAAUAUGCAAUAUCCCUACCAACUGAGCUAAACUAUUUAAAAAAGAAAAGGAAAUGUGUGAGUCAAACUCACCUCAACUUAACUCGAUAUCAAUUGAUUUAUCUCACUCUCAAAACUCGACUCGCGUUUAAUAAAAGCUUUUUUUUUUUUAUCUUAAACUUGAAUCGUUUCAAAUUUACAAACAACUUGAUUAAGCUGGAAUUAAACAAUUCAAAAGUUUUUUUUCUUUCUUUUUUACACUUUUGAAUUAAUUUUUCAUUAACAACAUAAAUAUUAUAUUAAAAUAAAGGAGUAAUAAUCAUUUUGGUCACUGUAUGUGUAAAUAGCCAUUUAAUGUAUCAAAAUUUUAAAAUAAUUUUUGAUUGUUCAUUUCGUUAGUCAAAACAGUCCCUGAUGUUAAAAUAUUUAACUAAUUUUGUCAUGUCAGUCUGAAGUGACUAUUACCAAUUGUAACGAACACAAAAAUUGCAAAAUAUUCAAAAAAUAAAUAAAUAAAUAAAUCAUAUAUAAUUGAAUCAACUCAGGAAAAAAGAAAAACAAGGUGAGAUUUAAUAUAUCUUUUGAAUAGCUCUCUUCCCAUUCUCGCUUGUGAGUCAUCACAAAAACCAUAGUUUUUUCUCCUUUAUCCACUAAAGAGGGGUGAUUUAGGAUCAAUUUGAUUCAAAAUCUUUUCGUUUUAUUGAAAUAAGUGAUUUUCACAUCUAUUUCGUUUUUUCUUUCGUGAUUUCGUCGUCUUAGUGCGACAUUGUUUGUCUUUCUUGUUUCGCUCAAGUAUUUGCUCAAUUCAGAUUGUCAGAUCAGAUUCGAUCUAGUGCAGAUCAAAUGAAUGACUUUGGAACCGUCAACGUUGCAGAUUCGAAAACAUGAGUAUUUCAGAGACUUAAAUAUAAUCAUGUAGACUUUAGUACUUUGCCGUUUUAUGCUAUUAACAUGGAUGCUGUGAGUUUCUUCACAUAUUUAUAUCUUUUUUCUAGCGAAUUUUUAUUAUAUCGAUGUACUCUAUCAAUUUAAAUGAAUAAAUAUCGUUUAUUUUUGUAAAAAGUAAAAUAAAAAAUAAACCAUACAGUCAAAUUUAUAAAUCAAAUUUAACUCAUUUAAUUUCAUAUCAAAUUCAACUUAGUUGAUUUAUGAAUCAAAUUCAAAAAAUUAAUCAUAAAAUCAACAUUUUAAACUACGACAAAGUUGAUUGGGUUCAUCUUAUUAUUAGUCGCCAAUAAUGGUGAGCACGACUAAACGAGGCACCGCGUUACCAACUGACCAAGCAACUAGAUAGAUCAACUUUCUUUCCACUCCCCACUUUCAACUCAAACACAAAAGCACUUCUUCAUUCUUACACCCCCCACGAUCUUCAAACAAACCCCUCUAUCAUUUUUCAUCUCCAACCUCAAAAAACUUCCCCAGAUUCCUCAAAAAACUCAUCACCAUGAUGCAAUCUUCUCACAGGGUACCCAAACUGGGUUCCUUCCGUCACAGUUUCCUUGAAAAAAAGGAAAAACUCAUGUCAAUGAAAGGUGGCGGUGGCGGUGGGUAUUCACAAAUCGGCAUCCCUUUACCGGAAUCCGACGAUGAUGAUGACUACAUUCAACGACGACGGUGGUGUUCGUUUCGAGGAUUCUCAGAUGGGAUCGUAGAGUUUUGGAAGAAAUCAAAGCGUGUGGCGGGUAGAGCAUGGGAGAUGGGUGUGUCUGAUCCAAGGAAGUUUGUGUUUUCAGCUAAGAUGGGUUUAGCUUUGAUUUUGAUUUCGUUGUUGAUUUUUCUUAAACAACCGUUUCCGGAUGUUGGGAAGUACUCUGUUUGGGCUAUUCUUACUGUUGUUGUCGUCUUUGAGUUCAGUAUAGGUAAAUAAUACUAAUCUUUUACUACUUCACUUUAGCACCGAUACUUCUGAUCGAAUGUCUAUGUGUUCUCGUCUGACACUGUCGAUUAUAAUGAUUACAUUCAAUUAUGUCAUUUUAUCAUAUUAUUACACCGGUCAAAUUAUUUCAACCAACGACAUUGUAGUGUCUUGUUCGAUAUACAUGUAACCGUGUUUGUGUUGCUGCUUCGUAGGGACAUUAUAUAAUAUAGGUAGGGGCGGAAUUUGACAAAAAAAAAAAAAAUUCAACAAAGUUGAUGUAUUAGAUUAAUAAUUUAAAUUUGAUGCAUCGACUAGAGGAUCACUACUCCAUACCAAAUAGAGAAACAUUCACAAUCAUUUUUUGUUUAGUUGUUUUAUUUAUAUAAAGUCGUGUGUAAUUUUGAAUCUUUGAUUUUAAAAUAAUUUGUGAGUCAAUUUUACUGUAGUAAAGUUGUUGAAAUUAGAAAAUAUAUCCAUGAACCGAAAUUUGUUUCUAUUUUUAGUAAUUUUAUGACAACACUAGAUAGACAGUUUUCAAAAUAUAGAGUACCAAACAAACUAACUGACACAAGAUAUAGAGUACCAAACAAUGGUCUAAGUCAAACUGACGAGUUAUUUGUCAAAGUUGUUUUUGUUUUUUUCUAUCAGCGAUUAUUUUUUAGUUUUCAAAAUUACAAGUGGCAAUUUUUUUAUAUAAAAAUUGGGAAGGAGAAACUUUGUGGUUAUAAUAAUGAUCAUUUUACAAUCAAAAUCAUUGAGAAUGAUGUUUUUUUUUUAUCCAAUUGUAAGAAUGAUGGUGAUGAUAUGAUAUCAUUAAAACAUGUGAUUGUAUAAAAGCAAAUUUGAAACUUGUAAUUUUAUGAAUAAAUAAAGUAAAUAAAGGAGUGUUAAUUAGCACUCUAGUAAAUAAAUAAAUAAGUAAAGGAGUGUUAAUUAGCACUUCAGUAGAUAAAUAAAUAAAUAAAUAAAUAAAUAAAGGAGUGUUAAUUAGCAAAUUUUCUGAAGAAAUUUGAUUACAAAAUUUGACCAUGGUCAUGGGAUAUAGAAUUGUUCAUACCUAUGUAAAUGUUGUUAAAUUUAGCAGAAUUUCGCUGGUUAUCCUAGAACCACUUGGUUGAAAAUUUUCUCUUCUACCUUGGUGACCUAGGUUUGAUACUAUGGCACACCGAAGAUAAUUUAGCAGUAUUUAAAUUUAAUAGUAUUCAAUUUGUGAUAAUGAAACCACAUGUUAUAAACAUUUCUGCUGCAUGUUCCAAAGUCACUGUUUUGCUUAUUCAAGUCAAUUGUAUAAUGUUCAUAAACUCUCUGUUAUUAAAUUGAAAUACAGUUGACUUAAGUACACUUUAUAAAUAAAAAUCCAUGUCCUGCGUUGACUAUGGAUAUGACUUAAGUAGAACUCGUAUAGCUUAGACAAUCCUCACCUUACAAGUCGAUUGUAAAGCUUAGACAGUCCUCAAUUUACAAAUCGAUUUUGUAGACUUUAGUUUGACCUUAAACUUGAAAUGGUAUUAUAAUAUAUGCUAGAUCUGUUGUUGAGCCACGAUAUGACAAGUCCGACAUAUGGCUUGAAUAGAUCUUAUAAAAUUUAUACAACGCUUCAAUAUAAAGCGUUAGAAGUUCACACAUUACAUACUAGUUUUAUUUUAUUAGGUUGAGUUAGGUCCAAAACCUAAAAACCUAUCAUCGAGCUUUCCAUUGGGUCAACAAGACAAGCAUAAGUAUAAACUUUUCACUUAUGAACAAUAAUUAGUCACAAUAUAUUUGUGCAGGAGCAACUCUUAGCAAAGGUCUAAACAGAGGAUUAGGGACUUUAUCAGCUGGAGGACUUGCUUUAGCAUUGGGAAUGCUAUCAAAAUUGGCUGGACCUGGACAGUGGGAAGAAAUUGUAAUCAUGAUUAGCAUCUUCAUUGUAGGUCUGAUUUUUUAAUCACUUUCAUCUAAUCUCCUUUUUCCUUAGCUUAUACCUUGUUUUUCUGAUAGUAUGCUAUGUGAUUUGUAGGAUUUUGUGCCACAUAUGCAAAACUAUAUCCAACAAUGAAGGCUUAUGAAUAUGGAUUCCGUGUGUUCUUGAUCACCUAUUGUUACGUUAUUGUAUCUGGAUAUCGAACCGGAGACUUUCUUCAUACAGCAACAAACAGAUUUUUGCUCAUUGCUCUUGGUGCUGCUGUAUCUGUUGGCGUAAAUGUGUGCAUAUAUCCAAUAUGGGCCGGUGAAGAUCUACAUUAUCUUGUCGCGAAAAAUUUCACAGGCGUAGCAACAUCAUUAGAAGGUUGAACCCAAUAUACUUUUCUUGCUUAUUAAAAUUUACAACAUUUAAGGCCCGUUUGGAUACUGGCAUAAACACUUGUGAGAUUGGUUAGGCGAGCUUAUGAAAACGACUUAUGACAUGGCCAUUAACUAUUUUCAGCUUAUUGCCACAAGCUCACCAGGAUAGCUUAUGAAAACAGCUCUUAUAAUUUAUAUGAAACAUUUUGACUUUAUUUUAUUUUUUGUUCUAGAAAGAGCUUAUGCAUAUAUACCAUAAGCACUUAAUUAAGUUGUUUAUCCAAACAGAAGCUUAAUUUGUAAUAAACAUCUACUCUAACAUUUAGUUUUGCUGCUUCAUAACCUUAUUUCUUCUGUUGAAUAACUUUUAAGUUUCUUUUCAGGUGUUGUAAAUAACUACCUUAACUGUGUCGAAUACGAUAGGGUGCCAUCGAAAAUUCUUACGUAUCAAGCUUCUGAUGAUGUGGUUUACAGCGGUUACAGAUCAGCUGUUGAAUCUACAAGCACAGAAGAUGCAUUGGUAUUACCUUUUUCUACUUAAGUUCUCAGUCUAUUUUAUGAAGAAAAAAUUGUUCAUCUUUCUGACUUAUCGUUGCGUUUGUGUGUUGUUGAUUGGGAAGAUGAGUUUUGCUAUUUGGGAGCCACCUCAUGGUCGUUACAAAAUGUUUAGAUAUCCAUGGAAAAAUUAUGUUAAAGUAAGUGGAGCACUCAGGCAUUGUGCAUUUAUGGUGAUGGCUAUGCAUGGAUGUAUACUUUCUGAAAUACAGGUACUUAUCUAGCAACUUUUUCUAUGUAGCAACUUUUUCUGUUUGAUAUUAGCCUUUACUUCAGUUUUUUUGUGUCGGUGUCUGACACAUACAUGUGUCGAAUACCAGACACAGCUUUAAUAUGAAGCGUCGGCGCUACAUAGUUGAUACAUGUUUCCAGAAAUGACUAUUUGUUCAAUUGUUGCGUUUGAUUCUUGGAAUGUAAGAGAUGUUUCAUCUAAACUGAUAUGAACCACAAAACUUAACCAUUUUGCUUUAUAGGAAAAACUUCCCAGUUCCCACUGAUUGUAAAGUACAAAUUUGUAUUAUAAACUAUUUUGUCAUUGUUGAACUCUCAAGUUUCCUCUUUCUGUUAUCCUCUACCCCUUCAUAUCAAAUUCAAGAAUAUUCUUAUUGUUCCUAACUAGAGAUGUUGCAUGAGUCUUAGUCUUAAUGGUUUCCUGUAUAGGAUUAUGAUAGUAGUUUGUAAGAAGACUCUCAAUUAUAUCAUUGUGGUAUAAGUUAGCUUAAUUAUGUCCAUAUAUGCUAAUUGUUGCUUCUACAUGUGUGUGAUGUUAUGGUUUCUUAAUCAUAAUAAGUAACUAGAAUACUGCUAGGUGGCGCCCUCUGCACAAUGUUAUCAAUCACAGAUCGCAGAAAAUAGGUGUUUGUUCAAAUUCUACUAUGCCGCAGUCACUAUUUGACAACGCUUGGUACUAACUCAUGUAUGGUGCAACAACAAUAGCGCUUUGAUUAAAUUCCUCUACGCUAUAGCGCUGAUAUAUCUGCUAUUUGACAACACUCCUCUGCACCACUUGAUUAGCAUUUAAAUUUGUUCUUUUUCAACCUACUAAACCUCCUUUUUGUGAAAUAGGCUCCAGCGGAGAAGAGACAAGUUUUCCGCAAAGAGCUUAAGAAGGUAAGUUCUGAAGCGACUAAAGUUCUACGUGAACUCGGUAACAAAGUUAAAAAGAUGGAGAAACUAGGCGAAGAAGACAUUCUUUUUGAAGUACAUGAAGCAGUAGAAGAAUUACAACAAAAGAUCGACAAAAAAUCUUUCAUUCUUGUAAAUGCCGAGCUGUGGGAAAUCGGUAACAGGCCAAGAAACGAGAAUGUUUCUCAAGACCUCUUACAAAUGGAUGAAGAAAGACAUUUCUUGGAGUACAAGUCACUAAGUGAAGCUGUGCUUGAUUUAAGAUCAGUUAGAGUUCCAAAAAGUUGGGAAGAAAAUCUUGUUACACCCGACAACAUCAUUAAACCUGCUAAUGUUGUUACCGACGAAAACAUGUUUAGGAAACCAGGAACUUUGUCUGCACAUCUUUCAUUUCAAGAAGAUCCAACAACAAAAGUGGAAGAAUCAAAAACCUAUGAAAGUGCUAGUUCGUUAACUUUGGCAACAUUCUCAUCACUUCUGAUUGAAUUUGUGGCUAGGCUACAAAACCUUGUUGAUUCUUUUGAAGAAUUAGGUGAGAAAGCGAAGUUUAAGGACCCUCUUGAACAACAAGAACUUGUAACAUCUGGUUGGACUAGGUUGUUUAAUUGUUUCAAAUCUAAGGAUUGACAUAUACACUUACACUUUGUAACAUGUAUCAAGGAAAGAUCUAAAUGUUGGAGUAAAACAAUUUUACACUCACAUAAUAAAGUUGCAUCAUUUUGCCACAUCACUCCGCUUUUGUAAAAAUAAUUUGGGAGAGCAUGAUUUGGGAGUGCAUUAUAAUGAUAUAACCCAAUAACUUUGAAUGAAAAAAAAAUUGAAAGUAUUAAGAAAAAAAAUACACUUACUAAUUUGAAAUAUCCAAUCACAAUUUUCUAUCUUACAUUAUUCGGCAGAGCAUGAUAAUGAUGUAACCCAAUAACUUUGAAUGAAAAUUCUCUCAAUCUAUAGUUGAUUGUAAACUAUUUUUCUUUUCUCGUAUUAGUUUCAUGUUUAAAAAUAGGCAAGUACUAAGAAAUACUCUAAAAACUUAAAGAACUAAAUAUAGAAAUAAUAUUUUGAAAGGGGUGUAUUCAACACUUAAAAAAGUUAAAUUAUAAAUAAAAUACUUAAAAAUCCAAUUUUUUUUUAAUAUUACAUUUAUACUUUUUAAUUCCUUAACAUGCAAGUCCCUUAAAAUUAAUCAAUCAAGAUAAUUUUUUUGGUGAUGUAUGGGAUUCGAAUUCCGAACUUUACAUAUUUUAAUGCAUUGUCUUUACUAACUCUAACUGAACUAAUUAAAUAAGUGACCGGAUUUAAAACAAUAAUUUUACAAAAAUUAUUUAAGUGAAAAAAUCUUCUUCCGGGUCGGAUCCACUCAUUCCAGAUCCAAAAAACCCAAUUAAAAAAAUCUCCACCCAAAUAACAAAUCAAACCAACUUUUACACCUUCAAGAAAAUGGUGAUUUUCUCGAGAAAAUUCUAACAACACCAAAAUUUUCUCUCCAUUUCCAAACACAUCAGAUCCAAUCCAAUCCAAAUUCCUCUCCACUCUUCAAUCUCCUUCAGGUUCAUCAUCACUCCUUCAUCCUCUUCCUCUUCCUUUUCCAAUUUUUCCAUUUUUUAAAUAAUUGUUCUUUAAAUUCAUUCUAAUCACGCUAUUUUUCU
Molecule: long non-coding RNA, 92958 nt
Filed under: Medicago truncatula (barrel medic)
Lineage: Eukaryota; Viridiplantae; Streptophyta; Magnoliopsida; Fabales; Fabaceae
Description: long non-coding RNA (MTRU_LNC004506)
Rfam family: MIR2619 microRNA precursor family (bases 22745-22916)
Source: RNAcentral